Molecule: long non-coding RNA, 99483 nt
Filed under: Ananas comosus (pineapple)
Lineage: Eukaryota; Viridiplantae; Streptophyta; Magnoliopsida; Poales; Bromeliaceae
Description: long non-coding RNA (ACOM_LNC010901)
Source: RNAcentral
UUUACUUGCCUAGUCUCUUUACAAAAAAAUUUUCCUGUGAGCCUUUUUGAAAAAUAUUUCCAAUUUAGCCUUAUUUUUAUAUUUUAGAAAAAAAUAAUAAGUUAAUAAUAAUUUUUAUGUAAAUUAAUAUGUUUUUUUCUUUUCUUUAAAAUUAAGUGAAUGUAAUAUGAUUUUAUAUAUGAACACUUUUAAAUUAUAUUGACUUGUAUAAUAAAAUUAAGUACUAAUAGUACUAAUAAAAAAUUAUAAUUUAGAAAUAUUAUUAUUAAUAAAUAAAUUUUUUAUUAACUGUUUAUAUAAAAAAUUACAUUACAUUUACUUAAUUUUAAAGAAAAAAAAAAAUAAUCUCCACCUACUUAACAUAUUAAUCAAUGUAAAAAUUAUUAAUUUAUUAUUUUUUUUCUAAUCUAUAAAAGUAAGAUUAGAUUGAGAAUAUUUUUCAAAAGAAGAGAUUAGAUUGAGAAAAUUAUAUAUUUUUUUAAAGAGGCUAGACAAGUCAAUGAGUCUGCAGCGCACGGCUAUUAAAGUGCUUUCCCGAGAAGCCGCGAACAAAUAAUCUAAAACAAAAAAAAAAGAAAAAAAGAAAAAAAAGAUCAGGCGAUGGGCGUGGAGAAGCGGAUUCUGAAGGCCGGCGAGGGCCCCGAAAUCGUGAAGGGCCAACUCGUCACCGUCCACUGCACCGGCUUCGGUUUGCUCACAUUUUCUUCUUAUUUAUUCCCCUUUUUUUUGUCUAUCUAAUAAUAAUUUGUGCUAUUUUGUAAAAAGAAUAUUUGUGGCGUAGCACGAAUCAUCGUUAGCACACAAGAUAAAAGGGAUUAAUGGUUUUUGUUAAAGUUUUUCUCUAGGGUUUGUAAUAUAGGCAAGGAUUUAAGUGCCAAUCUAUGGCACGAUACAGCCUCCGUGGUGACGUUACAGUUUAAAACUUUUUAUUUUUUAAAUUAGUAAAGUUAAAAUGAUUUAAUAAAGAUACAUAAUAAGUAAUUGAGAUAUUUUGUUGCUAAAAAAAAUAAAUAUUUUAUAUCAUUAUUAUGCGUUGGUAUAUUUUUUUUAUGUUUUGUUACCGUACUGGUAAAUUUUCGGCACGACCUCAUUGCCACGGGACUUAAAUCCUUGAAUAUAGGUUUGGUUUUAAUUGAAACCCUAGGCUUAUACAUUGGAAAUAAUUUGUAGAGGGAAUCAACAAAUACCUAGGAAAGCUAUAUAGUGCACAAUCUUUGUUGUUUUUUUCUUUUUAAAGCGUAAAUCCAGUUACUUCUGAUUAAUGGUUAAAAUUUUCAUGUUUUAAUUUGUAUUGGUUUUGUAUUUCUAGAGAGUUCGUGCUAUCAGUGGAUGUAUUUUUGCUGCUGUUUUCAAGUCUUCAUCUGAAGCCAAUAUUUGUAAAUUGCGUGCGAAAUUCAAUUUUGCUAACGCGAUUGUGAUUUUCAGCAGGAAAGAAGGGUUCUUGCCGAAAAAGGUUUUGGAGGUAAAUGUUCUUCUCCGCACGAAAAAAAAAAAGAGAAAAAAAAAAUGUGCUAAGACACUUUGAACUAAAAGUACUUUUGCAAACAGACGCCUGAACUUAAGACACUUUGACACUUUGAACUUAGUAAAAUGUACUAAGACAUACUUUGAAGUUACUAUUAAACAGCUGUUUUCGUCGCAUCUCUUGCACAUAAUUUUGUGUGAUUUCAAGACACAUAGAAAUCUAUUUUUUCGUUUUAUAGUCACGAUAAUUAAACAUCGGGGUUGAAGAACAAAGUGAAUAUAUCGUCUUCAUGUGUCAGAAUACAAACAAAUAUAUUUCUCUGUCUUUUUGAAGCUUUACAAGAUUGCGGAAUACAAAGCAAUCAUAACCGUUGUAGUAGUAACUGCGAUUGAGGAGAGGGCCUAUUGAGCUAUUUGAUAAAGUUUAGGGGGAUCCAAUUGUCAUAACUUAAAAGUUCAAGCACCUGUUUGCAAAAGCGGUAAUGUUCAGGGGGCAUUUGUAAAUUUUUCUCAAAAGAAAAUCGAUCGAGUGCACGAAUAUGACAUUAGUUCCCUCAAUUUCACUUUUCAGCACUAGAGAUGCCGGGCAGCAGCCGUUCAGGUUUAGAGUCGGUUUUGGUUCAGUAAUAAAAGGUAGUCUCUUCACACAGUUUGAAUAUUGAGGAUUGAUUUUCUUGCGACUUUGCAUGGUGAACCAUCCAUGUCUUUUCAAAUUUGCAAGGUACUUUUUUUAGGAAAUUUGUCAGCGUUCAAAUUCUUAAGACUUCUUCGUAUGUUAGCUAAUAUGUUCUCCACGAGGUUUUUUCUUGUUUUGCUUUGUCUUUUAUUUUUUUACAUGCUGCACCACUUAUAAAUUGUCGUAUUAUAAUAAUGAGACGUAAAUGUUCUCUAAAGUUGCCUUUUGUUUUCAAUUAGUAGAAUGUAACUGCAAAAUCCAGCCGCCACAUUACCAAACGCCUUAAGCAUUCUGUGAUUUUUUUAAUCUGAAUCUGAAUUUUUGUUUCUUAUACAAGGUUAGCUCUUCAAAUUGAUCUUUAAUUAGGUCUUCGAUGAUCAGAUUGUAAAAUUGAAAAAUAAUUGCUUCCGAGUGAUGAAAGCAAGUCGGAGUUUUAGAGUGAGCUAGUAGUAUAGCAAGGACAAAAGAUGAUAACAGUGACAAUCGUCCCUUGAGCAAGUGGUAAAGGGCUUGAUGGUUGGUAUCCAAGAUUCCAAGUUCGAAGUCUAAUUGCUUCAUAUUUCAAGCUAAGUUCAUUUCUAGAGAAAAUGAACGAAGCGGGUAGAAUGCAACCUUUCUCUCAAAAAAUAGAUGAAAACAGUGUAUUGCGCAACUUAGGUCCAAUGCCUAAGCAUCUACUGCCUAUACAUGAUCUAACCAGAAUUGCUAUUCCAAGUGAUAUUUUGCCUACAUAUCAGAUUUUUCAUUAGCUACAGAUCUAACUUAUUAUGGUAGUAUUUACAAUAUUCUUUUGACAGACUUCAAAAUGUCAGUUGUGCUUCCCUUGGUGUCUUUAUAUUCUUGGGUGUUUGUUUAUCUUCUCUGUUGACAAGCAGAUGAAACUAACUAUUCUUUGAAAUACUAUAUGAUGUUUAGAUAGCUGCUAUUUUCGAUGUAUAUAAUGAUGUCAACAGCUCUUAACAUUUCUAGAUAAGGUAAGCUUGAACUUUGUAGUAGAUUAAUGUCAUCCAGCUCUUAAGAUUUAGGUAUUUAACAGAAGAUUGUGUUCUGUAUCCUUUAAAAGAUUCGUAGGCAAGAACGUCAACUAAACUGAUACCUUCUCUCUGUAGGAUGGGACGAGGGAGUGAUUGGCAUGCAGUUGGGGGAAAUUGCAUUUCUUCAGGUAGCGUUCUCAAAUACUGAAAAAGCUCUUCCAUUUUUGUGCCGCUUUGCAUAGACUUGCUAACAGUGUCAAUCCAUCAUCGACCUUUUUGCAUUUCGCAAGUGAGCCUGUUUGAUGAACAUAAUUUGCGAAACACACGUCAGUUUUCUGUCUAUCUUAGUGCUUGUUACUCUUCUUAAUUUGUGCAAUGGAACUGCUCCAUGUUUUACUCCUGUGACUCCGUUUGGCCUUGUUUAUUUCCAAUUGUCUAGUUGAUUUUAAAUCGAGUAUUGACCUAUUAUUCUGAUUUCACAGUGCACUCCAGAUUACGGUUACGGAGCUAAUGGAUUUCCAUUCUGGGGGAUUCCACCCAACUCUGAUCUGGCAUUCGAGGUUGAAGUCCUUCGAAUUCUUAAUGUUCAUUCUUGAAGUAGUAUGCAAUUUGAUAGGUGGACCUUAAGUUAAUAGGUACAUGACAAACAAUAGUUUUGGCUAGAAUGUUAGAUGACCUUGGCCAUCUUAUUUUACCAUAUCAUCUUUUUCUUUUCCUUUUAUUCUGACAUAAUAUGUGAACAGAUGAGCAAAAUUUUAUGCAUUGCAUUUUGCUGCUUUUCUACGGUUAGCUAUUUCCUACUUUUCCUCUUGAAAAUUCAAGAGUUCACAGGUUUUUGCUGAACUAAAUUGCUGCUAAGAUUCAGGUAAAGCUGAAGCAAAUAAAUGAUGUGAUGUGAAUGCUUGUUUUGUAACUUUGCUCUGUAAACUCCAGAAAUGCAUCUGAAUUGGACAAAUAAUAAGUCAAUAUUAAAUAAUUUUAUAAUGUUUGGAACUGUAAAUCUUAGUGAGUUUCUUUUUCUUUUUUUUUUGUAUAAUAGUAUAAACACACAAUUCCAAUCAUCCUCAUAAUCUCAGGUUCUUUUUAGAUUUAGUUUUAAGUGGUACCAGUUAUUCAUUGAUGAAUGCGAUUCCUUUUUGAACUUAAAAUUGUGUCAAAGUGAUCUGCUUAAAUCGAGGUCCGCCUUGCUGGAUUAAGUAGAUCCCACUCCUUCAUCAGCUGCUUAAAAAAGAACGGUAUUUUUAUAUUUGUUUUAUAUUUAACAUUCUUCCUCACGCGUGCGUUCGAAAUUUUUUGAUAGACUCAAAACCCAAAAUGUGAAUUUAAUUAAACAUGAAAAAGUUAAAUAAUAGUAGAAAUCUGGCGGGACUGUUCUGAUACCAUAUUACAUGAUAUCAAACAAUCUUUUUUGAUUUUCUAACUUUAGCCGAGUGUUGGUUUAUUCCGGCCCCAUAGCGCUUGAGAUGUUUUAUUUUGAUAUCAUGUUAAAUUAUUUAGAAUAAUAGCUGGUAUUCAGAAACUUAAACAACUAAAGAAUAAUAAUUUUAUAUUCAACUGAUAUCCCCUGUUAAGAUCAAAAUCUCCUAAUACUUCUGGAAGAAAGGGUAUUGGUCACAAAUUUAGAACUAGUCAACUGGUUGGAUUUGGACUUGACCAACUUUAUACUAAUUGCUUGGCUGGGUAUGAAUCAAUUCCUACCAAAACCUAUUUCAUUUCUAUUCCUUUCCACUUAGAAGAUUUUUUUUUUUUUUUUUUUUUUUCGUUCCACCAAUUCUCGAAAGUUCAGAAUUCGAAAUUGAUAGAAAAGUAAGAAUAUGGGCCCAUGUGUGUAGGCAGGUCGACUCAUCAAGUUUCUAUUGAAAUAGAAUCUACACAAAUUUAUUUCGAAAAUUCAUUUUUCAAUAUCUUUCCUAUAAUAUGACACUUGGAUUGAAAAGAUGUAAAAUAUCCGACCGUCCUUAAAGCAAGUGGCAAAGGGCUUGGUGGUUGGUACCCGAGACCCAAGUUCGAAUCCUAGUUGAUUCACAUUUCUAGCUAAGUUUAUUUCUAAAUGAAAUAAACGAAGCAGGUAGCGUGCUACCUAUCUCUCAAAAAAAAAAAAAAGAAAAAGAAAAAAGAAAAGAUGUAAAAUACUUGCUCAUUUUAAUGUUACUGGAUGGUGAAAAUAAUUUAUUUAGCAAAAUUCCUCAGCAUUGGUAUUGUAACAGAGCUGCUUCCACUACUACAUCAAAUUUCCUAACACCUAUUCAAUUUUAACAGUUGUAUGAUAUUAAUUUGAACAUUUUAAUUAAAAAAAAUACACAAAAAAUCUCUAUUUUUUUGAGAAUUUCUUUUUAAAAAAAUUACUGAAACUUUAAAUACCUCCCGUGGUUUCGCACUUUCUCACUUUAGUACCCUGUGGUUUCAAGUGUAUCCGGUUAGUAUUCUAUAGUUUUGCACUUUCUCACUUUAGUAUCCUAUGGUUUCAAGUGUAUCCGGUUAGUACUCUAUGGUUUUGCACUUUCUCACUUUAGUACUCUGUGGUUUCAAGUGUAUCAAGUUAGUAUUUUGUGGUUUCGCAUUUUCUCACUUUAGUACCUUGUGGUUUAAUAUUUCGUUAAAUUAUAUACCCCGAAGUGGAUAAUAAAAAGAGAAAAUUGAAAUCACAGAGUACUAACUUGAUACAAAAAUAAAACCAUAGGGUACUAACUUGAUAUACUUGAAACCAUAGAAUACUAAAGUAAAAAAGUACGAAAAUAUAAGAUACUAACUUGAUAUAUUUUAAAUCAUAUAGUACUAAAAUGAGAACGUGCGAAAUUAUAGGAAGGUAUUUGAAGUUUUCCCAAAAAAAUUUAGAAAAUUCUGCGCCACCGUGUAUUGUGGAGUCUCACAAAUUCUAGAUGGCUUGUGCGCGGCGUGGACUCGCGGGAUGGUGGAGCCCACACGGAACACCCCCCCUCGGCGACGCGGCGUAUUAUAGCGAUGUGCGCCGGUGGUGAUGCUGAGCCCAGGAGGUUCCUUUUAUGGGCUUUUUCGCGCGCGCGGGCGCGCUUUUCGACAACGGAGCCACGUGGCGAACGGGUGGAAGGACCAUUGACGCGUGCGGGGCCCACAUAAGUGAGCGUCCUGUGAUCCGGCACGCUUUUGCGUCGCUCUCCCCGCUGAUUUGUUGAUCCUAUGAUUCGCAGAACCGAAUGGACGGCCCUUGUUGAUUCGGGCGAUGCUCCACCGUCUCCCCACGUGUGCCACGUGGAGAUCACCCGGCGUUUAAAUAUCUCUACACAAAAUUAAAUAUUGUAACGAAACUUCUGGGCCCCCACCCCGUAGCCCGUGUAACAUCGACACGUCAUCUGUAGCGGGGCCCACAAGGGUCAAUCCCUAGUGGGCGGGGAUUCGAACAGAUUCCGUGGGGGUACAGAGCCACCCACAUCUUGUGGACUUGGGGUCCGGCCGCGGCGCAUCGUCAGCCGUCCGAUCAUCCGAAUAAACCAACUCUCAAGAUCCGACGCUCCAAAAGCACCGGACCCAGUUAUUCGAAACCCUAAUUAGGGUUCAUGGAAUAAUCGCUAGGGCAUCCGAAGAGCCGCGUCGUGGCUAAGCAAGUAGGGGAGGUCCUCAAAAUGAAAAAGCAAAAAGUACGAAUAAUAUAAAUUGAGUAUUAAAUAAUUAAAUACUACCUUCACCAGGAAAAACCCUCCCUUGGUGUUCCGACUCCAUUUCGACUCCCCUUCCUAUUAGGAUCGAUGGACCUAUAAAUACGGUUCUCUCUCCCUCCUCUCGAACUCGUCUUCAACAAAGAGGAAAACCCUAGCUUAUGUCUCAGCGAGCAAGCGUCCCACACUCCGCCUCUAUAGCCUUCGCUCGCCAUUCCCAUCUCCUGGUCUCCAGUGAGAUGAACCCUAACUCCAACUGGUAGCGGCAAAGAAGUUUCAUUGCUUUGAUCUAAGAUUUCUCUCGAUCCUCUUCGAGAGUUCGAGAUCUCCGGUCCCUUUCUUUUGAUCACAGCAAGAAGAAUAUUUUUAUAAGAAAAAAAAAGUGAGAUGGGUUUGAAGGGUUUCGUCGAGGGGGGCAUCGCCUCGAUCGUGGCGGGGUGCUCGACCCACCCGCUCGAUCUCAUCAAGGUGCGGAUGCAGCUCCAGGGGGAGACGCUCUCCCCGGCCGUGACCGCCGCGCAACUCCGCCCCGCCCUCGCCUUCCCGAGCGGCGGCGCCGUGGCGCUCCCCCACCACCACCACCACCACCACCUCCUCCCGCCGCCGCCGCGGAAGCCGGGGCCGAUCGCGGUGGGGGCGCAGAUCCUACGGUCGGAGGGCCCCGCCGCCCUCUUCUCCGGGGUCUCGGCCACGGUGCUCCGCCAGACGCUGUACUCGACGACCCGGAUGGGGCUCUACGACGUGCUGAAGAAGAAGUGGUCCCCCGGGGGCGACGGCGCCGCGCUCCCGCUCCACCGCAAGAUCGCGGCUGGGCUGGUGGCGGGCGCCGUGGGCGCGGCGGUGGGCAACCCCGCGGACGUGGCCAUGGUCCGGAUGCAGGCCGACGGGCGCCUCCCCGCCGCGGAGCGCCGCAACUACCGCGGCGUCGGCGACGCGAUCGCGCGCAUGGCGCGCUCCGAGGGCGUGGCGAGCCUGUGGCGCGGGUCGGCGCUGACGGUGAACCGCGCGAUGAUCGUGACCGCGUCGCAGCUCGCGACCUACGACCAGGCCAAGGAGGCGAUCCUCGCGCGCCGCGGCCCCGGCGCCGACGGGCUGGGGACGCACGUGGCGGCGAGCUUCGCGGCGGGGCUGGUUGCGGCGGCGGCGUCGAACCCGGUGGACGUGGUGAAGACGCGGGUGAUGAACAUGCGGGUCGAGAAGGGCGCCGCCCCGCCCUACGCCGGCGCCCUCGACUGCGCCCUCAAGACCGUGCGCGCCGAGGGCGUCACCGCCCUCUACAAGGGCUUCAUCCCCACCGUCUCGCGCCAGGGCCCCUUCACUGUCGUCCUCUUCGUCACCCUCGAGCAGGUCCGCAACCUCCUCAAGGACUUCUAAUGGCGAUGAUGAUGAUCCGAUUCGAUCAGAUCGAAUGUUUUCUUCUCAUUCUUCUUUACCCAUGAUGAUGACGACGAUAAAAUAAACUUUUAAUGAAAAAAAUAUAUUUUAUAUAUUUAAUUGGUAUUAUUAUUCUUAUUAUUAUUGGUUUGGUUUAGUGUUGUUGUUACUAUUAUUGCUUUAGUAAGAGGUUUCCCGUGAUCUUGGGCCUCUUAAGGCUGCGUUUGGUUCGGGUAUAAGUAAGAACUGCUAGUUCUAGGGAUAGGUACAAGUUCAGGUAUAAGCAGGAACUAGACCAAUUUUGCGUUUGGAUGAAAAUUGGGUUGUUCCUAGGAAUAAGGUAAAUAGUGUUUGGAUGGUUAGAUUGGAACAAGAGGAAUAAGAGUUAUAAUUUGAAAUUAAAAUUAUAUUAUGUAAUUAAUAGUAAUAAAAAUAUUACUUAAAAAUAAAUAAGAAAUUAAUUAUUAAUAAUUAAUUAUUAAUAAUUAAUUAUUAAUAAUUAAUUAUAAAUAAUAAUUAUUAUUAUUAAUUAAUUAUAAAUAAUAAAUUAAUAAUAUGGAUUAUCUAAUUAAUUAUUAUUAUUAUUAUUAUUAUUAUUAUUAAUUAUUAAUAAAUAAUAAUAAUUAUUAAUUAUUCUUAUUAAUUAAUUAUAAAUAAUAAAUUAAUAAUAAUAAUUAUCUAAUUAUUAAUAUUUAAUUAUAAAUAAUAAAUUAUUUAAAUUAUUUAAUUAUUAAAGUAAUAAAUAAUAAUUUAAAUAUAUUAAUUAGAUUAAUUAAUAAUUUACUGCCAUUAAAAUUAAAUUUAGAUUUUAAUUAAUCUUGUUCUCAUCAAGGAACAAGCUUGUUCCAGGAAACGGGUGGAACAGCAGUUCCAGCCUUAUACCAGCUAGUUCCAGAUUCCCGGGAACUACUGUUCCCGGGAACCAAAAUUGCGUUUGGGAACAAAGGGGGGAACAAGGGCUUAUUCCCCCCCUUGUUCCCGAACCAAACACUACCUUAAAGUUUAAAGGCGAAGGACAGUCGUGGCUUAGCUGUUAUGCUUUUUCGUUGUUUGUUUAAUUGUAUCAGUUCUCAAGAAGCCAAAAAAAAUAUGAACCUGCUGGAUUUUGUAUUAAAUUUCAAAUUGUCAUUUGAAAAAUUACUAUUAAUUGUUAUUAUGUAUGCUGUACGUUUGAUUAAUUGAAUUGUGGCCAGUUUGUGGAGCACGUUAGAAUUUAACGACUCUUUUACGCUUUUUCUAGAAAGUUUUAACUUUCAAAUAGUAUUGUCCAAAUCAUGUUUUUUUUUUUUUUAUUGUUAUUAUUAGGAAGUGUGAAAAGGUGACUUGAAUGGUAUUGUAAGCAUUACAUCAUAGAUGCGCGUGUGGCACUGAGAUUCUCUCCUUUGCAUGUUUUGGACUAAUUGACAAAAUUUAUAGGAAUAAUUUCAUAGAUGCCCUUUUAGAAACUAUGAAUUUCAUCAAUACCUUUCUAAAAAUGAUAAUAUUAUGAAUGCCCUUCGAUAUAUCAACACUAGAAAUACUAAUAGAUAUUUUAAGAUAAUUUUUAUAAACCUAAAUUUGAAUUAUUAAAUUAAAUUAUCAAUAUAUAUUAAUUAUUAAAAAAUAUAUAAAAAAUGUAUUUUAUAUAUAGUGUGUUUUUAUAUGAUUUUGGUUUUAUUUCCGGCUUCGGAUUUCAAUUCAGGUUUUGUUUGAAUAUAGACCAACUGAGUUUGAAUAAAGAACUAUCUCUAUAAAAAAAAAUAAAGCAAAUGUAUGUUAAAUUUGAAAAUCAAAUGUAUGUUAAAUUUGAAAAUGAAAUCGUAUCUUAUAUUUUGAUCAGAAAGAACUAACUCUAAUUUGAGUUUGUAACAGAUUAUUUCCACCGCGAAAAAAUAAUUCGCAACAGAUUAUUGCGUAUUUCGCAAUCAAUAAUUUUAAAUAAUUAAUUAAACCAAUAAUUUCAAAUAAUUCGUAACCAAAUAUCCAUAUUUGAGUUUGACACGUGGCAAGCAUAUAGAAAGCCACGUGUCAGCUUCUCACAUAGGGUUCAUUACACGUGGCAAGCAUAUAGAAAUAUCCAUAUUUGAGUUUGACACGUGGCAAGCAUAUAGAAAGCCACGUGUCAGCUUCUCACAUAGAGUUCAUUAAGGGUUCUACUUUUAUAUAUAGUAAUAGAUUUGACACGUGGCAAGCAUAUAGAAAGCCACGUGUCAACUUCUCACAUAGGGUUCAUUAAGGGUUCUAGUUUUAUAUAUAGUAAUAGAUAAUAGAUUUAAUUUUUUUCCUAUUUAAUUAAAAAUAUAUCAAAUAACUAUAUGCAUGCAUUUUUUGGUCGAUUGAAAAAAAGAGAGUUUUGUUCGUCAGCUAAAAUAUAUUAUAUUUUAGUUUUUUAAUGUAUUUAAUGCAGAUAAAAUUAUUGAGAAUAAUUUUGGUUUAAAAAAAACUUGAUAAAUUUCUCAUUUUUCAGACACUAAAAUUAGUUAAUUUUUUAGAAAACUAAAAGUUAAUGAGUUGUCAACUAAAAGAAUAAAAAUUAAGGGAGUAGUUUCAAAACGUCAUAGUUGAGGGGGUCUCCAUACAUUUUUUACUUAAGGGAUAGUUAAGGGCAAAUAGGUCAUUUUAAAAGUUAACCCAUCUUUAACUCUUUAAUAACUAUAGUAAAGCUAACACAACUAACAAUAGGGGUAUGGAUGAUAAUUUUUUAUGUUUGCGAGGGCAUAUAUGAUAUUUUAAACUUUAUAGGGGCAUAUACGAUAUUUUAGACUUUGGGAGGGGUAUUUAUGAAAUUGCCCCAAAUUUAUAUACAUUUAUUGUGUAUAUCUUUUGUCAUUGAACUUAUCACAAAGUCUGCUUGAAUACGUUGUUGCCACAUUCUGUAGAAAUCGAAUUUGUGAUCUCUGACUCUGAUGCUAUUUGUCUGAUCAUUGACGCUAAUUAUUAAUCUCUAAAGCUCAAGUUAUUAGAAAGAUGUAAUCAAUUCAUUCAAAAUAUAUAGACACAAUUCUCACGUGUCUUGAUUGUGAUUCAGCCGAAUCAGCCUUAUGUCACUUCGAAGAUGAUCCGAUACUAUCCAAUUUCAUGUCAUUUUGAGUAUAACUUAAUCCAAUCUGAUCUCGCGUUAUAAGAUAGGAUGCUGAUCCAUUUAAACCAAUAAAAUUGUGAUAUUCUUCUUAUUUCUCUAAUAAUAAAAAGGAAACAAUGACCGACUUAUCUAGAGCAACUCACUCAUCAACUUUGCAUUAUCGUGAAUUAAUUGUUGCGUUAUCUGACCGACCGUCCAGUUGAUGCAUUAUCGUGAAUUAAUUGUUGCGUUAUCUCACCGACCGUCCCUAGAGCAAGUGGCAAAGGAGCUUGAUGGUUGGUACCCGAGACCCAAGUUCGAAUCCUAGUUGAUUCACAUUUCCAGCUAAGUUUAUUUCUAAAUGAAAUAAACGAAGCGGGUAGCGUGCUACCUAUCUCUUUAAAAAAAAAAAAAAAAAAAAAACUGUUGCGUUAUCUCUUGAAAACAAACAAGAGCAUGUGAGCCAGUUUCAUGCACCUCUCUUCGUAAAUUACUACCCAAUUUAUUAAUGUAUUAAAUUGAAGAUUGAUGAUCAAAAUUAAAUCUACUGAUGAGUUUAGUGGCGAAUGAUGCAAUUUGUUUGUUGAAUGCGUUUAGCAAUGUAAUUUACCAGAAUAAAAGGACAGUUAUUCUAAAGCUAAAGUAAACACAAAACCACAAAAAUAAGACCCAUUUGCUUCAGCCGUUUGAUUCUUGGGUAUCUACUUGUAUUAUACUACGAGAAGCAUCUGGAGAAGUUGAUUUGUCGCAGCUCCAGUACCAAAGAUCUCCACCAUAUUCACAAAUGUGAGUUCUGAGGAAAGAAGCAUCUUAUGCUUAGUCCAAAAACGAAAUAUCUCAUUUUUGCACUUCUGGUUAAAAAAAAAAAAACUAGAUUUUUUUAAAAAUCUUUUAAGAUUCCAGGAAACACUAUUAUUUUUAUUUUCUGAUUCUUUUUUUCUGAAAGUGUAAAUAUUAUUUUUUUACAAAAUUUAAUUUUAUUUAUAAAGCUAAUUUAUUUUGGAAACAAGUGGAAAACUGAAAAGUAAAAUCAUAAAAAAUCAUUUUUUAGAAAAAUAUUUUUGUACUUUUUCUAAAACCAAAAAGUCUAUAAGAGGAUUGAAUUUGAGACAUAUGAUGACUAUGUUAGUUGUCACUUUAUUAUUUUUGCUCGCGGAAUAUUUUGCCAUAAAAAUUUCUAUAACAACAAUGAACUAUUUUACCUAUCGUUUUUAAUAUAAUUGGCAAACGAUUUGGUGGUUGAUACUUGAUAUAAUAUAUCAAGUUAAAAAACAGUGGACUACUUUAAGCCUCUAACUUUGAGGCAAUUUUUUAUAGUUUUUAACAAAAUACAUGUCAUUUGGUGAACAAGGUUUUGGUUUUGGCAUCAUAUUUACAACAGAACAUGGAGUGACAAUUGUCCUGAUGCUACGUUACAUCAUCAAAAUAUUAGUGGGUGUAUCAGGUACCAACACGUUUUUUGGGUGUAGUACGCACCAACACGUUUUUUGGGUGUAGUAGGCAUUAAUUUUUGGGAAAACUUCAAAAAAACCCCUGUGAUUUCGUAUUUUCUCAUUUUGCCCCUCUGUGGUUUAAAAUGUAUUAAUUUGCCCCUCUGGUUUUUUUUUCUCUUUUUUUUAUCAAUUUCAUUAUUUUUUUUUCUUAAAUCAGUGGUAAAAUUAAAAUUAAAGGGUACUAAAGUAAAUAUUUGAUAAAUCUAGAUGGGUAUCUGAAGUUUUUUAUAUAUAAUUUAAUUAAAUAUUAACAAAAAAGCUACCGAAAAGAUAAAAACGAAACCACAGGGGGGGCAAUUUGUUACAUUUUAAACCACAGGGGUAUAAAGUGAGAAAAUACGAAACCACAGGGAAGGUUUUUGAAGUUUCCCUUAAUUUUUCAGGCCUCCGUGUUUUAACCCAGUUCACAUAUGCUGUAUCACGUCCUCCUUUUUAUUAUUUUUUUUUUUAAGAAAAAUAUAGUAUACUAUCUAUUUUAUUUAUUUUUUAAAAUAUGAAUUUAGUUAAAAUUUAAAAGUGUGGGCAGUUAGAUUUCGAAUUUGAGAUCUCAGAUAUUUACUACUUAUGCUAGGAAUGAUUAGUAUAUUCACUACAAAAAAUUUUUAAGAAAGCUUUUUAGACGAUGCUUGAAGAAAAUAUUCCUAUAAUAUAAUAAAUAUCGACGUUUCAAAAAAUAUCGUCAUAUGAACUCUUUAUCAAGUCAAUUUAUUAAAUGAUAAGCUUUUCUACUAUUUUUAAUUUGCCGACGUUUUAAAGUGUAUAUAUAUAUAUAUAUAUAUAUAUAUAUAUAUAUAUAUAUAUAUAUANAUAUAUAUAUUACCGACGCUUGGUAUAAGCGUCGGUAUAUGUAUGAUGAUUCUUUAUUUAUAGACGUUUUAACCAACAUUUUCAAAUAUGACGCUAUACUAUAUUGGAACAUUUUUAAGUAUCGUUAAAUAUAAAAAAAGAUUUUUAAAUGUUAAUUUUCUUGUAGUGAUUGUAUUAUGUUAUAAUGUAUUGCAAAAGGGCUUUUAGACACAUUUUACUUAGAAGGGAUCUAUAUAUAUAUCUAAUUCUAUUCAUAUAAAAAUGAUGGCAAACUAGGCUUUACAAGUUAGAGCUUUAGCAAAGUGCUUUUUAAGAUCAUUUGUGACUUUUAUUGUUGCACCGAGUUGUCUUAUACCAUGUUAUUAGAUCCAAGUUUAAGCCCACUUCUAUAUAUGGGGUGGUAAAUUGGGUUCAAUCAAUCAAAUGUCUUCUAAUAUAUUUGAGCUGAGAAUUGAAAAGUAAGUCUCACCAUCAAUUAAGUCCACUAUUCGAAGUUUAUAAAAUGCAAGUAAACUGAUCUUAAAUGAUAAAGUGAUUAGUAGUUAUCCAGCAAGGUCAGAUGGAUAGCUCCAAAAAAAAAAAAAAAGAUUACUGCAAUUGAAUUUAAUAGAAAAUUAUAGAUAAUUUGGGUGCUGACCCUUAAUCUUCGGAGGAGAAAUAGUCACAAAACAUACCAUUUGGUUCGGGUAUAAGUAACAACUAGCUAUUACAGGGAUAGGUAUAAGUAUGAGGAUAAGAAAAAUAACGUUUGGAUAAAAAUUGGGUUGUUUCCGGAGAUAAGAAAAAUAACGUUUGGAUAGAUAAUAUGGAAUAAGAAAAAUAUUAUGUAGUUUUAUAUAGAAAAUAAAGGUGUUGGUGGGGAUAGUUAUAACUGAUUAUUAUAGAUAAUCGAAAAUUACUGUUCUCGAAUAAAAGCGUUUGGAUAUAAAGAGGAUAAGGGUCUAUCUCUAUUCCUAUCCCCUUGCCAAACGGUGCUUCAUGAAGGAUCUCAAAGAGCACUUUAUAUAAAUUAAUGUUUAGGAAACAACUAGUAUCUGACUCUUUGCCACUGCAAAGAGAACAGGUCACGUAAGUUACAAGGUUGAGUGACUCUUCCGUUUAUUUAGAGCUCUCUCUCUUGAGGACGUAAACGUACGUGCAUGAAUCAGAGAGAGAGAGAGAGAGAGAGAGAUCAAUAAGUAAUUAAUAAUUUUUCUGGGUUUGCAAAGGGUAGAAGCUAGAUGAUCCAAGGACGAUUUAGUACACUUAAUAUAUUGAUUAUAAAAUAGUAAUGAAUGAUUGAUUAGACCACUUCUCUACCAAGAGAACAGUAAUAAGAGACGCGUAUGUUAUAAUUAAUAGGUAUCGAAUAGUACCGACCGUCUCUAGCGCAAGUGGCAAAAAGAUUUGGUGGUUAGUAUUCGAGAUAAGUUCGAAUCCUAAUUGAUUCAUAUUUCCAGCUAAGUUUAUUUCUAAAUGAAAUAAACGAAGCGGGUAGCAUGUUAUUUUUUUUUUUAAAAAAAAAUGGUAUCGAAUAGUUGACAUGAACUUAAGUUAAACGGAUUCAAAAUCACAUGCUCCGAUAUUAUGUAAAAUACACAAUAAUUAUUAUUUUUAAAGAAUUUUGGAUUAGGAAAUGACUAAAAUUAAAGAGUGACUUCUUCAAUGUAUUAUGCUUGUUGCAUCAGCAAUCCGAAGACAGGGCGCCACUGAACUCUGGUCAUAAGAAGCUCCUUGUUUUUUUCUAUUAUCUUUACAGUUGACCAAAAAUUUUUUUACAAAAGAAUGUUCCAUCUUUUAGUAGUGCGUUUGUGCUUGAUCCAUCAAAUUUAUGCCAAUAUGGGUGGUUAUUCCCUCGUUGCAUACUAGUCUCGACUCCGCGUCCGCACAUUUAAAUAUUUUUUGUUAUGGAGUAAAUUAAACAUGUUUAAUCAUGUGGUAGGUCCACCUGUUCGAUAAAAAAAAAUACAAUGAAAAGGCACAGAACUUAGAUAAACUAUAAGCCAUUUUGAAUCAAAUAUCUAAAUUUUUAAAAUUUUGAUAUAAUUAUCCAAUCAUUCAACUUGUUUCAUUUGAGUCAGCGAAUGAUACUUUAAUUUUUUAAUUUAAGCUAAUUAUUUACUUUAAUAAAUUUAUAGUUACAAAAAAACUGUAUGAAGUAUGCUGGUCCCGUAAAGAUAACUACGUGAUCAAAUGAAAAAUUAAAGUGUUAUUAAGUGACUCAAAUCAAACAAAUUAAAAGAUUAGAUAAUAAAAUCAAAAUUUUAAAAGUGAUCUUUUAAAAGAUUAGCUAAUUUUUGUUUGUUUUAAUUAAAACAAAUUAAAACAAAUUAAAAUAUUAGACAACAAAAUUUUGAAGAAAGCUUAUCAUAAUACAGGCCCCAGUAGUCUGGAGCUUGUUAUUAUUAUUAGGGAUAAUUGCCUAUAAACCCUUCGAACGUUUAAAAAUAUCCGAUUUACUGCUACUUUUUUUUUCUUUCUAAAAUACCUCUCAUAUGUUCCACCAUUAUUGCAAAAUACCCCUGCAGUUAUCUCCUGUUAAAUUAACUUGGGUUAAAUAUGAGUUAAAUAUCUAUCACAGUUAAAAUAAAUUAAAAUAUUAAUUUUGCCCUUAACUUAAAGGCAAAUAAGAAAUGUUGGUGACGGUAAAGAGGUAUAUUGGAAGAGACCAAAAGUCAAAAUACUUUUUGUGCCCCUGACUUUAAGUGCAGAUAAAAAAAUCAGUGAUGGUGGAAGGGUAUAUUUGAAAGGGCAAAAUAGUAAUUUUAUAGAGAUAACAGAGUUCAUUAACAGAUUUGAACUCUACGGGUAUAUUAGAAAUAGGUUGGAACGUAGAAAGAGUAUUUUCAAUAUUAACCUUCUGAGAAGGGUAAAUCGAAAAGUCAGAAACUUUUCAGGAGUAUAUAAGCAAUUGCCACUUAUUAUUAAUUUUUGUACUUAUAAAUUUUUGCCCGUUAGAUGAAGAUAUGUACGGUUAUGAUGAUAAUGAUUUUUGGUUAGAAUAAUAGCGGUUUUCUAGGGUUGAGUGGGUGGUUGGUUGAAUAGUAUGAUUAUAUGGGUGAAAAUAAUCAAAAGGAUAGAUCCAACGAUUGAAAACUUAUGAAUACAAAAAAAUUUAUACUCGUGAGAGUAUAGUAGUCGGACUCUCUCUCUCUCUCUCUCUCUUUAUAAUUUUUUUCUAGCUUUAUUUUGACAUUCUAAAAAUUUAGAAUAGUUAAGGUAUAGUAGAAUUAAACUUUUUAACCUAACUAUAAUAUUAAAGGUAAGAUCCAAAUGAUUAAAAGGAUUGAGCGAGUUCGGAGACAGAGCUGUUUUAGGAUAAGUGACUCUCUGAGAAGUGGGUCGUCGCACUUUUUACCGAGUAAUAUUAAAUGCCCCUCAAUCUGGGCCAGCCCAACUUGUAGAAGGUGGACUAAUCUUGAAACCUUCGAACCAAGCCUACCAAUUAAGCCUCGAGCUUAAAUUACCUGCUUAGCCCAUGAACAGAUGUAAUCCAUGGUGGUUUGCCUUAAUACAUAGCUAAUAUACUCUUAAACUCUGAAUCCAACCAAUAGGAUAGAUGAUAUCCUACACUAUUUUAAAAUAUUAUUCUAUUACAUAUAAUUAAAAAUAUAUCCAAAGAGUGCAGAUUGUUAAAAGAUUAAUGCAUAUUUCAAAUUUCAAAUUAAACUAUUGAAAUACAAAAUAGGUAAAAACUUAAUUAUGGAAUUCACUUGAACUAUAAAACAUUUUAAAUCCGCUAUCUACCUUUCAAACUUUUGAUUUUAAUAUAUUUGUUUGAUUUGAUAAGUUCUACGUGUUUUUACCUAUAAUAAAAAGAAACUUGGCCGCCUCUCAUAAAAUCAAAUCGGUUAACCGAUUCGCUGGUGAACUACGGGUCUAAAUGAGUCAAAAUAGGUUUUAAGCCGGUCCAAUUUUAUAAGUUGAAUCUAACUGAUUUGGACACCGAAUUAUGAUUCGACUAGUUGGUUCCAUCUGAAUUAAAAAAAAAUAAAAUUUUAACUGCAUUGAAUAUUUUAUAUAUAUAUAUAUAUAUAUAUAUAUAUAUAUAUAUAUAUAAUAUAAAAAUUUAACUAUUUACAAAAGUUGCUUUGUAAGAAAGAUCUCAAACCUAGAUUACCAUGUGAACCGACACUGCAGAAAUAUUCCGAUCGUUUCUAGUGCAAAUAGCAAAGAAUUUGUUGAUUGAUAUUCCAGGUUCCAAAUUUAAAAAUUAAUUUUUUCAUAUUUUAAAAAAACGAAAUAAAUAGCAUGUUAUCUUUUUUCUCUCUAAAAACAAAAACACUGUCUUAAAUAACUUUUCAGCAAGAAUUUAAGUGUUGUUGUACGGAAUCGUGCCAGAAACUUGCUGGUACGGUAUGACACGAUGUGUGCCGAACGUGUCAGUCAUAAAUAUUUCAUAUGUGCCGACACAUAAUAGUAUGAAAUAUUUAUUUUUUUUAUCAACAAAAUAGUCAAAUUAUUUAUUGUGUAUUUUUUAUCAAAUAUUUUGAAUUUUAUUAAAAAAAUUAUUUACUAAUUUAAAGAAUAGAGGGUUUUGAACUGUGCCAUUGGUACAAAAACUGUAUCGUAUCGAUAUCUUGUUAGCACGAUGAGAUAGAUAUGACUUGUGUCGAUGGACACUUUUUUAUCUUUCCGUAUAAAAUUAAAAAGAGUUUGGCUUAAUAAUCUCACCAUGCCAUCAUUAUUAUUAAUUAAUCAUUUAUAUAUCGAGAGUACCUAUAUAACGUGUUUUAGAAAUUUGACACGAAAUAGCUGUUGAAAGAAAAGUUAUGUUUUUUUUAAAUAAAACAAUAUUUUAUAAAAUGGUUCAUACUUUCAUGGAAUGCGACGUUAUUUAAGCCGACAAAUUUGCCAGGUUGGACUUACUACAGUGAUAACAUUUGCGUGGAUUGCUCGAAACAUCAUUAAUAAUUUUUAUAAAAUUAUUUCUUCUAUUUGAAAAAAAUUAAAGUAUUUAAGUUGGAAUUUUUUUAGGACUUGGAAGUUUUCUUAACUUCCACAAAAUUUAUAAUUUUCUUACACUUUAGUUUGAAUCUUAAUCAGGCUCUUGCCUAAUAACUGUAAGAAAAAUACUAAAGUAAGUUGAAUAUUUAGCUUUAAAAUUUUUAAAUAUUAUCAUUGCCUUUUGUCCUACAGUAAAAAUUUUAAUUAAUUAAUUUUUUUUAUCAAAAAAUAACAUAAAAAUAAGAGAAGGUCAAGAUACUUAAACAUCCAAAUCCAGAUAUGAUCCCGAUAUUGCAUUUAUUUUGUAAGCAUAUCAAAUCCAACGCAUCUAAAUAUUUAUUUUUUUGUUUGAGAGAAAAAAUUAGCAUGCAAAUGCGCCUUAUCUUUUUUUAUAUAAAUAAAUUUAGUUAAAAAUAUAAAUUAAUUAAGAUUUAAAUUUGAGAUCUCGAAAAUCAACCAUCAAUUAUUUUGCUAUUUGCACUAGGGCCAAUGGGUAUCUUAACAUUCAUUGAACAUGUGUUUUUGAGAAUCUUUUUGUUGGGGGAAUCAAUUAGCACAUUCUAUGUCACGACCCGCGACCAUCCGCUUAUUUGGUCGAGGUCGCGGCGUCGCCGACAGACCGCCGAAAAGAUAGAGUCUCCUCUGUACGUCUUAGGCGUCGCAAUCAAUACAAGUAUAAAAAGUUUCAAUCAGAAACAGUAUUCAAACAAAAUUGCAUAAGAAAUGUAUCAAACAACAUAACACUCUAAAAUAAUAUAAGUAUAUAUAUUAUGUUAUAUUUAUUUUUUUAUAUUAAUUUGUUAUGUAUGUUAUCGGAAAAGAAAAGAACAAAAAAAAAAAAAAAAAAGUAAAAAAGAAAAAAAAAAUUGUAAGUGCGUGAGGACUCGGAGAAGAGACGAAUACGAAACAGCUCACGCCGCUCCAUCUUUACGUUUUAGCUACGAACUCCCCGAAUUCUUUUUUUAGUACGAUAUUGUGUCUUCUUUCCUUGUCCCCAUCGUUCGCACCCUCUUCCUCCUAGGGUUAGGGUUUCAUGGACGCCGAAGCGGCCGCGUCUCCCGGGUCCGCCGGCGGCGACGGCGGCGACGGCGGCGCCGCUCGGAGCCCCGCCGAGGCGUCAGAGGAGGACCAGGUGCGGGUGCGGCGGCGGACGCUCGAGGCGGUGCUCGAGCAGUGCCAGAGAGCGCUCGAGCUUCUCCGGGACGCCGAUCUGAAGGGCGAUACCACCAUGGCGGAGGAGGAGGAGGCGAUGGAGGAGGAGGAGGAGGGGAUGGUGGAGGGGGAAGGCCCCUCGACGAGCUCCCCGACGGAUGUUGAUUGUGAGAUCGUUGAGGUAAGGGAUGGUUUUCUUCAAGAAUUUGCACUUCUUGAAGGAUUAUGCUGAUUUUGCGAUUAGGGUUCAAGCUUCUGAUUCUCGACAAUUUGAUGUUCGCGUAGUUUUUUUUACUCGUGGCUAUAUAAUCCGUUUUCAUUUAUGCAAUGCAAAUAGGAAAUUGUUGCUCAGUUGGGAUGGAGAAACCUUGUGAAUGUCAGAUAAAUCUUGCUUAAUAUAGAUAUGUGAAGCGAUUGCUCGUUUCUGAAUGCUUAAGAUUGUCUCGAAGAAUUGAAAAAGACUGUGACCCUGCAUGUAACUAGUUUAUUGUAUGAAAUUACUUGUGUUGAGCCCAUGAUUCUAGAUAAGCAUAUGUGGUCGCAUCUGUUCUUCUUCAAAUAUAUCUUGGGCAUCUUUUUCUCUAUGCCUUGUAUGAAGAUGUUAUUUUCGUCCUUGACGGGAGAAAGUAGAGGCAACUACAUGUGAAUAUUUAUAGUUAACAUGAGAAAUCUAGAGACCAAAAUCUAUAUUAAUUCAUAGGAUAAAUGUGUAACAACCUGAAGAUUAAAGGAGUCGAGUCCAGGACAUUACAAAAUGUUGGUCCUCCACUUCAGAAGCUGCACGAAGAAAGCGCCUGUUCUUGCACUUUCCGGAUUUCUCAUAGUUAUCAGCAUAUUGUGUACUAGAGGAAUAAGAAGUCGAUAAAAUAAAAAUAGGCCUAUGGCCAGCUCUUUUAGUGCAGUUAUAUAUGAAUUCUAUUAUUUCAUUUGGCUAUCUUUCAGACAUUAUGUACGUAACCUAGGUGUUAUCAUGUUCUGUGCUGCUGCUUUAUCCUUUGUCGAUCUUGGUCUUACUCUCCCUCUCAAGGCACCUUAUCUUUAUCAUUUGGUUUCUGCCGGAAAUGUUCAACCCAUCUCAGUCAAUUUUCACACAAUUUAUUCUCAAUUUAGUGUUGCACCUAAGCUGUGGACAUGUUCAACCCAUCUCAGUCAAAUUUUACGCAACUUAUCCUCUAUACGGUGCUACACCUAAGUUAUGUGAAGACAGUCUUUUUCCCCCUUGGUGACCACACUUAGCCUCAUGUCAUAUCAUGCCUCUUUUCUUUUCUCUUCUUAGUCAUUACAGUAGGAUACUGGUAAUUAUGCAUUAGCAUAUAAUUUAGUUAAGAGUUUUGGUUUCCAAUUUGUUUUUGAUUUAGGGUUUAGGCUUGAGUGUGUGUUCUUAUUUCGAGGCUAGGUCUCAGUUUCAGGUUUCGAUUUAGCCCUAAAUCCUUAGCAUGUAUGAGAAAUAGUGAUAUAUAUAGUCAAACAUUCUUUAAUUAUUGUUAGAUACUUGUGUAGAAAAGCUUGGUGCUCUAUAUUGCAAAUAUGAUAAGAAGCAAAGAUGGCAUACCUUCCUCCAAAAAUGUUGUUGUCUAGGUUGCUAAAUGAUAUCUUUACAAUUUACAUCAUAAUAUUGCUUCAGAAUUGUGCAUCUUUUAUCUUAAAUAUCCUCCUUUUUUCAGCUUUGUGAUCUUCUUAAGUCCAAAGUCGAAUCGCCUAAGUUUCUUGAAAAGCUUGGCUGCAGUCACCAGUCAGUCUUGCACAAUGUUGCUGGUAAGCAUAAUGCUAAACCAACUUCAUUCUUUUACUGUGCUGUGUUUGUUAUUCCAAAAUCCAUUUGUAAAGCACCAUUUAAAUUGAGCAGAUUAUCGAAUGACUUCCUCUCAUCUAAUGUUGAAAUAUAUGCAGCAUCCACAAGUAUCGAUGAUUACAGUGCCUAUUUAUUCAUAACCUGUUUUGUGUCAUCUUAUGUUAAAGUAAUUGCAGCAAUGUACAAUGCUAGAUACGUACGGUUUACUUUUAAUUUAUGCAAACCUUUGCACUAUUAGUUCUGGCAGUUUGCUGAUUGGUAUAUUUAUAUGUGGUAGCCGAUGACAAUGCAUCUUGGGAUAUGGUUACCCAGAUGGACCUCUGGGAUGAUAGACAUAAUACUGCUGACAAUGGAUCGGAUCAAGAUGAAUAUGUUCUUGUUCGUCAAGAGGAUAUCGUGGACGGGAUCGCCUGCUUCAUGGCAACAUACUUACUCUCACUGAAAGAAACCAAGGUCAGUGUCUUUCUUUUGCUCUAAUAUCUACAUUUCUCUUUAUUGAACUUUAAUCAUAGUAAUUUGCAGAAUCAUCUUGCAACAUAUUUAACUUGGAAAAAAACUAUGCAAAGUCUAGUCUUAUUAUGUCUCAUCUAAUGAAACUAUGGUCGAAGUAUAGAUUUGGAGAUACAUAUAUCACUUUGGUGGUGUGCCAACAUUUAGUUUUAGAUACAUAUUACUCUCUUAUUCACUUUGGUAUUAUGCCAAAUCUUGUUAUCGUGGAGCUUCAUUUAAGCUCUCAUUCUAUGAAUUUUAAAGUGGGUAAUUUAGGCCUUAUAUGGUUACACUUUUUUUUAUUUUUCCUUUUGGAGCCUUGUUAUACUUAAUUUCCAUCCAAUUGAAUGUGUCAGCGGAUGGACUUUGUCAUUCUUGUUGUUAGCUUGCAUAUUCAUCUUAAAAAAGAAACAAAGCAGCAAAGAGAAAAAAAAAGAGUUACUACUAACUACUAAGUUUGUGUGUUUUUCACUACAUUUAUUUUACUCAUAGAUUGCCAAAAAAAACAAAAACAGCUUGCCUAUGGCGUAUUUUUUUACUCAUAGAUUGCAAAAGAUAAAUAUACAGCUUGCUGAAAUAUUCAGUUUGUGCAGGAAAUGAAUCCUGAUCAACUACAAAAAGGUAAGUUCCUUUAAAUUAUUUCUCGACUUUGUCACUCGAGUUCUUUUUGUGAUGUCUCAACUAUUCUGAAUCGCUAAAAUAAAGUUGCAUUCUGAUUGUAAAACUUGCCAACCAUGUGUUCUACAGCCCUUAGCAAGACGUUUUCCUUAAAAAAGAAGAAAAGUAAGCUACGCAAGGCCUGGGAUGGAAGCAAAGUUAUCUAUAACGUUGUUUCCUGGGGUGCAACUGCUAUUGGGUGAGCCCCCUUCCUAAUCCUCCUGAAUAUAUGUUUUUGUUCUUUGCUUCACAACAUUUAGGCCUAGUUUGCUAAUGUCGUGGCUAAAAAAAACAUUUUUAAGGCCCAAAAAAUUCAAAAGCGAUUGCAAUCUUUCCUCUAAUGCUUUAAAAUUGCGGUUGCAACGCGACGAAGUGCUAGUGAAGCAAGCAUGCAACCAAUAACAUUCAAGCAAGCAUUAUCUAGUUAAAGAAAUAGUUAUUUCUUUAUAUAAAACUACAACGCAUGGAAUAUAGACAUGAAGCAAGAAGCAAUUAAGCAUUAAAAAGACGCAAGUGAAAGAUAGAAAUAAUAUAGAAAAUCAAAAAAUGCGAUCAAGCAUCAAGUUAGUAAUUAAGUUGAAAGCCGAUGAUUUGAAAGGUUAAAGGGGAUUCCAGUUUUGGCUUGAAUCCGCUUUCCCAUCUCCGUCGCCAAGCUGUAAGCAUAGCGAGCUCGUUAGGGACCCUAAAAUACAAAUGGAGUCGCCACCUAAAAAAUCAGUGAAAAUUGGAAUUGUUAUAUAAAACCAAUGGCUAUCUUCCUUCAAGUGACAGAGAGAAUCGAGAAAGUACCACCCAAAGGUGCUUUCACAGAAACCAUUCUCCAGUGGUAAAGAACUUUUCUUCACUCUAGAAGCCUUCAAAUCAUCCGCUGGAUUUUCUUGUUCAUAAGGGAGGAAUAUGUGUGUUGUAUAACAAUAAAGGACUUUUCGGUGACACGUUGUCAUUUUGACGAGAUUUUAGAUAAUCCAACUGCCACAUGCUUCUCUGGUGGCGGUUCUAAUCAUAAUUUUGUAGUAUAAAAGAUGAGAAGAUUAAAAGCGCUUUAAAUUAUUUGACCUUGUAUAGUAUAAAAAUAGUUUUUGUGGCCACAACAUUACCAAACUAGGCCUUAGUAGCGCACUAAGCAAAUAAACAUCAGUUUCUUGUAGGACAUUUGAACUUGUCAUUGAUGCAUCAUUUUAGAAAAUAUGGCAAACAAAUGCAUUAGACAAAAUCGUUCAGCACCAAAAAACAUACACAACAGCGGACAGAUUCACUGGCUUAACUGUUGGAUCAAUUUUAGUCGAGCUGUGACAUCACGAGGUUAUGUAGUAAAUUAUUCAUUAUUUCAAAGAAUAAAAUCGUGUAUUACAAUAACAUUUAUUCUCUUUUUAGUCAUCAAUUUCUGUUAGAAAAAACAUGUACUAAUCGCUAAGCAGAAAUCAAUAAACACUAUAUCAAGACAAUUGGUGAGACUUUGUAACUAUUAGUUAAAUCAGCCAAAUAUGUGCCCUUAUAAUUUAUCUAGUUAUGGUAGAUGUUUUGUUCCUGAUUCAUAUUGUUCUAUUCUUUUCUUCUUCUUCUUUUCCUCCCUUCCGCAGCAUCUACCAGAAUCCAGCUCUUCUCAGAGCAGCGUCAGCAGCCUUUUGGACAUCCUGCCGCGUUAUAUCGAAGUUAAUAUGAACUAUUCGCCUCUAUUGAACUCCCAGUGAUUCAGGUGCUUCACAAAACUUGUUGGCUCACAAACUUUGCUGAACCCCCCCUUAACUUGUGCUUUAGAUGAUUAAAAAAAGACUCCACCGGAUUCCAUCCAUUUUGUGGAGCUUAUAGAGAUGCCUGUGCAUAGUUCAAAGUUUCUUGGUUGUAUUAAUUCUUUCAAAGUUCUUGUUGUAUCAUAACCUCUUUGUAAGUGUAUAUAUAUCACUCUUUCAAAGUUUCUUGGUUGAGACGUGAUGUAUCCUUACAAUAUAACACAAAGUUGUGCUAUUUUAACAGCGUUUGCCAUCUUCUUGUGCCAAAGAUUACUUAUCCUACUCCAUGAUUUUCAACAUGAUGAGAAAAGGAUGGACUGAAAUUUAACCAACAAAAUAAAUUGAUAAUCCAAUAGGUGCCUUUGGAUAUCAGGCCAUAUAAUGCCCGGUUAAAAAAAGUGUUUAAGUAAGGUUGUUGCCGAGAAGCUGUAUUUAUUGCUAGUCAACAAAUGCUCAUCCAAAAAUCAAUAAUCAGACACGAGUAUUAUAUCAAUCUGCUAAUCUGAUUUCUUCAUCAUCUACACGGGUCCAUGACACAUUACUAUGGAAUGAUAAUAAACUACGAUAAUUAUUGCGUUACAUUCUUUGACAUAUUUAUAACAACAUUUACGAGUCCCAUAAUUUCCAUUAUACUUAUAUUUCUUAUAGUACAAAAAAAAAAAAAAAAAAGAAAAAAAAGAGAAACAGGUGACCAUCCAAGAGGAAUUGGAAAACGGAGUAAAGUCGAAAUCUUCGCAAAACCCAAAAGAAAAAGGCUCAAAAUGUGGUCUUUCUCAGCCUUACCCUAGCAAUUCUUGCUUUGCAUGGACUGACGUUCACUUCUGCAUCGAGCAGGUUCAGUUGUGUAUAUGAAUCUUCCUGAUCAAAACAACUCCAAUAUAGUUAAUAUAUAUUUCUCACCUCGCCGCUGCAUUUCAAGCUUCUGAUUCAUGCCAAGAACUCAUUAUAUACAUUUGCCCACUCUUAAUAGUAGAAAUUGGAAUCCUUCUUAACUGCCGCAUCCUUGCAAAGCAUCGAACGCACUUCCAUGCUUGAUCUAGGAGGUUCCAGAUCUUUCUCUUGCAGUGCAUUGCCAAGCAGCUGUUGCAUCUGGGAUGCAAAUGUAUCAUCCAAUACCUGUACGUGAAAACCUCUAAUUAGAUCAGUCUUUAGAUGAAAUAAAAAACGAGUGGCUUGUGUACAGAUAUGGGUAACUGAUCAACUAGCAGUUGAAAGCUAUAAAGAGCACUUCUCAUCAUAGACUAAGGUACUUACAGCAACCGUGACUCUUGCACCUUUAUACCAAGAGCGAUUCUCUUUCCGGUUCUCCAAGAAACUAAGAACAUCCUGUAAUUGAAGGUUGAUUUAGAAUACAUUAUAAGAACAACAGCGAGAAGCUAGCAAAAUAGAAGAAAAUCCACGUACUUGACCCAAUCUAUCCCAAAACCCUCGGCAUACGGCCACAAAUACAUGAACCCCAAAUACAGUACGGACAUGAUUAAUAGUUUCUACAAGCUGAUCCUUUAACGGUUGCAUUCUGCUCCGAAUGUCUGAUUCCAUAAUCAUGUCCUUUGAGUCCUGAAUAAUCUUCUUAAGCUUUGUGUUGCUCUGCAAACGAGUCUGCAUUCGACAAAAUUAAAAGACAGUCAUUACAGAUAUCAUGCUAUCAUUUGUCUUCUAAUAAUGAAACAUUUUCCACUUCUAGACAUCUCCCACCCAAUUGUUGUACAAAUUAUAAAUAUAACUGUCAAAGAGAUAAUUUAACAAGAAAGAAUUUUCCAGAUAUACUCACAUUUUCUGCAAGUUUCUCCACAACAGCUUGCAAGUAAUUUCUGAACUUAGCUCUCAGAGUUACCGUUACUUCAUUGAGGCAAUCUCCAGCAACUGCAUUUCCACCAUCAGGCAUACAAGAACCCCAAGAUUUUAAUUGGGCUUCUAUUUUAGGCCGCAGCACAUCAAGCAGUCUUUUCAUCGUAUUCAAAAGAAUACCUAGCUGAAAAGGGAAAAGAAAGAAGAUAUAGUGGUCAACUUCUACGAACUGCUAGUAAGUAAAAUUUCUAGUAGUUCGAUUAAACUGCUUACUUCGUCAGGCACAAUAUAAGGGGAUAUUGAAUUGCGUUUGGCAAGUUUAUGAACAUAUUUGAGGCCAAAUUUUUUAGGUGUCAUACUAUCCUUCAGAGGAGCCAAAACAUCUGCAUACUGUUUCUCCAGAGCUUCAAUCACUGCCUUCUCAACAUCUGCAAUAGCCUUGAAGUUUGAAAGGCAACAAAAGAAAAUCAACCAAGUCAAGUGUUUAUUAUGGAAAGGAAUACACAAACAGUAAGGACAAUAGAUGACAUACAAACAUACAUUCUCGAGAGCGAAAAUGUAUUCUGGCCAACGGCAAAUGAUGACUUCAUAUUCCAGCAAUGUAUUCUUUAGUUGCUCGUACAUAUCAUCAACAAAUGGUGUUGUCAUAUGCUGUGUCCGAACUCCUGACCAUUUCACCUGCUAAUUGAAAAAAGUCACUACUGAAAUCCAAAUUAAGAAAUGCUACAAUUUUGAAUGAAGAGCUAAUGGCAUUUCUGAAGCACAAAAUUAGAAUAAUAAAUCAGGAGGUCCAUCUAUUUCUUUAUGGAGAAAAAAAGGUAAAAGGAGAAACUCAGCGGAUAUUAUUGAAAAUUCAGGAAAUAGCUAGUAAUCACUCAACAUAACUGCAAUAAAACUUACCUUAUCUAACUUGCAAGACUCAAGUAAACUGAGGCGCUUAUCUUGAAUCCAUAAUAUAAUAUACAAGUGGAACAACUCCUUAGCAUCAACACCUCCUUUAAUGGGGCUGUUAAGAUAUUAUGAAAAAUAUAACUAAAAGGAGAGUGGCUUAAAGGAAACGAGACAUUAGACGAAAAACUGUAUAAGAAUUUACCAUAUGUUCCAACUAGCAAGAUCCUUCUGAAACUCAGCAGUUGCAAUCACAAGAUCAGCCACUGGUGACGAAGGGCCAGUUGGAGGACAUGCAACUAGGAAUGCGCGCAGUCUACUAGAAAGCUCGACACUGUAAAUGGAUGCAGCUAAAUUUGGAAGGUCGACAAAACUGUAAUAAGAAUAAAAUGUGUCAACAAUAAGUUAAAUAACAAUAACAUAAACUCCUUUGCAUAGUUCUUACAGUAAAUUUAUUUAUGACAGAGCUCUAUUUAGAAUAUAUAAGGUUUACAAGUACAAAAGAUAGAUAUCAUAGUACUUGUGUAAUUCUUUUUCUGGUUUCUUUAUUGGCUACAGAUAGGGAUAAACAAAAAACUACAAGCCACGAAAUGCUUUAGAUCAGUCAAACAAGACUAUCGGUACUUUUAGAGAUAAACUUCUAAAGUUUGUCGCAAAUAUAUCGCAAAUAUAUCUAAGUGCAGAACAUUCAGCAACUAUGAGUAAAAAACUGUGUAAAACAAAGGAACUACAAAUUGAUCUUACCUAGGAAGUACAUGCUGAUUAUGAAUUUCAAUGUCAGUAGAUAUCUCAUUUCGAAUAUUGAAGCACAACGCUCUCAUUUUCUGGUAAGCAGUAGAAUAAGUCACAACAUCCAUCAGAUUGCAUUCAGUGUUCCCUGCAACAUACUCAUCAGUCUCAAGCAAGUGCCUCCUAGCUCUCUUCUUAGCAGCAGCCUGAGCAUAUAUGGUGUGUUAAAUAUCACAUUAGAAACCCAAAUUUAAGCACCAAAAGCAAAAUCAUUGAUAUAGAUGAACCUGGAAAUAUUUGCACAGCUUUAGUUGGGCUUCAGGAGAUAAAAUGUCAUAGAGAAGAUUAUACAACUUCACUGCCGGUGCUAGUGCUGGUGCUGGCAAUCCGGUAGCAGGCCUAAAACCUUCCACCAUUCCCGAAGGUAAAGACUCAUCUAAUGACUUGUAAUUCUCGAAAAGCAUCUCCAAAUUAUGUUCAAUCUGCUCCUUGAUUUCUCCAAGAAUGCGGUUCUAAUAAAGAAGCGUAAUUUUACAUGUUACUUUAGAUAGUGUUUCCAAAACAACAGCUGAGAAAGAACUUGUAUAAGGAAAAAAGACAAACACAAAAGUUAAAACCUAAAAAAAGAAUCAGCAAUAUGGAGCUUGACAUUACAAGGUGGAAAUCAUCUUUGAAGAACCACAAGAAAGUAAUAAAAAAAUUAAGGUGUCAAAAAGUACCAAAUUGUUUUGUAGUAUAUUUUAUCAUUUACAUAGGAUUGUAUUGUGUAUUCACAACCAAACUAAUCCCAAAGCAGUGCAUCAGUUAAUAAGAGCAACAGAAUGAUUACACCAGCUAGAACUUGAUAUUAAAAAAAAUAUGAACAACACCAACAGAUAUUGUUAAUUGAAAUACGGACAAAGAAUAACUAAAUAGAAUAGGAAUAUUUCUGAAUAUGCUAAAUAAGUACCUCUUGAUGACUCAAUGUAUUGUUACUACGGCUCUUCAUAACUACCGGAAGCAGCAGAUCAUGAACCAGCGUAAGACAGUCCUCUGUGGGGGUUGCCACAUCCAUAACAUAUGAAAGGUACCUGAGAAGUAUUUAACACCACUAGUGACAAGGUUAUUUUGAUAAAUUUAACAUGCAACACCCAAUAAGAGAAGAUCAUUAAACUUUAAUAGUAAUGGCAAACUUUAGAUUCAGAGCAAGCCAUAAAUUGCUCUUAAGUUCAAUUCUAUAUUUAUUGGGAAGCUCAUGUUGAUUUAGAAUAGCAGCAAGCAAAUAAUAUCAUAUCUUUUUUAACAAAAUAUUAUGACAAGAAUGUACCUUAAUUUGGUGUAAGCAUCUGAAACUCCAUAAUAAGAUGCAAAUUCUGUCAAUAACCAUUUCCAAGAUCCAUGCAACAACAAGUUUCUUUGUUGAAAAUGCUGGGUUUUCAUAGCUACUUCAAGAACAAUAUCAUAUGCCACAGUCUCUGCAACAGAGCCAUACUGUAAAGGUAGAAGAUAUUAGAAAAGCAAUUAUGGCAUAUACAACUAUCAGAACAAAUAGAAGAAACCUCUAGACAACUACAUGACCUCAAGCAAACACCAAUAGAUAGAAAGAUCUAAGCCAGAGAAUACAACAAUUUGUAGGAAAAAAUUAUACAAGAUUAACACAGCAGUUAACGAAUGUAGAGAUAAAGACUCCACAAAACACAAGUAAACUCUUCCUGAAAUCUGUGACAUCUAAAUCUGCUUGACUUUUUCUUGGUAUUGUAUAGUUUUUCCUGCUCACAAUCUGCUCCCAACUUGAAAUAAGCAAGGCAACAGUAGGAUAGUCAAGGCUUUCCAUGAACUCAUUGAUUCACGACAAACAGGUCCCAAUGAGGCUUAUUUUAACUUGAGAAUAGGAUCCAAAAUUAAACGAAACACACUUUCUUUUGUUUUCUUUUCUUUACUUUUCUUUUUAGAGAGAGGCAGCAAGCUACUCGAUUUGUUCAUUUUUUUAAAGAACUAAAAUCCGCUAGAAAUGUGAAGCAACCAGGCUUCGUACUUGGAACCCAGGUACCAAACAUCAAGCCCUUAACGAAUUGUGCUAGGUAUGGUCUAGGUAUGGUCUGUUAAGCAAAAUACACUUUAUUACUAAAUGAUUAGGCAAAUGCAUUAGAAUUUCAAGUUUUAUUAUAGGAUCUCAUGACAAAUAAAAAAAAAUGAAGAAUUGGGAAUUGUGGGCUGAAGAGUACGUGCAAGAUAUUGAUGCCAUUGCCACUGAAAGCAUUGGACCUUAAACAUGAACAAGAUGCAAUGAACAUCUUAACAGCUUACUAUCAGAAUGGCUCCCAUACCUUCAAAUUGCCGUUCUCAUCAAGAGUAGUUGUAUAAUUUGCAUACAGUUGUAUUCGGCCGACAAGUUCAUGUUCUGGUUCACGAUAUAUCGACCACCAGCGAAGUUUGUUUGUCUGCAUGGAAGAAAUUUUGAGAUCACAACAGAAAUAAAUCCUUUCAGUUCGAAUGAAUACCAAGGGCUUGGAAACUCUUACCGGAUCCUCAGCAAUGCUAGCUACUUGACCUACGACACGACCACAAGACUUUCCUUUGGAAUCAUAGAUGUCAAUAAUUAGAUCAUCUCCUAAGCUGUCAGGGAAGCUGCAAUAUCCAGGCAAGUGUGUUAAUGCACACCUCAACUAUUGCAUCAAACUAGUUGAACUACUUGAUUUUAGAGAAAAUGAUUAAUUUCUUCUGCAAAGAAUACAUGUAGAGAAAUUUAAGCAUCAACUUAGUAACAACUAUUUGAAGAAAGGUAGUUUAUACAUACAAAACAUGUGUUUCACCAGAUCCAGGUUGCAUCCGAACACAGCUAUCUUCAGCUGAACUUUUGAGCCUCAACUGGCAAGAGUAUGUUUCUGAGAAAACCAGUAGUUCAUCAGAGAAGAUUGCUAAUGCUAAAUGCUCUAAAAGAAUGUAAUAUACAAUACCUUGUACAAUUUCAUACGAUGAACUGCUGCGCAGAGUAGUGACUCCAACUUUAAGAAGCCCAGAUACUUGUUUAAUGUACUGAGCACUCGCAUGCAUAUAUGCCAAGCUAUGCCUUGAGAAGGAACUAUUAGCAGGGAGGUGCGGUAAAACACGUACUUUCCGAAGUGACUCCCAUCCUGAUGAGAGAGUUGACUGUACAUUGGACAAACGAUACCGAAGUGUCUCAAUUUUUACCACUGGGCUUCUCAAUGAUGAGAAACUGCAUCCAGAAGGCAUAUCCAGCGACAUUCUAACUUUACGAACUGAUCAUGAGCAGAAAAUCUUGUUAGAGUCCAUUAUCUAUUUAGAUUAUAAUAAUAAAAAAAACAGACACUGGAAGGGGAAAGAGUUCUCAGUGCCCCCAUUAACUGUAUGAAAUAUGAGCUGGCCUUAUCAGAAUUCCAAACAUCUCACAGAAUUACCAGUUUUCACUAAUAAGAACUUAAGAAAGCAAAAUAUACUGUUAGUGAAAUAAGCUGCACACCUUGGACCUUCAGCUUGCCAAUUGUUUUCUUGGGCUUUGGUGCAGCUCCUUCACUGCUGAGCUCUGAUGUCCGCUUGGCCAGCAGCUCCUCCUCUGAUUGUAGCAAGAUUUGCUGCAAGCUACAACACGAAGUAGGAAAGACUGAGAUUUAGUUUAUACUUGACUUAAUAAGGUAAAGGUCCAACAUGUAUAUGCAGCAUAUGCUUAUAUUUAACUAUGAAAACUACCAACAGCUGCAACAAAAACUGAUACACCACUAAUAGGAGUGCAACAUAAAUUUUGGCCUCUAAUUUUACUUUUUAAAAGAGAAAGCUGAAAGAUAUGUCUGCAUAUCCAGUAUCUCCAGCAGUGGAAUUUGUAUCCAGUGGAAAGAAUAGCUAGCACAUUGAAAAUAUUGCUAUUAAUAGCAUAGAAUUUCAACAAUCUAGGAGACUAGGACUAAAGCUAAAUUACAUGUCAGCAGCAUUAUAAAACAAAACAAUAACAGCACUCAGCACUAAACAUUUAUUACACUCUUCUCAAAAUUUAAAUGACCAGGAUGAUUUAACUAACAAGAAUAAUGAGUUCCAACUGAAUAGACUCACUUACCCAAAUGUACUUCGCAACAGUGCACAUUCAUUUUCCAGAAAAAUGGGAGCUUCCAUGCAGCCUCUAGCCCAUGAAUGAAGGCAUAAUCGAACACAUGCAUCAUAUGCAAUCACAGAGUGCCAAGGUCCUUGUCCACUAAAAUCCAAGGAAACAAAUGAGUUACAAAGAAAUAAGAAAUGUGAAUACAAGUUAUUAAUGAAUAUCUAACAAUUAUACCUGGCAUGAAAAGUGGGAACUUUAGCAGGUAAUGAACUAGAGGAUGCACCAACUUCUGCACCACCUAGUGUAGUCCUGUAAAGCGGGAGGAAUGGUUUAAAUUAAAGAAACAGAUAACAGGGUAAAUUUAGAUACUUUGCAUAAUGUGUAACACAAAGUCAUUACUAUAUUAAGAACCUCGAAUUUUGGUCAGGUAUAUUGCUUCCUUCAUUAACAUGAGAACUUGGCUCCUUUCCUAAAGUUGAACUAUUAGAUCCAAUAGUUCGAGUACAGCAAGAUCUGGCGGCUGAUAUUUGAUCAGUAGCUUGGGAAAUUUCUUCAUCACAGCCAUGUAUAGGUGGUGCACUGGGAACACCAGUAAAACCAUUCUGCAAACAAAUUUACACAGGUAUGAGCACAAGUAAAAUGGACUUCAUUUGUUGACACAGCAAAAAAAUUUCUAACUGUGCAAACUAGCUGAAUUAGUGAAAGAUGGAUUCAAUGUCCAAUAACAGCUGAAACAUAAGUUCACCAUAAAUUAAAGAAUUAGCAUCCCCUCCCGUCACCAUAUUGUUCAAUCUCAACUGUUCAACUAAAUUAUGUAAAGGACAGCAAAUUGAGCACAGAAGCAAGAAUUUUAUUGCAUCUGGUAUAAUUGCCAUAAACCUUCAGUCAAUUGAAAGAACAGGCGCCCUUUCUAAGUUUCAAGGAUAGCCCAUAAUACUAUAUCUAAACAUUUUAACCCAAUAAGAAUGUUCUUGUUGUUUGGUAUUUGAUGUGAGGUCAUGUAGUGCAUACGCCCGGUGACAUCGCACAAGUGAAAUUCAAGGUAGGCUGCUCUCUGUACGUGAGAAAGAUCCAGGAAAAAGAGAAAUAAGGAUUUAUCUGACAGGCUAUAUCAACUAAAACUUGCAGUAUCCAGCUACAAACACUAGAAUUUUGACAUUGAAAGCAAAGCCCUGACUUGUAAAAAACUAGCCCUGCAAAGAUUAGCGUACUGUGUAAAGAAAAAACCAUCUAUUCUAAACAGAAGACCUGCAAACAGACAAUGUGAUGAAAAGGACACUGUAUCUGCAGUUAGAAGAGAAUUUUAUUGGAAAUGCGGCACAUUUCAGCUAUAAAUAAUAUAUGUAGAGGUUUGUGAUGGAACCAACAAACAAUCUAUCAGACCCGAAGUUCCUAUCGCACCAUAGCUCAAACCUGGCUUUCAUAUUCCAGUCCAACAUUAUUUUUCUUAAAAGCAAUUUAACAUAACCUGACUCGUAAAACAAUUUACAAUCAUUCUUCUAUUAUCUGUUCUCAAUUUCCUCAAAACUAAAAAGACUAUCUGCAGUAUCUAAAUUUGGUAGACAAUAUAAUCAAUAAAAUGUCAACUUCAAAGGUACAUCAGUUGAACAAUUCAAAAGAUAAGACACAGCAAUUGUUACCUAUCAAUCAACUCGGAUAAAAUAAUAAGCUUCAAAGAACAUUUAAGGAACUUUGAGGAACAUGGAAUUUUGAGGAACAAACCAUGUUAGAGGGAACUUUCAUAUUAUCUCUGAAGGGAGCGCGGUGAGAGUAGUUAUCUGACUGGUAAUUCCCUUGUGAAGUAACACUGGCUUUAUCAGCUGCAACAUUUGCAGCUUCUCUGAAGGGCACAUUCCGGUUGUAGUUCUCCGCAGGGUUGAUUCCUCGCGAAGCCCCAUUUACGCCUCCAUGGAUCGGACGAUCACGAGAGUAAGUCUCCCUAACAUAACUGCCCCCAUUAGGGACCCUCGCCUGACUUGAAAAUUCCGAGCUACCGCCUGAAUCCGAGAGCUCCUCCUCCUCCUCUACAUACCCAUUCACCCGAACCGGCUUCUUGAACUGCUGUGGCUGCUGCUGCCGGGGAGCAGUGUCCCUCGACGAACUGAUAUCGGAGUACCCAUCGCUCGAAUAGUAUCGCGGCGCUGAGACUGGCCGCACAUACCGGUUACCAAUUCCUGAUCUCCUUGAAGACCCAUUAGGGUUAUCAUCGUCUCGCGAGGAUGAGUCAAUGGAAUACCUCCCAACGUAAUUCUCCGCCUCGGUGUCGGAGGACUCAUCCAUGUCGGAUCCGGAGCCGCUCUCGACGUCCUCCGUGCGGAUGGCGUGGGAAAUGGGCAUCGCAGCUUUUGGCAGGUGGCCACUCCGAAACUUCUCUGGCGGCGGGACGCCAAGCCCUCGUCCGCCUCCACCGCCAUUGCGGAUGCUGCGAAAGGGGUCGAUCCGGUUCUGCUGCCUCGAAACCGAACCCUGGCCCUAUACAUUGCCUCUCAAUUAGAUCAAGAUACCAAAAAAUAGAGAAAUAGAGCGUGUAAGGGAGCAAUGCUCACCUCGCGAACCCAUCGAAGCGCGUUUGGAUCGAGCCCCUCAGUGAACAUGGCGGCCUCCGCCGAGGGUUUCGUUCAUAAACCCUUCCCCACCAAAAUUCCCAACGUAAACCUAGCAUUGUUCAAAUUCAAAAAAAAAAGAGAAGAAGAUUUGAGCACUAUAACAAUAUUCUAAUCAGAUCCAUUAGGUAUACGAGGGUUUACUCCGAACCAAGAGAUCAAGAACACAAUGCUCCCACUAAAUCGCCACCAGAGUAUCCAAAAAAAAUUCAAAAAAAUAGGGUAUAUCCCUCCGACAGCGACACAAAUUCACCCAAAACGAUCAUGAAAAAUCCAAACAAAAUGUUAAGAAAAAAAUUGCUUACUUUGAAGAAAAGUGCUCCGGAUUGGAAAUUUUGGAGGAUUAUCUUCACCGAUUAAAUCGACAAAAAUGCGAACGCGAAGCUCACAGUGAACUCGCUCCUCUCCUCUCUCUUUGUUUUUUUUCAAAAAAAUUCAAACAAUUAGAGGGAGCAUAAGGUGUGAAGAAGAGAGCGAUGGGGAGAGAAAGAGACAAGAGACAGAGUCGCGGACGUAUGCGGAGAAUUAUUAUUAUUAUUAAAAUUUAAAAAGAAAAAAAGAAAAUUUCUGAUUCCUUACAAUGUUAACGGAAAGGGCCAACCACGUUCCCGACGCCGUUAGAUGUCCCGCGCGAGGGUGACGUGGCGGCGCGGCACCGUUGGGCUCCGUAACGGUCGAACGUUAGUGGGAGUGAAAAGACGCGGUCGCCCACCACGGCACCACCCCCACUCCCCCGUUACCGUCGCGGACGGAAAGGACAAGCACGUUCUAGACGCCGUUAGAUUCCCAACGGGAGGAUGACGUGGCGGGGCCGCGCCGUUGGGGCCUUGUAACGGUCGAACGUUAGUGGGGGGAGAGGAGGAGGUGGGAGCGUCCCACACUACACUCAAGCCGCUAUAUACACUCGGAUUAAUUAAUUAGUUAAUUAAUUAAUUAAUUAGUGUAUUUGAGUCGCUUCAGAUCGCUCGGAUGUGCGACGCGUGUCAGAAGGGACGAUUGAGCUCGAGCGAAGAUAUAUGCUAAUUUAAUUAGUCAUAUUUGCCUAGAUUUCUAUUUUUAUUUUUUAUUUUCCUUUUUAGGUGCGCUCGACCGCUGGAUUUGACACUUGUCGAGCAUCCGUGGGAUCAUCCGAAUACUUUACAUAAUUCACAUGUGUGAUUGGAGUGAUGUAGCGAAGUGCUCAUCGUAGGACCGGGACCACCACUUUCGAAAUUCUUCACGGUCAACAAUCUACAGCAGCAGUGUGAACCAGCACAUGUUUCAAUUUUAAAAUUUUAAAUUUUAACACACGUUUCAAUUUUAAAAUUUCAAAAUUUAAUAUCUAGUUAAUUUAUAUUUUUCAAUUAAACUUAUUUAUUAAAAAAAUGAACUGGGUAGAAUGUUGCCAUUCUCUCAGAAAAAAUAAAAACUAUAUAUCCUUCUCAGUAUUCAUGAAUAAGGGGUGCAUUCAGGGAGAAUUAUUUGAUUGUAUGUGGCUUUAACUAUAUAUAGUUAUAAUUGGAUAUAGGUUCAAAUAUAAUAUUUAAUUUGAUAAACUACAAAAAAAAAAAAAAACUCAACUGCAACAACUAGAAUUAGAUUGAAAUUAAUAGGUUCCAACAACAGCAAUCAGAGAAAAUAAGUUAGAUAAAAGACAUGUUAACUUUGCUUAUCGUCUUUUAAAUAAAAAAAAAAAACUUCCACAUUGAGAGAUAAUCUCACCAUCCUAUAUAUCAAUUAGUAAAAUUUGUCAAUGCAAAUCACCAUUACAUGCAAUCAAACAAGCUAUUUAUAACUACAACAGUUUCUAUUACAUCCAACCAAAUAUAAUACAUGCAAUUAUAUACUAUUAAAUUGAAGUUUAUACUGUAAACAAUUGCGUUUGCAUGGAAAGAUGGACUGAUUUAGUGCUUCAAACUAGUGUUUUGUAUCCAAUAAAUUCAAGUGAAACAAAGAAAUGCCUUUCUAAAUUUCUAAUUUCACCAUUACAUGCAAUCAAACAAGCUAUUUAUAACUACAACAGUUUCUAUUACAUCCAAUCAAAUAUAAUGCAUGCAAUUAUAACUAUUAAAUUGAAGUUUAUUCUGUAAACAAUUGCAUUUGCAUGGAAAGAUGGACUGAUUUGGUGCUUCAAACUAGUGUUUUGCAUCCAAUAAAUUCAAGUGAAACAAAGAAAUGCCUUUCUAAAUUUCUAAUUUCAGCAAAUAUCGUUUAGAAGAGUUUUUUUUUUUGGGUCUCAGUACCAACCACCAAGCCCUAGACCCAAAAAGAAAAAAGCACUUGCCGUAACUGGUAUGUAAUGCAAUGCAUCUAAUCAUAUUUGAAGAAUAAGAAGCGCUUGCGGGAGCCGAAUAAGCCCUCUAUAUAUCAUCUGCGCGUAUACGAAAAAAACAAGCAGAUGUAUACAUUAAACAUGUACGAGAUAUUUAUAUCCGUUGCCUUAUAAAGGUUGUUCAUGUGUGAUCAUCCACUACUGAGCAAAGCCCACCAUCAAGCAAAAGGAGCAUUGAUAUACUCUAUUAUUGUUUUCUUGUAAUAGUAUAGUGCGCCGAACGCUUCGCACACUAUUUUUUUAUGAAUUCGUCUAUGAAUUUUGUCAAAAAAACGAAAACACUAAAAAGAAAAGUUCUACGUCAUAUCUAUAGUUGUGCACAUGCACUUGCUUCCAAUGGUGGCCUAGCUUCAAUGUAUGCACAUGUUGGAUAAAUCUAUCAGCAAAAAGUAAUACCGACGGUCCGUAGCGCAAGUAAUAAAAAAUUUGAUAUCCAAGAUAUCAAGUUUAAAGUUUAAUUACUUUAUAUUUUCAACUAAAUUUAUUUUAAAAAAAAUAAAAUAAGUAGCAUGUUAUCUUUUUCUCUCUAAAAAGAAAAAAAAAAAAUUAAGUUCUACACUAGCGCGCCAGGUCAGCUUGUGCAUUGCAACUUUCGAACCAAGGACAAUAUCUUGUCUUUUUAAGUCCAACUAUCCCAUCAGCAUAGUAUUUGAUUUGAAAUUGAAAGUAAAUUUGGACGGCGAGAUUGAUGCAUGCGAUGCGAUGCAAUGAAAUAAAUAGUUUCAAUAGUGUAGUACAAAAGCACAUCUUGUAAGUCAAGUUUAGGCAAUAAAUUUUGCAUGGCCUAGCAACAAAAUCCAACAGAUCAGUGUACAAACGUACGGGGAUUUUUAAUUAAUAGGAAAUUUUUGAUCUGUAGGCACAUGAGUGUGCAGUGAAUACUAUUCAAAUUUUUUUAAUAUCUUAAAUUUAAAUAAGUCUAAUUAAGAAUGGAAAGCAAAUGUUUAAGAAUUGCUGAUCAACGUAAGUAAAACUAGUGUAUCUUAAUUUCGUUAGCUAAAUACUUGAUAAAUCUGUUUUGUCAAUAAUGAAGCUAAUAUUCUUUUAAAGUAACUUACAAUUGAGAUGAACCUAAAUUAUUGUAAGAUUAGUAUAAACCAAGCUCCAAUGGGCAUCCAUGCAUGUGCUUUACAUGUGGAGUAACAUGCGUAAUUUGCGGAUAACAUGAAAGGUACGUAAAGGGCUCAUAUCCUUCGUGUUUAAGAGAUUAAUGGGAGACCGACCAUCUCUAAAGCAAAUGGCAAAGAAUUUGAUGGUUGGUAUCUGAGAUCCAAGUUCGAAUCCUAGUUGAUUACAUUUCUAACUAAGUUUAUUUCUAAAUGAAAUAAACGAAGCGGGUAGCGUGCUACUUAUCUCUUAAAAAAAAAAAGAUUAAUGGGAGGAUUAUGAAUUGAAAAUUUGCUGGAAAGCUCCUCUAAAGUCUCCUGUGAACUCUCAUUUAUUCUCACCUCUCUCUCUCUCUCUCUCUCUCUAUAUAUAUAUAUAGAGUUCGGCUACUAUGCUAUUAAUAGCACAAAGCAUUUGGUACUACCAAGUUUUUCGCCGUUAGAUCUAUCAUUUUGAUCACUUUCACCCAUUAGAUCAUACUAUUCAACCAACCACCCACUCAACUCUAGAGGGUCCACAUCAUCCUGAUCACACAUCUCUUAAUCCAACGGCCAAAAAUUUGGUGGCACUAAUAACUUGGUGCUAUUAAUAGCAUAGUAGCCUAGUUCUCUCUCUCUCUCUAUAUAUAUAUACUUUAAUUUGAACAUAAGACGCGGGAAUGGGCCCUACAUGUUUGUGUGCUCUUGAUAGCUGCAAGUUAGAAUUAGCUUGCUCCCAAUUCCACUCCCAUGGACAAACAGCUAAGUACAGUUACGCAUGGGUGAUUUUUUAAGAUAAAAACACCAAGGUACCUAUUUUACCUGAUUACACUAAUAGUAGAUUUUUUCUGAUAUCAGUUUGUUACAAUUAAAGCAGAAAGAUUUAGUUCGUCGAGUGUGAAAAUAUUAAAGAAAAAGGAUAAGAAGGAGAAGAAAAAUAAAACAUACAAAUAUUUACAUAUUUCGACUACUGGCCUACGUCCAUGGAUGAAUAAGUGAAAACUUUUAUUAUAAUCAAAGUGGUGCACAAAAUAUGCUUUUUUUACAAAACCCUACACACAUAUUUCUCCUCAUGCACUAAAUUAAUAGAACAAAGAUAUAUUUAUAGCAAUAGCUAAAUCUUAAUAUAAUUAGAAAUACAAAUCUACUAACAUUAGGAAUAAUCUCAAUUAGAUAAUACAUAAUUUAAACUUAACUUUAUAAAUAAUUAAAACGGAAUAGCGUUAGAAAAAUCUUAUGGCUUCAGAAUUCGGGACAACUAACAAUGGGGUAGCUGCAUAAGGGUGAUUUUUCUAGAUAAAAACGCCGAGCUAGCUAUUCUAACUCCAUACAAAUAGUCGGCAUUUUUGUGUGGCAGCUUGAUUUAAAAAUCGAGUAACGAAUUUACUUUCAAAGGACAAAGCAACCUCCUCACCAGUAUUAUAUCCAGCAAUCAUACUUCCAUUCCGUAAGAAUAAAUUGAUUGUAUCUUAACAUCCAUCUACUGCUCACCCAGUCAAAUUUAGGUACGGCUUGAGCCAUACAUGGCCCCGUGACAAAAUUUAAAUUCUUAACAUGUAUCUUAGCAACUCUAUGCGCUAUAGUUUUUCAUUAAUUAAAAAACUUAAUUUCUCACCUGAAACAAUGUUAUACGCCAUCUUUGGAAGGCAUUUUCUAAUUUCAUUCACUAUUUCCAAACGUAGUCAUCUAUCUAUUAAUGGAUGAUUCCCAUUUCCCUUACGUUUACACAUACAUUUACUAAUAAAAGGCCUAAAAGGGGCUCCUCACUUGGAAAGAGACGAGAAUGAAUAGGCAACUUAUAGUAGCAAUAAUAAUUCAUUAAUACGUUGCGUUACUUCGGUAAGAAGGUGACCUGCGACGCGAGGACACCGUGAGUAGAAAGUAACGCGUUGCAUUCAGGAAUCAGGAGGACUUUUUUCGAAAAUAAUUUUGUGAAAUUUCGUAUUUGCCAAAUUAACCUUAUGAAAUUUUUAUUUGUGAAACUAAUCCUCCUCUCGCCACGUGGGCGCCACGUCAGGGAUUCCUCAAAAAAACGGUGAAUCAUUCACCGUCUUUGAUAUUUGUUGUGAAGGCGGUGAAUGGUUCACCGUCUUCAUAAGGCGGUUAAUCAUUCACCGUCUUUAGUACAAAUCCCUACUCUGCGCAAAUCUUUCCAAAUCCAUAAUAUGGUGUCCUUGAUAAGACGGUGAAUCAUUCCCCGUCUUUUCUAGGGCACAGAAACGGCGGACUUGAAAGGGCGGAAAGGGAAAAGGGCGGAAAGAAAAAUUUUGCACUAAAGGCGAUGAAUGGUUCACCGUCUUCUAAAGGCGGUGAACCAUUCACCGUUUUUACAACAAAAAUUACAAAGACGGUGAACGAUUCACCGUCUUUUUGAGGAAUUCCUGACGUGGUGCCUACGUGGCGAAAGGAGGGUUAGUUUUACAAAUAAAAUUUUGAUAGGGUUAUUUUGUCAAAAUCGAAUUUUUGGAGGGCCAUUUUAUAAAAAAGCCCAAUCAGGAUCUUGGUCUGACGUGGUAACUCCUUUUUUCUGGGAAUUUCUCGUGGGUUGGUCUGAAAAAGUGAACCGCCCAAAGCCUCUUUUCCAGCUGUUCUAGAUCACUUAUUACUGAACUAGAAAAUCCUGCGUAUUUAAACAUCAGAAUAAAUUAUUUAGCAAUUAUUUUAUUGGAUGUGAAUUUUUGAAAAAAAAUUAUAAUUGAAAGUUAGAAAUAUGGUUGUAUAUUUAGAAUGAAAUAAUAUAUUCCACCUUCAUAUUAAUUUUUUAGAAUAAAAUGAAUGUAAAAGCCCUUCAAAGAGCAAAAUUCAAAGUCCUAUUUUCAAUUUUAAAUAAAAAUUUUCAUACUGAAUAAAUUGACAUUGGAUAACUUAUUCCAUCAACCAAAUAAAACAUAGGAGUAAAUCUUAUGUCCUUCCAUCGAAGAGUUUAGAUGACCUUUUUUAAGUAUUUUAGCAUUAAAAAAAUAGUAAUAGUAAGACUAAUGUGAAACUAUUAGCUUUUGAUGGAAAGCCCUAAAAUUUACAGCAGUUGUGGUGCAAGAAGCAUUGCACUUUACCAUAAUAUAGAGAAAAAAAAAAAAUUAUGAGCAAUUUCAAGCAUACUCCUCAAUUCUCGAAAAAUAUUAUGGAUGCUCUUUCGAAAUUAAUUAUCCCUCUAAACCCCAAACUCAAAGCCUAAACACUAGAAGGGAAUCUGGUUCGGUCCAUGAGAAGGGAAGAAACUAGUUAGCUUAUAAAUAGAGCUAGGAAAAUCACCACAAUCUCUCAACAUUAGGACAUAAUUGUUUGGCCGUUAACUAAUUUUUCAUCUAAAUAUAGUUUUCAUUUAAACUAGAAUUCAAAUAAAAAUCAUUCUUUUACUAUUGUUUGUUUGAUGAAAAACCAAUAACUUUGGAAUUAAAGUUCUCUUACUUUACUUUCUGUAUUUGUUUCAGCCCACAUUUUCACUCUAGCACAUAAAAGGGCGGGCGAAAAAAUUUAUCAACAGUCGACAUUUUAUUGUUUCUUUUCCAUUUCUUUCUCUUCUGUAAUUGACAUCGCCACCGAUCCAAGCGAAGUCAAUUACAGCGUUCUGACGAAGUUGAGUUACGGCCGAACUUAACAUAUGUUAACAUAUGGCAAACCAAACGAAAUUGAAUGUCUCCAGCUAAAAAUCACUUCACCAUCCCCUCUAGUUAGCGGCAAAACAAACAAUCCUAAAUUGCUCUAGCAGAAACCAUCUAAAAAGCACACUCAGAACCUGAUGAACAAAUAAAUUGAGAGGGCAACUAUCAAUUAAAACAAAUUAUUAAGUCAUGCCACCGCCAAUGGUCACAAAAUCCAUAGUUUUCUUUUCCCUUUCAGUAGCAUUCAAGUGGCCCGUGCCUCAUGCAGCAUUCCCCGAGUCUUAUAUUUUAGUGAAUCUCUUCUUAUUAUUUGACUGUUACACACAAUAGUGAAUGAUAAAGCUUUACCAUUUUACUCGAGUGCUUCGCACUGUGUAUCAUAAACAGUGAUGCCCUGAGGUGAACCACAGUUGCCGUCCACGAUAAGUGCUCUCUCAUUCGCAGCCAUGUGCGCAAUUAUCUUGUAAAUCAUCUCAAUCUGAUGAGCCGGCAAAAAUAAAUGUUAAAUGAAUAAUAUAGAAUAAAGCUUAAUGUCCAAGUAUGAUGCCUAAUAAUGAUUGAUAAUAAAUGAGUCUUUCAGGAAUUUUCCUUGUCGUAUAUUUAUGUUCUUCCAAUUUAAACACAUCACCGAUAUUUGAAUAAAUUUUAAUCAAAAUUAUCAUGAAGCUUAUGCAUGUUUGUGUAACUGCACCUAUUUUAACCCAUCUUCCUCACACCUGCUCCCAGGCAUGUAUGACAGUCCAAGAUUGCAAGUCCUCAGCAAAUUGAUAAAUAGAAUGUUUAUGGCUUGUCGUCAAGGUUAUGGUAUGGAAAGCAAAAAAUAUGAGGCCAUGUUUCAAGCACUUCUACGCAGAAGAAUGAAGUUUUAGAACAUAAUCAAAGGAAAUUCAAAACACCAUACUCUGCGGCGAUCGCUCCAACAACCUAGAUAUGGAAACUGUGAAAACUGUGAAUGAUGGUUUCGGUAAUCCAUAAAUUAUUUUUUAAGAAAUCAAUGAAUAUAAAACUACUAAGCAGAAAAUUUUCUAUCUUGCAAAUAACACCGGAAGAUCACUUACAUCUUCAGUGGCAUGGCAACGAUCAGCGAUUUCCGUGAGCGUCAGCGCCUCAGCAGGCUCUUUGCAGCUAAAAGAUAAUAAAAAGUCACACAAUUAUCUAAUGUUACUGGAAUAUACAGAUGCACUGAACGAUUUUCUAUGCCAAGAGCUAAUCACAGUAUAAGAGAGUUUAAGAGAGACUUGGACCCAAACUGGUUCACAUGCUAGAUGGCAAAAAACAAAUAAAAUAAGAUAAUGCAAUAGAAACAUUAAAAGUAUAAAACUCAUAUAAGCUAAUGCCAGUAUUAGGAAACCUUUACGACUAAGUUUGCUUCUGAAGUUCACUUAGUACUGAAUCCUGGACUAGUUUAUAUUUGGCUGAAAGAUGGCAACCAUUUUGUAAGCAUGUGAGACAUAGUGAAGAUUUUUGCCAUCAGCAGCCAUGAGAUGAUUACUGUUACAAUUACUUUGAAAGCAAUCAGAACUAACAGGUGAACCAAGACAAACAACUUUGCACAGAAUGAAGACGUCAAAUAUAAGAAACUUCAAUGCCAAUACAUUUCAAGAAUGAUCACUACUAUCCACACAACUGAGCAUGUUUUUUUUUGGGGUGUGUCACAUAUGAUAAAUGCUAUCUUUAUGUGUAGGCUAAAGCUCUCAAGAUAAUUUUUAUUAGUAAAACCUUUAAGAGUCCAAAAUUAGUUGUUAUGAGUAUGUAGGAAAGUGAAGUCAAGUAAAUUCGUUUGAAAUAAACAUGAAAAUAAUUAUUUUAAAUGUUAAAACUCUGUAUGCAUAUUUCUAGCUUCUAAAAUAACUAGUUGCAAUAGAGAUAUCCAAUUCAGUUCUCAAUGGAUCCACACACAGAAGAGGUCCAACGAAAAAAACUGAAUGCUUUGUAUGCGUACCAGUACUUGAUGGUGGGAAGUGAAACAAAAUCAACAAGCAAACAGAAUAUGUACCUGGCCUCAUUGAGAACAGCCAAGACCCUCUUUUGAAGAGCCAAAACUUCUCCUGCUGCCUUUUUUCCUGCUUCUACGCCUGCAGUAAUAACCAAAAAAUCAGGCAUUGGUGUUUAAUAUGAUAAAGCUAAAGCUUUAAGAGUAUGAUUAUUUACAAUAUUGCCUUCCUCCUAGUUUAUCAAGUAAGCAAUAAAAUACUAAGUAACAUACCAGGCUGAUGGUAAGCAUUAAUGUUGAUGAGGGAAGCAUAUAUCCCAACAGCUCGUUCAUAAAGUGCAAUAAGAGCUCCUACAGAAGUAGGAUUUACUUCUUGCACAGUUACUGUAAUUGAUUCCCUAUCAUUUGCAUAGAGAGCUGAACGGGUACCCUGUACAAAGAGCCUGCUGGCUUUAGUGGUAGACAACAGCAAACUAGUAAUAAUCCAGAAUUCUAGAUAUUGUUGCCAUGUUGCAUAGCAUAGAUAUAAAAAUCUAUAUUAGUUGCCUAUGCAAGACAGAAACUAGCUUUAGAGCACACAGCUAUUAGUACGAAUGUUUCUCAAGAACCAUACUGAAUCAUCCUCAAAGAACUCAAAAGUUGAAAGGAUCCAUCGAAUGUCUGAAUAGAUAACAAUUACUCAGUUUGAACGGCAACAAAACAUGAGAUAAACUCUAAUUAAAUUUAGGCAAGACAGGACUGGCAUCAAACAUACUUCAAAUCAGUUUCUGGAAGAAAGUCAUGGUUGCACAUUAGAUUCAUAUGACAAUGGCAGGAGUAUGUUACCCAGGACGGAAUACAUGGUGGUACGCUAGUUUCUCAGGGACACGGUAGAAGGGGGGUAACAUUAGUCAGAACGUUAUUUGAAAACGCGGUUCAGUCGGAACAUCAAUAUGGAUCGACAUACGUAGAAAAUCAAUAACUUACCUUUGUUACUGUAUAGUUCUUAUCUCUCAUUAAGGUCAAUUAGGUAUUCUCUCUUCUGAUCAAAAGCAACUCUUCCUUUUUUUUCAUAUGGGCGUAACUCUUUUGCAUUAUUUAUUAAGGUGGCCUAAUAAAUUAGAUCUAGAAAAUUGUAGUUCUUCACUGUUCUCAGUUACCCACUUUUUGUGAUCCGGAUCAAGAAUCCAUGACAAAUCAGAACGUGCGAUCUAGAUUGCAGUUUGAAGGGUGAAGGGGGAUCUGUGAUCAUGGUUACUAUGGGCACAACCACUAACAAAAAAGGCUACAAAAAUAGAUGCAAUCGACAUUUACAGUUUGUAGCAGCUUUCUGUGUACUUCAAUGGAAGUAAGAACAGUUAAUAUUAGACCAUGAGCCCGAAAGGAAGCCCAAUAUGAAAACAGAUCGAAAAUCAUUAGUUUCAGAUGUUAAGGAAGAAUAGUCGAAACAAGACCUGAAGCAUUCCAAACAAGUAGUCACCACAUGUAACACCUGGCUCAAGCUCCUCCUCUUGACCAGGAUGCCUAUCCCGUAAUACUUCAAUGAAAGUAGCAAAAAAGUUAUGGACGCCUUCUCUUAGCUGUUGAAUAUAGCUGCAAUAACAAAAUCAAGCUUAUAAGCAGACAUUCACUGAUAUCAAGUCAAACAAGAGAAAAAGUUGCAGAAACUCACGCAUGCUGAUCAGUGCUUCCUUUAUUUCCAUACACAGUUAACCCUUGAUUAACCUGCCAGAAGAAAACAGUCAUUGUCAGCGGCAGGAAAUCUGCAAUAAACCAUUAAAUAUCAUCCUACUAAGCUGCAUCAGCAUAAUAGAUCCCAAGUAGAUGGAUCCAGCGACAUGCACUGGGCAAUGAUAAGUACUAAGUACCAAAUUCAUCCAUUUGCUAAAGUGUUUUUCUCUAUUUUCUGUUCAUGGAAAGCACUCCUUUCGCAAUGUACAGCAAUACGAAGGAUUGAGCUGAAUGAGACAAAAUCACAGCUCAUAAAAAUUGAUAGAGACAAAACACUUGCUGUUAUUGCUGGCGUUGCACAACUGACCUCAAGUAAACAACUGAAAAAUGAGUCAGGCCACCUCAGGCUUUGCCUGCUUAUCACAAAACAGAACUCAAGUCAACUGAUCUAAAGGCACAAUUUGACGGUCAAGUGGCAAUUAGAUCUCAUUUGAGCCGCUUAUAGAUUAAAGUCCUCAAUUUUUCAUGUAUAUAUACCUUGAUUCAAUUGCAUCCGAAAACGAAGUCCACCUUAUGAGAGGUAUUCUACAUCAUGAAAAGUAUUUUGUUGCUACAUGUAUAGUCUGAACUUCUCAUAAUUGGCACUAACUGUGAGGAGGGAUAUAUUAGCCAAUCUAGAUAAUAAAAAUGCAACAAGAAGUGACGUCAAGGUGCCAUUUCUCUGUAAAAUGAAAGCAUUUCUAUUGACUGUGUAAACAACAUAUUUCAACAAAUAACCUCAGCUGAUAAAAGAAUCUUAUAAGAAAAAUCAGUAAUAGAUACCCGAUUCCCAUCAAGAUCAAAUUCUUUUCCAAGAGAUUCCAUGACCAAUUGUUGCAAAUACCGACUAAAAAGUAGUAAACUGUCCUUAUAAGGAAGCACAACCAUAUCCUGCAAGCAGGAAAAAAGCACAGAAGAUGAACCAAACACGCUGAACUGAAUGAGAUGAAUGUAGAAACUACAGUUGAAACAAAAUUAUAUGAGUAAAUAUUGCACACCUUAGAUCCCACACCAUCAGAAGCCCAGUACCAACACAUAGCAAGCAAGGCUGCUGGAUUAUCCUUAAGCUUGAUAAGACGACCAAAUCAAAAGUAAGUUAUUCUUAAUUCGCAUAAAGAUUAAGCAACAUUUGGGGUCAAUAUACAAGAUGUAAAAUAUCUUUACCACAGUAGUCCGAGUUGCCUCAUCCAUCAAGGCUGCACCAGCAAGCAUUUCUUUGAUCUUGAUACCCUGUGAAAGUCAUUACUGAUAUUAGUCCAAAUGUUCACAUUUUGCCUGUAACAACUUUUUAAAAUGACAAGACUACACCUGUAGUGCAGCCGGAAGUAGACCAACUGCUGACAUCUCUGAGGUUCUACCUCCCACCCAGUCAAACAUAGGAAAUCUUGCUAACCAACCCUCUAUUCUUGCAGUAUUGUCUAAUAAAGAAUUCUCCUGAGUGAUUGCAACACCCUGCAGAAGAAUUGGUGCUCUAAGCAAUGGACCAAAUGAGAGUGAAAAUAAAUGAUCAUGCAUGCUUGACCACCUCCGUAUGUAUGAAUUGACUAUCAUUAAAUCCUCCUCUGUACGUAUGAAUUGACUAUCAUUAAAUCCUAAGCAAGAAAUUACUAGAUCUUAUGGUAAAAAAUGGUCUUGAAGGAAACAACUUGUAGUUGCUAAAGAUGGAGAGGAUUCUUUACCCAGCGUAGGGUGUUAGGAUCCAAAUACCAUUGCAUGAAGCCAGAAUUUAGCAGCAAACAUGGUAUGACAGUUUGAAAUUUCACAUCUUCUUCAAAUAAUAAAACAAGUAAAGGUGCUUUCUUUAAAACUAACGUUGUGUAAUAUACUGAAUAUAACCAUUAAUAAACUGUUGUGCCACCAAUAUAAACAGAAAUUAAUAAACUGUUGUCAACCUAUUUGAGUAUCGAGAAAUGAUGCUACACAGAAUUGCGAAAGACAGAUCAUGGAACUAUAAUGAAGAGAGACAGUUGCUAUAAAAUUUACUAGUCAUCUACCAUGUUAUCACUAAAAGAUCUAAGCAUGACCGCAGUUCCAUUCCGCAGCCUUUCUUUGUUCAGUGACAUCAGCCUGACCAUUUUCUUACCAUUAAUGUUGACCGUAUCAUGAACUUUUAACUUGUUUUUGAGAACUAAACAUAACUCUUAUGCCCCGACUAAAGAAAAGGGGAAUAUGACGCUGUGAAACGGGAUUCCAAGUUCAAUAGCUUCACAAAUAUGCUGAAGGGCACAAAAAAAAAGAGAGCUAGCUAAAGUUAGUUUGUUUUUAUUGAAUAUUGAUACUACCGAGUCAACAUUUUGAAUCCACGACCUCACAAAACUGAAGGGGUUUAGAAUUGGUUUUGAUACCAUAUUACCCAAAAGAUCGAUCUAAUAGGAAAUAGACUUGGUAAUAUGAUCAACAGCCCUCCACACAAGUGCAUGAUGAUUUUGAAAGGCACGUGGAACUGACAUGUGAGGUUAGACAUGGGGAUUCAAUCCAUUAGAAUAUAAUGUGGGAAUUUCAAUCCAUUAAACACUGAGGGGGGAUAGAACCCAUGACCUCAUAUAAUAAAGGGUAGGAUUAGUACGUAGUCCUAACAUUAAAAAUGAUGAACAAGCACUUAUAUUGUCCCGAUGUACCCUGAGACAUCCAUGUCCAACUCUAAAAUAGAGAAGAUAUAUAUAAAGCAAAAAAAGAACCUGGGAUUAAAACCUGUUUUGAGAAAAUCAGUCCAGCUUUGCGGAAAGCUCUCUGUACUUCUAACAGACCAUUUCGAGUUUCAGGGGUACCUCCGCUCUGAAAUUACAAAAACAAAAAUGAAACUAUACUACAUUAUGAACAAUUACAAUUCGAACAAACAUUACAAUUCCUCAGAAAAAAAUGGAACAGACCAAAAGGAAGACAAUGGGUAUAUCUUGCAGACCUUAGAUAUUACAAUUACAAGAGUUGAGGCGAGUUCCGCUCCAAGUUGUGCAAUUUGAUGAUCAAUACCGGCUGGGUCUGUAUUGUCAACAAAUCUUAUCUGGCAUGUCAAGGAAGAUGGAAAGAAAAAAUUAACAUGUAAGAACAGCAUUUACACAACAAUUGUCACAGAAAUUGUUGAAUGUUAAUAGUAUCUUGGGAAAAAUGAUUAAAACACACAAGAUAAUUAGCUACAUUGACUAAUACCUCCAAACAAACUGAAAAAAAGAAACAUAGAAAGACAGUGAGUCAGAACAUUUAUGGGUAAAAUUUGUUGCCAUGGUUAAUGGCAUUGCCAAGAGUAGAAUCAUCUUAAUAGGGGUUUAAACUUUAAACAAGACAAGCCUGAACAAUCAUGGUGCUUGAAAUACCUAAAUGACAAGAUCAAGCUCUUUUGAAGCUCAAUUCAAGCUGGGAAUGGUUGAGCUUGAACUUGGCUUGUAACUAUUAUGGGCCAGUACAAGAUCAGCUAGUUAGCUUGGCAAGAAGACUGAAUAAACUGAAUCAAUCUGUAAGCUCAGUUAGGCUUGUUGGCUUGGCUAGCCAGCUCCAAAAUGAACACUGAAUAAAGUUUCCUUUUUUAGAAAAGAAAAGCUCCGAAUGCUAUUUGUUGGACAAAGAUUCGAAUGAGUAGCCUGUGGUUUGUGCACGGAGAAGUUGAUUGUUAUCCUAGAUUGAGCUCAUAUAAAACUUUUAUUGAUUAUUGUACUUACUGAUAUAUACAUAUAUAAUCAAGUGUUUUGAGCUGAGCCCAGUUCAAGCUUGGCUCGUGAAACAAACCAAGCUCAAAAUCUUGUCUUGAGCUGGGCUUGUUUAACAAUUGAGUGAGCUUGGCUCAGGCAAAACCGAAAAUGAGUUGACCUUGAGCAGCUCACAAGCCAUGAGGUUUUUUCACACCUUAACUAAAAGGAUAAAAUAAGACUUUCAGCUGAAGUUAGAGCGAUUUUUCACCAGGUAGCGGCAAUGAGAAGAAAACAAUCCCAAUAGACGCGACUUCAAUUCAUCUCAGUUGCAUCAAUAACUUGGAGAAAAACCAUUGGAGCAGAGUGACUAUCAUGACUUCGAAGAUGCAGGAUAUACCUUUAGAGGAGGAUUGUCAGGAGCCAAUGCCUCGGCAACAAACUGCGGCCCUAGAGCUGAACCUCCAAUUCCGAUAGAAAGUAUCUGGGUAAAGCAACCAGCUGUAGAGGAUGGCGGCUUAAUCUGUUCAUAUAUCAAUGGCAGCAGCACAAGAGAAGCAAACUUUAGUAUGAAAAAAAGUUGAUCGAUGCUUUGUGGAACGCAUGGCAUAUCUAGUAAAGUGCUAGCAUAUAGAGCGGUAAAAGGAAAACAUCUAACUAAGAGGGUGAAACAGAGAAAAUUCAGCUAUGCCAAUCAAUUAUUAACAUUAGUCCACUACUUCGAUGAGAGGGCCCUUAAAAAUUAGAAAUAGUUAGACAAAGCAAUCCGAGUAGAUAUGGUUAUUUUGAUGUAUCAGAUAUAUAAACAAUUUGUGACUUUUACCCCUUCUUGACAUUUAAACUACCAAUGUUAAAAAUGAUACAGAAUAAGUAACAAAUUGCCUGCAAAAAAAGUCGCCUUAACGAACUAACUAACCAAUUCGAAGUCAUGAUAGUCCCUCUAUUCUGUCAAACCUGUAAUAGAUUUUUCUAGGACAUCUUACACAACGGAAGAACCUUUGAUGCGUUCAACAGGCAAAGAAUAUUUUAGCACUCAAGGUGCAAAAAAACGAAAUUGUAUUUCACAAGAGCAAGAUCAUGCAAUGCCAAGGACCGCUUAAACGCCUUGACAAAUGGUGGCGUCCAGAAAUCAUAGGGAUCCCUCAGCCUAAGAGACCGGUUGGGCACCUUGACUACCGUUAAUGAUAGUAGAGAGUCAAAAACUUCACAAUUCCCACUUUUUUUGCCAUUUAUAGAUAUGCCUGAAGUUCAGUAGAUUAACUUAGCAAAGGAAAUGGUAUAGAAAUAUUGUAACUAGCCCUACCUUAGCACUGAUGAUGUCGUCCGCAAAUUUGCAGAUGGCAUCAAUCGUGUUCUCGAUCUGCGACCUCAGGAUCUCGGUCGGCGCGAGCAUAGGGCUCCUGAGCCAGUAGUGGCCCACCAUCCGCCCCUCGUCCGGGUUCGAGAUCGCUCCCUUCUCGAGCUCCUGCAUCGCCCGGAACGCCUCCUGGAACCGCGGCUCCAUCCGCUCGACGAACUCGUCGGUGAACCCGAUCCGGCUCACGUCCAGAUACAGCUUCAGCUCCUUGUGGUGGUACAACCAGCGGACGUAGCGCUUCCAGAGGCGGAUCGGGUCCUUGUCGACGCCCCCGGGCUUCUUCUCGAUGGGAGCGAAGUUUGACCCGCCGGAGGAGGAGGCGGAGGAGCGGGAUAGGUCGGCGACGGAGUGCGGCGGCCGGAACCGGCGGAGGCGGCCGGAGGGGGCGACGAGGAGGGAGGCGGCGUCGGGGCGGAGGGUUCGGGAGGGGCGGGGGCCGAGGGUGGAGGAAGGGGCGCAUACCCCGGGGAUCGACGCCAUGGAAAUCGAACGAGAGAGCUCGAGAGCGAGCCGUAGAAGACGAUGGGGGGGGGGGGGGGAGGCUGGGGGGGUGUGUGGUGUUCGCUCUCACCAAGUGGGGUCAGUGAGGGAGGUGGCACGUGUGGGAGACGGCGCGAGGGCUUCGCACGCGCGGCGGGGCGUCGCUGGCGGUGUCCCCUAGCGAGAGCGGCGAUAUUGGAAAAUCCUUGUUGGUUGGUGUUCGCACACUAUGACGGUCGUUGAUUGGACGGAGUGUUCUGUGGCACCAAAGGUAGGUGGCUCUGUGGGCAAUUAUUUUUCUUUGAAUUCCUACAUUUUAUUCGAUAAAAUUUAAUUAUUUAACAAAUAUGGUUGUAAUUUUAACAUAAAAUUAUAGUAAAAUAAACAAAAAAAUAUGAUAUAAAACUACUUUAUCCCUCUAUAAUAUAUAUUUAUUUAUUUAUAAUCAUCUUAUCUCUUCGGAUUCAGAGUAAAAACGGCCGUAUACGGAGGGCAGGGAUGAAGCCAGAAUUUAAAUAGUAGAGGAGUCAAAAGCUAUAAUUUUUAGAUAUCUACAUUUUAUAGUGUAUAAUAUAUAUAUAUAUAUAUAUAUAUANNNNNNNNNNNNUUUUGAAGUUUAUGCGAUCUAGUUCAAAUUGCCUCGUAUAGCAGCUAAACUUUUAAGGUAGUAGCUUAAUUUUUAAAGUAGUAGCUUUUGCCGAGUCCUCGUGCCUCCGGAGGCAUGAGGAUUGUCGUGUCGUUAGGACUAUAUAUAUAGAAAAUAAUUUAAAAAUUAUUAAUUUUGAAUCUUUUUGAUUGCUAGGUAAAUAAUAUUGAAAAAUCGUAAAAUUUAUUUCCUAGAUACUUCAAAUAUGUUAGAUCAAGUCUAACGGAGCCGAUUGUUGAUUCGAAAACCCAUCAUCAAAAACGGCGGAGCACAGAGACCUCCGUGCUCCUAAUAGCACACAAGACCUACUUUAUAUAUAUAUAGUUUUUUACACUGUUGUUUUUUUUUAGAACUACUAGAUAACUAAUAUAUACUCAAAAUUUAUAAUUUUUAAUUUAUAAUUUUUCAUAUAAAAACCUUUCAAAUGAAGCAGAUUACAUUUACAGGAUAAAUUUUAAUUUGUAAUAUAUACAUACUCCGAAUCUCGUCAAGUAUGAUGUAUGGUGUAUUAGGUGCAUGCAAUUUUAUUUUUUCUUUUUUUCUCUGGUGAUUGACUCUCUACCAUUCAUGUUGUGCCUCAUGACACACUAAAGAACAUUUCAUGUAGGUCACUAUUAUAAUAUUUGUUUAACUAUAAUUUCUUAUCUUUUAAGUCUUAGCAAUAUAAGGGCAAAAAAUGAACAUUUUAAAAGUUGAGGGGGGCCUACAUAUGGCUUCGUCUCUGAUUGGAGGGGAUUUUUUUUUAAAAGAACGAAAUUUGCAUCCAUUUUUCUUUUUUUUUUUUCGAAUGCGAAUUCUGAUACGAAUAAAUGUUGAAUUCCAAAUGUGACACCUCACCUUUUUUUUCUUUCUUGUAACUUUUAUUUUUUAUUUAUUUUUUAUUUAAAAGUAAAUUAGCAAUUUUGUUAAAUAUGAUGGUGUAAUUGGCCAUUAUGGGGCAAGUAAUCCAGUUUUAUUUGCGACAAAAUUAUUUGAACUAUGAAACUGAUAACAUUAUCAAAAAAAGUUGAUAAUCUCUUCUUUGUUUUUUGGCUAAAUUCAAUUAACUCCUAAUUGUUUGGUUGCUAUUAUAUAUAGAAUGCCCUUUAUCUGAAGGGGGUCCUCAUUCAAGAAAGAAAGAAGAAACAGAAGAAAUUCUCUGAAGAGUAUAAAACAGUAGGGACUAUGAUCUUGUGAAGAAACCAGGGACAGCUUCAACAACAAUAAAAGGGAGAAAAAGUAAGAGCUACAUUCUUUGUCCAUUGCAUCGUCAAAAAAUUGGAACAGUAUUUUGGGCCAGUGAAUUGGUGGCGAAGCCACGCAAAAGAAGGUGAUGCGUUUGCUUUUAUGAGAUAUGAACAUGCAUAUCCUGACAGCUGCGCUUCUCGAUUUUACUUUAGGCUAAAUAACAUUCUAUUAUACCACACUUUAGUGUUAUUUUUAUUCACUAUAUUAUUAUUUUCAAAGAUAUUUAUUAUAUUAUUGUCUUUUAUCAAUCUCUAAUUAUAUUUUAAAUUUAUUUUUAUUUUUUUAAUUCCAACUAUUUUUUCUCUUAUAUAUCACUAAGUUACAUUUUUUUUUCUCAUCAAUCUUUACAUUAUUAUUAGCAAAUCUAUUUAUUUUAGACAAAAAUGUAAAAAUUUUAUAAAAAGACAUUGAUUAAAUAGUUAAAAAAAUAUAAAAUGAUCCCUAUGAUAUACUCAUUGAAAGCUUCUAUCAAAUUAUUUUUAAUUAUUUUUCUAUAAUUUAUUUUUUUUUUGUGUUAAAAUGAGUUGAAUAUAUAUUUUGUCACUUUUAAUCAAUAAAUUUUUAACAGCUUUCAUAUAAAAUUGUCAGUUUGUUACUUAUAAUGUAGGGAUUAAAAAAAAAAGGAUAGUUGAGUAGUGCUUUUGAAAAAGAAAAAUAGUAUAAUAUAGAAAGUGAAAAAAAAAAGUAAUAAUUAAGCUUUUAUUUUAUAAAAAAUGUAGUCUCUACUGGAUGCAAUGUGGGCCCAGUACGGCCAAUGUUUUCCAGGCCAAAUGGGCCAUGGCUAGGCCUGCCCAGACCCGUUGCAUAUUCCGAGCCAGGCAGGUUCCGUUCCGGCCCAUUUUUUUUUUAUCAUCUCCAAAAUUCAAAAAACAAAAAUCUCAAUGUUUUUAGACUUAACUGGAUAUUGAGGUCAAUCUAACGCUAUCAGAUAGAAUGGAGUUAAAAAAAAAUAUAUAAGAUAUGCUUCUCCGUUUUUUGAUGGGACCAUAAAAAAUAUAUCGUAACCGAUUAACCGCAAUAUGCGGAACGCAAUAUUAUGUACGGAAACAAACAAGAUAUUUUUUCAUCGUCUUUUUUACAGUACGUAACGUAAUCUUUCCGCAAUUUCAAAUGAAACCUUAGACUAUUAUAAGAAAAUUAUUUGGAUAGAAUUAAAAAAAAACAAAAUUUAAAAACUGUUUGAACAAAAACUAUUUGGAUAGAUGUGUAGGCAUCUUCAACCUAAACGUUACAUUGCGUUACGUUGCUGUGUUUCUACUCGGUAAAUAAAUCUAGAAUCUUCUUUUUAUCAUCGCCACGGCCCACGGGGACGAUAUAUGAUAUCUACGGGAUUCCCUGCUCGUCGGAGUGAAGAGUAGCGCGGGGGGAGAUGUGGUGGGAGGGGUUCAAAGAAGACGACGAAGCCGAGCAAGAGGAGGAGAGAGAAUCGCCCUUAGAUUUCGACUUCAUCUCCCAACUAUCCAAGCCUAAGGUAAACCCUAGCCAAAUCCCUUCUCUUUUCUCUAUCAGACGCACGUUUUCGUAGCUUUGCGCGAUUAAUUUGCCCUCAAUCCUCAUAUUUCCACUGUUUUUUCCGAAUUUUGCGCGGAAUUAGGGCUUUGUUUUAGGGGAAAUUUGGUGAUUUUCCAGGGUUUUUUUAGGUUAGAUGAAGCUCGGUAUGUCAGGGAAACAGUAAAUUAGGGUGUUUGAUGAGUAGUUCGUUAUGAAUUAAGGUUGUGCUUGUUGCGAGUACGGUAGAAGUAUGUUUGGCGAGGAUGUUUCCAUGUUUUCUGCUAUUAAUCCGUGUUGGGUAGCUAAUAUGUGGUGAAUGAGAAUGAUGGGUAGAAAAUUUGAAUUCUUCAGUAGCAGUUAUAUGCUACAUUUGGUGCAAUAUGUUAGCUCGUAUAUUGUCGGUGAUAGUAUUUUUCUUGUGGAUUUGAUUGGUUGCGAUGAAAAGUUAUUGCGAUAGAAAAGAUAAGAAACUGAGAUAAGUGAUGAAUGAUGGAGAUUGAGCCUUCAAUCUUUAUUAUGUUCAUGCGCUCUUCGUCCCAGGCGGACUCGGUUUCUUUGUUGUGUGGUCAUUGGAAGGGCUAAUCUUGUGGAAGAACUUAGGAAUUUUUACUACACUAUGGUAGGCUGUGAUUGUCUUGACUUCACAAACAGUUGAGUAUCACAUGCAUUGAGCAACGCAGGCACAUCUUUCCUACAUUAAUGGAUUUUCUCUUUUUUGUUAAAUAAAUUUGAUGUAAGAAUUUGUUUUCCUUGACCACUUUGGCUCUUCCUGAUGAAUAAUAUAACUCACUGAAUUCACUUAUGAAUAUAUGGAUUAGGAUUAGUAACUAGAAGCACGUUUCUUUGCUACAUGGGUGAAUGAAAAUGAGAGUAGCAGAUAGCAGCUCUAAAGUUUGCUAAGAAUGUAGGUCUUAGUUGACAGUCAGAAAAAAAGAAUGUAGUGCUGUGUUUGAAAUAUAUUGUUCCUAACAAAUUCCUUUGCAAGUGAGAAAGAGUAUAAAAUCCUGCUUAAUGGUUCAUUAUGUAGUUUGCUGAAGGUGAAAAAUCUGCCAUUACUAAUAGAUUAAUUCAGAACUCAGAUAAGUAGCAAUCAAAUACUGCUUAUUGUACAAAAUUUCCUCCCAAGGAAACAUUUUCUCAAUUUUCAUAUUCAAAUGGUUUGCAUAUUUGUGACCUAGCUUUCUUUUUUCUCUCUUUCUUCCUUUUUUUUUAAUAAUAAAUUAGCCUUCUUAUGAAGGCAUGAAACCUUGUGACUAUUGGAAUAGGCUCUAUUCCUGCAAUGUAAUAAUGACACAUAAUUCAACCACCGUCAGAUAAGUGUAAUCAUGUACUACCAUGGUAGAAUUACAUGGAGUAAGUGAGCAGAUGUUAGUAUGUGAGUAGACAUUGGCUGAUAGCACAUCCGCAGAAUGUUCCAGAUUCUAUUGUGAUGCAAGGAACUUGAUCCUUCAAGAUAGGGGAUGGCAAUAUAUUCUAUCUUCUUUUUCUUUUUUUUUUUUUUGUAUUGUUUUCUAUGUGGACUCGUAAAUAUCUUAUACAAAGAUACAUACACCUAAAUAACAUACGAUGUUGAGCAUGAUGAUCUUUUAGGCAAAUAUUGUGUUUUUCUUUUUGCCUUACUGGUACUUUUUUGACGUAUGAAUGGCUAUGUGCAGGAUUAUUACAAAAUACUGGAAGUUGAUUAUGAAGCUAAUGAAGAGACCAUUCGGUCAAACUUUAUCCGGCUAGCAUUGGUUUGUCCUUCUUUAAUUGUCAAAGUUAAAUUUCUUAUUUUUGUAUGCUUAUUUAACAAUGAGUAUCUUUUUGGUUUUAAAAUUCUUCUAAAACAUUGUGGUCAUGCAAAAUUAAUGAUGCUUAUAACAUACUUCAUUUUAUGUGUUUUUCUUCCAAGAAUCACUCUGUAGAUGAUGUUUAACGAUUGUAGUUUGAUGUGCGUGGAGUUCCUCAGAAGAUGUUAUAUGAGUUUAUGACUGUGAUGUUGUUGUUUUUCACAGAAAUGGCAUCCAGAUAAGAAAAAAGGCGAGGAGAGUGCAACAUCAAGAUUUCAAGAGAUUAAUGAGGCAUACCAAGGUUAGCUUGUUUGUCAGUGUAAUAAUGAGCGUCACAAGAACUUGCAGUUUUGCCGUACUCAUCUACAAAUAUCUGCAAAAUGAAUAUCAAAAUUUCUUGCUAAAUGAAUAUCUUUACAGUGCUUGCUGCUUCACAGUGUGGUUGGCCGUAAAUAUAUUGUCGUCGUAUGCAGUUUCUUUAGCCCUUAAUGUGUCGAAAGUGUAUCUUGCCAAGAAAUCUUAUCAUUGUUAAAAGGAGGCAAAACAUAAAUUCUUUUAUCUGCUAAGCUAAUAGAAUGAAUUGCCUACCGUUUAUGUCCUUGAAAUUAAAUUAGAUGGGCAAUGGAGUAGCAAUGCUUCUUUCUGUCAGUCUUUUUUGCCAUCUAGCAGUUUUAAUUUUGUGAGCUAGUUAAUCGCGAAAGUAUGGUCACUGCAAUUGAUAUAUAUUUCGUAUCCACUUAAGUCUUCAUUUGCUUGUAGAAUUUCCAUGAUCUUCAAACAAGAAUAUAGAUGCUCAGAGUUAAUUAUAUUCGUUGAUGACAAUAAUUCUUUUUUAAUUUAUUAACAGCUCAAGCUUUUCUUGUAGUCGCUUACCCUAUCAUAUCCUGUAACGACAAGUCACAUCUUGCUACCUUGCUCUUCAAGUUCCAUUGAUAGAAGUGCAAUUUUGCUCCAAAUUUUUAUCAUGACAUGCUCCUGAUUUGACAUUAUGCACUUUUGGACAGUUCUGAGUAAUCCUGUUAAGAGGCGAGAGUAUGAUAGGAAGGGAAUUCUGCGCAUCCAUGAUAACAAUGUUAUGGUAAGAAUCUCUCUCUCUCUCUCUCUCGGUCUCAGGGGACAGCCUAGCCGAAGAAACUGUUGUGUGUUUAUACUUUCUUCAUCUGCUAAUUUAUCAUAUUCUGACAAAAUGAUUUAUAAGAACCAAUUGCCACAUACCUCGUAAGUAAACAAAAGAGAUACUCUGAAAUAGAUAUUCAUGCACCUAAGAUAUAUUGUCCUGCUAACUGCCGCUUCAGAAGUUCAAGUGUCCUAACCAUGCCAGCUGCAUAGAAACUAUCUAUGUUGCUUCUCUUGUAUCUUUACGACCUUCAAAAGAGCUAUUAUAGUAUCAUAAUAUGAGAUGAAAGACAGUUUCCAGAAAUGUAGUUCCACAAGUGCAUGUGCAUUUACAUUAACCUCUACCUAUGUGGUUUGAAUCUGAAUUGUGUCCAAUCAUUUUAUCAGGGACUGCUGUCUUGAUAUUAUUGGUGCAUUUCUUCUCUAAUGGAAUAAUUAAAUCACCAGGAUGUUAUUUUUCUGAGUUCCAUUGUGUUGAGCUAAUAGCACACUUUCUGUUGCUCCAGAUAUGACGAUGUAGUGUUGGAAUUGUUCUCAUCAGUUGGUACUUUUUGGUUUCAGGAUUACCUGAAUCGGUACAAGGGCUUAAUAUUGACAUGCAACGGUCUUGGUAUCAGACACUCAAUAUGGUAAAACUACAGGUUGCAGCAACUUUUUGAGCGAUCCUCUAUAUGAUGAAUGAUGUAUUACAGUUGGUUGUUUGCGGCUGUUUAGCACAUUAUUUUGCUUCACAGUAGUACGCUAGAAUAUGUGUUGGUAAAGAGAAAAAUGAAAGGCGGAUACCAACUUCCUUUUUAGUAUAUGCCCUCUUCACUCAUGUUGAUUAAAACCCUGAAAUCCUUUUGUAUCAUAUUAAACUACUGAAAAUGUAAUCUGUGUAGAUUUCAUUUAGAAUACUGUGUAGUAGAUUUUUAUUUUUUUAAUUUUUUACUUUUUUUUAUUAAAGACGGGGUUUACCCUAUUGGAGAUGUGGUGGAUAUUAUUUGGAAAAUCUGUCCGACAGAUUGAAAAUUAAUGACAGGUGAAACUAAACUAUUUUCGUUUGACCAGGAGUAAAAUGUUCAUGAACCAAAUCAGUGUACUCUUCCAAAUUCAUUCGUUUGUUGUGUAAAAGCAAUCAUGUAUUAAUUUAUGCAAACCUGUGUUAUUACGUCGGGCUUUUGCAUUUAAUCUGUUGUUAGAUAGAAAAAAAAAAUGAAAUUUGGAUUGGUUUUGCUGUAUAAAAAAAAAUGAGAUGCUGGAAUUGAACAAAACUUAUUUUAUAUUAAUAUACAAUAAGAAAUCUUAAAUUUAAUAUUUAUCUAAUUAUUUGCAGCAUUUCUUAGUUUUAUUAAAAAAAAUAAUGUAAUGUAUGUAAAUUAUCUUUUAUUUUAAAUUUGUUCUUUUUUGUUUAGAAAUUAGAGCAUACUAUUUUCGAUGUUUGAAAAUUGUUUUGGCAUAUUUAUAUUGUUAUUGGAUUGUCGGAACUAAAAGAGUGAUCUGUUAUUAGAAAGAAAUCACUUUUAUCAUAUGAUCAUUAGUCGUUAUUAUGUUUGAAAGAAUAAAUCCGAAUGUUUUUGCGCCAAGCAUAAUGAAUACUGGUAAAGUGACUCGCGCUUUGCAGCGGAUAAAAAUCAUAACAGUAAUUAAUAAUAAUAAAAUAUUAAACAUUCUCUUGUGUAUCUCACUUGGUACAUUCAUUAUAGAUUUCUCACUGUUGGCGGAGGAUAUGGGUCCGACGAUGCCUUCUUCGGUGAUGGUGAUAGUGAUAGCGACGGAGGAAUCGUAUCUCACUUGGUACAUUCAUUAUAGAUUUCUCACUGUUGGCGGAGGAUAUGGGUCCGACGAUGCCUUCUUCGGUGAUGGUGAUAGUGAUAGCGACGACGAUUCCUCCGACCGCGGCGGAAGAGGAAAGUGAGCGUGCUUUCGUGAGAGAGAGAAAGAGGGGGAGCGAGGGAAGGAGGCGAUGGUAUAUAACAAAAGAUGAGAGAUAGAGAAUUGAUGAAUAGAUUGAAAAUAAAGAAUUGAACGACCGGUGGAGGAAAGGAAAAAGACUAUGAUGAAUAAUUGGAGAUAGAGAAGUUAGGAUUGUAGAUGGUAAUGAGACAAUUUAAAUAUACUAAUUGAAAGUUUGGUAGUGAGACUGUUUGUAUUAAUUGAAAAUAUAAUUGAGGGAAGGGAAGGUUAUGAUGAAUAAUUAUAGAUAGAAAUGAUACAAUUGUAAAUGGUAGUGGAACCAUACACUAAUUGAAAGUUUAGUUAGUGGGACCGUUAAAAUGCAUAUUGAAAAUUUGGUGACGAAAAGAAGAAGAGUCAUAUGCUAGUGAAGGUGAAGAAGAACUUGCCACACAACAAAUAUUAGAAAUUAAUAUAGAUUAAUAGAUAGAUUUGGUAUUUAUUUUUCUGAAUAAAUAAAGUCACACUAAAUUUUCUGUAUAUAAUGGCACAAUUAUUGACUUGUACUUAAUAGAUGUUUCUGGAAGCUAGGAUGUUAAAACAAAUACUUCACUGCUUAUAAUUAAAUUGAUCAUUUUGCACAGCAUUUUUUGCUUUUUUUGUCUUGAAAAUCCUUUUGUAAUUUUAUCUUAAUUUUUAAUUUUUUUUUUAUUUGAAAUGUUUUUAGACUCCUAACCCAAAGAAUCAUCACCAUCCCAUAAUAUUCGGACUAACACACAGAAUCCACACCAACCUAUAUUACUCUUUAAAGUUGGGGCUCGGGCCUCCAAUGUAUAUAUAGAUUUAAGUAAAUUUUAAGUUAAGUGACCUACAAUUACACAAGAUAACAAGUAUAUUAUUACUCAUUCUGCAACAAUCAACUCAUCAACCAAUUCAAACAAUUUCCAAAGUUUCCUCUCCUUACAAACAGUCUCAACCAAUCUCGCCCACGUUCCAAUCUCCGGAACAAAUCCCAUCUCGGCCAAUCCGUAGAAUGCAACAGUAGCAUCAGCCACCCUGCCGAUGUCGCAGAGCCCCAGCAGCAGCUCAUUCGAGGCCGCAAAGUGCGGCGCAAAUCCUCUCCCGAGCAUCAGCCCCAGCAGACCCACGGCCCUCUCCAUUUCCCCCCGCGCGCACAAGCGGUUCAUCACGAUCCGAUAGCUAGAGGCAUUCAGUCGAACACCUUCGUGCGGUAAACUCUCCAGCAGACCCAUGGCUUCCCCGACCCUCCCUCCCUUCGUCAAUCCCUCGAUCACGACGUUGUAGGCCACGACGUCGGCUUUACACCCUUUCUCCCUCAUCUCUCUCGCCAAUUCGAUGCCUUCGUCGACUCUUCCCAGCCUACAGAGACAGCCUAUUAACGUGGUGUAGCUCACCGCGUCCGGCGCCAAUCCUGAGCUCCGCAUUUCGUCGAACACCUUCUUCGCUUCUUCCACCUUCCCCUCUUUGCAGUAUCCGUUCAUCAGCGUCGAGUAAUUGAACACGUUGGGCUCGCAAUUGUUGUUCCGCAUGAAGGACAGGACGGCGCUGGCCUUGUCGAGCCGGCCUUGUCGGCAGAAGCCGUCGAUGAGCACGUUGUAGGUCAGCGGGUCGGGCGCGAUCCGGUCCUUGUCGAUCAUUUCUUCGAACAGGUGGAAGGCGUCCUUGAGACUCCCCUGCUUGCAGAGCCCCUUCAUGAGCGUCGAGUAGGUGAUCAGAUUCGGCGGCGCCGUUUUCGAAGCCCGCAUCUCGUCGAGCACUCGGAGGGCGGCGCCGAGGUCGCCGGCCUUGCAGUGGAGCUUGACGACGAUGUUGCGGACGCAGGAGUUGGGGUGUUCGACGCGGGAGAGCAGGUCCCGAGCGAGGUCGAAGCGGCCGGCGUCGACGAGGAGGUUGAGGGUGGCGGCGACGGCGCGGGGGGAGGGGCGGCGGCGGACGAUGGCGGGGAUGGAGCGGAAGAUGCGGAGGGCGGCCUCGGGAGGGGCGAGGCGGCGGGAGAGGAGGAGGGAGGCGAGGGAGAGGAGGGGGGCCUCGUGGAAGCGGCAGGGCUCGCGGCGCAUGCGGCGGAGGAGGGCGUCGACGGCGCGGAGCUUGCGGGCGCGGGCCAGGCGGAGGAGGAGCGCGGAGUAGGUGGCGUCGUUGUGCGCGAAGCCGCGCUGCAGGGCGACGGAGUUGAAGACGUCGAGGGCGCGCUGCGGGUCCUGGGCGCUGGGUUGAUUUGCAGCGCAAAAGCCGCGGCGGCGGUGGGAAAAAAAGAAGUAGCGGCGAGGGGGGCUUUGGGAAGCCGCGGAGCGGAUCCGCGGAAAAAGGAAGCCCUGGAAGCAAGGAACCGGGGGAAAGGUGAAGGUGGAGGGUUUGGGAGGUAUGGAGAAAGGGGAGAUCCAUGCAGGGGAAGGAAGAAUGGGACGGGGAACGGGAAGAGAAGGCUUGGAAACGGAAGGUGGUGACGAUGAAGGUUUAAUCCCCUGAGAUGUUGGAGAAGAAUUUUGCUCUGUUCUGAUCUCUCUCUCGCUCUCUCUCUCUUCUCUGCUCAGCCACGAGAAAAAAUCUAACAAAAGGGUAGCUUUAGUUUUUUGAAAAAUUUGGGUGAUUUAAAAUCUUGUUGUUCCUUUUUUUUUUUUUUUUUUUUUUUUUUUCUCCAUUCAUGUGUUCCUUUUUUCUUUUUUCUUUUUUUUCUCCAUAGACCAUAAAUGUCACUCGGUUAGUAUAGUUGAUAAAGUACUACUGUGUUUAACAAAUUUUGAAAAAUAUGAAUUAAAUUUGAAUUUCAAAAUUUAGAUUUGAAAUCAAAUUUAUAGUAAUUUAUGAAUGCUAAUUAUUUACAUUGAUUUUUAAGCUUUCUCUAGGACUUCAAUCCUAGAUGAGUUUCUAGGACUUCAAUCCUUCCACACAGGAGCAGGGGUGUAAACAAACCGAACACGAGCCGGCUCGUUAAGGUAUCGAGCCGAAAAAUUUACCUCGUGUUCGGCUAGUUAAUAAACGACCCGAUCGCGAGCUGGCUCACGAGCUGGCCAACGAACAAUAAAUUAAAAAGGAUUAGAUUAAAUAUAUAUAAAAAAUAAAUUUAUAAAAUUUUAUACAUUAGACUUUGAUCUAAUAAUUGAAACUUUACAUAUAAAUGAGUCUUUCUAUAAUUAAACUCGCAUUUAUAUUUUUAUUUUGCUAAAAAUUAAAUAAUUAAAAUAUAUAUUAUAUAUAAUUAAUUAUUUAUAUAUAAAAAUAUAAAUUAAAUAAAUUAUAUAAAUAUAAAAUAUAUGUAUUCGAGCUGUUAUCGAGCCGGCCGAAAAAUUCAACUCAUGUUCGGCUCGUUUACUAAACGAACAAGCCGAUCUCGAGCUCAUUUCGAACCGAACACGAGCCGGCUCGCGAGCAGCGAGCUGGAUUGCCACCCCUACACAGGAGUGAGUUAUCCUUGUACAUGAUCGAGUUUCCUAAGUUGCAUAUGUUAUAAGAUAUUGGAGGGAAAACAAAAAUUAAUGUAUCAAAAUAUCAAUAUAAGCUUAUGAAAGGGCGAUAGGUUUCGAGCCCUCCCCGCGUUUCGCGCUCUCCGUCCUCCCGUACGGCGGCGCCCCGCCCCGCCGCCCUCCCGUAUGGCGUGGCGUUACCGUCCUCCGCUCACCCUCCGUCCUCUCCUCCUUCUUUUCGUAGCCGCGACGCCAACGCUGUCCUCCCUCGGGAACACCGUCGCAUCCUCCCGUACGACACGGCGUUGCUCCCCUCGCCGUCCUUUCGUCCUCUCCGCCUUCGUGGUGGUGCCUCUCCGCCUUCGAUCGCCCCGUUGCCUGUCCCGUCCGAUAGCUCUCCGCCUUCUCUCGCCCUGUUGCCUGUCCCGUCCGACAUCCCAUCUGCCUUCUCCCGUACUCUCCGCCUUCUCUCGCCCUGUUGCCUGUCCCGUCCGCCAUCCCGUCUGGGAGGUGGCGUUGUGCCGUCGGUCGUGUGGGCUACGACUUUUCCUCCACCGCACGUUCUCGGCGCGUUCUGCGCGAGCGGGGGCGGGCGGGCGCCGGCGCGAGGGCGCGAGCGGCGCAGGCGUGCGANACCUAAAAAUAUUAAAUACAUAUAAUUAUCAAUAGCUACAUAUAAUAAGUGGCUUUGUGUUGCACAAUAAGAAAGUAUUAUAAAUUAUUUUCAGAAAGUUUUGAUAGUAAAGUCUAAAGUAUUAAUCGAUAAAUUGUAAUGAUUAACUGUAAUAAUGUCAGCCCGUCGCAUGGAAUAGCCCAAUAUGGAGAGAUGCGUAUAAUAUAGUACUUAGGAAAUUCUUAAAGAAAUAUCUCCAAUCCAGCUACCGCAAUCAACGUAAGAAGAAUAAUAUUAGUUAUUAACAUGUUUUUCUCCGGUUUUAUAUGUUAAUGUAUUUGAUUUUAUCUCAGAAGUUCACAAUCAAGUGCGGAAAUAUUUAAAUUGAGAAAGCGAAAAAGAGCUUUUAGGUAAUAAUAUUUUGAAAUUUAGCAUGUAUCAAUUCUAGCAUUUUACAAGUUCUUUUUUCCCUCCGAUAAAAAAUAAUAUACAUUUUUUUUUUUCCCAGUUGUGUCGACCAUUCUGGAUUAGAAGAUAAAUAAAGAUGAUCGAGGUUCCUGAUGCUGAUUAUAUUACUAUUAUCUAUAUACUCUUCAAAACUUCAGAAAUAUCUCAUUUAUUCCUACUUUUUUUUCCUUUCUAAUAUAACCCUCAUAUGUUCUUCCGUUAUUCCAAAAUGCCCUUAUAGUUACCACCUGUUAAUUUAACUUGGGUUAAACGUGAGUUAAUUUCUAUUAGAGUUAAAAAAAAAUUAAAAUGCCUCUUUUGCCCUUAACUUAAGGACAAAUAAGAAAUGUUGUUAAUGACACAUAAUAGUUCUUAUAAUAAUUUUUAGAGUACAAGAGAAAGGAUGCAAAAAAAUGUUCUUUUUGCUAUUAGGCAUAGAGACAAAAGAAAGGUAGAUCGAAAAUCCAUUGCUAAUUUUGGGUGGUGUAUUAAAACAUUUAAUCUCUGUUUUUUUUUCCUAUAAAAUAUACUAACAAGUAAAGCAGUAAAGUAGGUUUUUAAAAAGUCUACUAUUUUUUGGGAAUACAGGGCGACAAAGUUACAAAAAUAAAAUAAACAAUAAAAAUUAUACAUUUAAAAUUUUAAACUAUAAGGAGGUAUAGUAAAAAAAAGUUUAUUUAAUAUGGCUAUAACUUCUGUUUUUUGCUCUUCUUACCAAAGAAACUAUAACUAAUGUAAUGCACAAAUUACUAAUUGUUGGUUGCUGAUGGACUAAUAUAUAGUUCUUGCCGUUGAGUAGAUAGAUAUUGUAUUGUAUACUGAGAUGCAAAAACUAAAACUUCUUUUAGCAGUGGCAUUAAAAAAACAAAAACUAAAGUUUCGUGUCAGUUCGGAAUGAAAUUUUACAUUUAAUUUAAAAUUCCACUAAUUUGUUGAUUUCGAACUUAAAGUCCAAAUUUCGACUUACUGAAUCAAAAUUGAGAAAUAUGCAAACUUAAUGAAUCAAAAUUGCCAUUCGCAAAAAAAUUAAAUAGGUUAUAUUGAACAAAAUUUAUUUGAACUCGAAGCCUGAUGUUUUCCAUUGUCUGCUGAAAUAUUGCUGGAACAAAAUUUAUGUGAACUCGAUGCCGGUGAUGAUGACGGUUUCUAUUAAUGUUUGAAGGAUGGCAUAGAUUGCAAAAUUUGUGCAGCCCCACUUUAAUUGGAAACCAAAUGAGCUAUACUAAUAACGACAUCAUAGUGUGAUCCUAUGGUUAUGUAGUUUGAGAAGAAAUUACCUACUUUGAACUGUACGAUUCCAUGUUGAAUAUCGGUCUUAUAACUGCUGCUUAUAUUUGCCGUCUCUAUUUCUUGUGGUUGCGUGCUCUUUAUUGUCUGUUACUUUCUAGUGCUAAUAAUUUAUGCGAUUAUCACGAGUAUUGGUGUUAAAAUCUCCUGUUUAGUUGAUACCGUAACAGUUGGUUGUUCAAUCUUUGGCCUAAAAAAAUGCCUAACAUAAUGCAGGUGAUAUUUUGGUUCGCAAAAUUCCUUAGAGUUUUUAAAUUUUAAAUUUAUGAAAAUUACAGCUAAUUCUCAGUGUAAAUUAAGUGUAGAAUUACGUGUAUUUAUUUGUCACUGCUUAUGGUUUUCCUGUUGUUGUGUAGAUAAUUUGUAUCAAAUCCUCUGACUUAAAGAAUAUGCAGAACAACUACCAUAAUUUCCUAUAGGCCAUGAUUUCUGUUGGUGUGGCUAUAAUGGAUACAUGAUCAUUUAACUUUUAUUGUUUCUGUGGUUUGUGUAGUUUUGGUAAUUGUAAUGAUGGUGGUAUUUUUCUAUACCAAAAUGUGAGUGAUAGUUGUGUUUUUACUUUGUUGACUUCUUUUCCCUAUUCUGCUGAAAAAAAAAAGUGGGCUUAGGUGGUUACCAUUAGAUAUGGUUUUCUGGAAACACUUGGAUUCAGUCGUUAUCUGUUUUUUCUGAUUAUUUCGUGCAUUCAAUUUCAAUAUUGGUGAUUCUUUCCUUGCAUCAAAGGCAUAGACUGUUCUAAGUUAUUUUGCAUAUAUGCUUGGUUAUUACUGUGCUUAUUACUCACUCUUUGUUGAUGCAUGCAGAUGUGUUCAUUGGAGUUCGUGGCUGCACAAUGUUAGAGUAAUUAGGAGGGCUGAUUUGCGCAGUGGUAGGGUAUUGUGUUACUGUUUAUUCCCUCUACCCGUCCCACUUAUAGUUUUUCUCUUCUCUAUUCUAAUUUUUCUCAUUUGUUAUUGUCUUCUGUUAUGCUUCAUUGUGCUUCCUUAAUUAUAUGGGAUGAAGCACCAAUGAAUCACAGGAAUUGCUUUGAAGCUUUGGAUAGAUCAUUGAGGGAUAUUUUGUGUACCGGCGAAACAACACCCCCGGAUAAACUUUUUGGAGGUAAAACCAUUCUACUCGGAGGAGAUUUCAGACAAAUACUUCCUGUUAUUAUUGGUGGAAAAAGACAAGAUAUAAUAAAUGCCUCAAUUACCAAAUCGUAUAUAUGGACUAAUUGUAUAGUUUUUCAACUAACUACAAACAUGAGGUUGUAUAGAUAUUCAGAAAAUUUGAUAGUACAAUAAGAUUUUUUAAGUUUUGCUAAAAGGAUACUUGAUUUGGGUGAUGGAAAAUUAGAUGCUCUUAAAUUACCAUGUGAAGAAGAGCCUACUUGGAUUAAGAUACCGGAUGAUAUACUUAUUAAAGGUACCAGGGAUGGUAUUACAGAUAUUGUUUCACCAAUAUAUAAUGCACUCGACCAAAAUUAUAAUAAUUGUUCUUACUUAAGAGAUAGAGCAAUUAUCACGCCUGUAAAUGAAAAGGCUGAUGAUAUCAAUACAUAUGUAUUAUCUUUAAUUCCCGGAGAGGAAAAAGUGUAUAUGAGUUCGGACUCAAUUUGCAGCUCAUCAGCAAAUGUUGAAGAAACAGAUGUACUCUAUCCUACCGACUUCUUAAAUUCUCUGAAGUUUAAUGGCGUGCCACACCAUGAGCUUAGAUUGAAAAUUGGAGCUCCGAUAAUGCUUAUGCGCAAUAUCAGCCAAAGUUCAGGAUUGUGCAAUGGUACUCGAUUAAUUAUUACUCAGUUGGCUUCGCGAGUUAUUGAAGUACAAAUUUUUACAGAAAAUUAUGCUGGUCAAAAGGUUUAUAUCCCUCGCAUUGUAACACAUGUUACGGAAACAAAGUGGCCAUUUAUUCUUAAAAGAAGACAAUUUCCUAUUCGACUAUGUUAUGCUAUGACAAUCAACAAAAGUCAAGGGCAGACAUUACAACGGGUUGGCAUUUACCUUCCGAGACCGGUAUUCUCACAUGGUCAACUUUACGUUGGAGUUUCUCGAGUAACUUCACGUGAAGGAUUGCGAAUUCUAAUAGACAAUAAAAAUGAUGAACCCGAAGGAUAUACUUGCAAUAUUGUUUAUAAUGAAAUUUUUAAUGAUUUAUCUUCGUAAAAGGUUUUAGUCUAUUACUUUGAUAGUUAAUCUUGCUUUAUAAUUUGUAAUCAUAAAUAGUAAAUUUUUUUAGUUUGCUAAUUCCUAUACUUAUUUAUAAUAAUUGAAAUUUAUUUAUUGUGUUUUGAAUCAGCAAAAUAUUGCGAAAUGGAAUAUAUAUCUCUAAAGAAUUUGACACUGACACAACAACAUGUCAAAAUCAAAAUCAGAGUCAGCCGAAUUUGGGAAUCGACAACGCCACAGCUUAAGAAAGAUAUUCUUAGCCUAGAUUGCCUUCUUAUAGAUGAAGAGGUUUGAGUUUAUUUUUUCCUCUUAUCAAGUAUAAAAUAAUUUGAUUCCUUUUUUUAUAUAUUAUUUGCUUAACCAUUUUUUUUUUCCUAGGGAUAUGCAAUGCAAGCAACCAUUCGCAAACAUGAUGCAACCACUUUUAGAGCAUUACUUUCUGAAGGCAAUGCAUACAUAAUAGAAAACUUUAAUGUUAUACCAAGUAGAAAUACCUACAAAGUUGUCGAUCGCAGAUAUAUAAUCCAGAUUAGUAAAUGGACGCGUAUUGUUGAAGCAAAAGAAGAUGUUGCUCAGAUCCCUUUUUACAAUUUUUACUUCCUGAGCUUUGAUUAUAUAAAAAAUAAAAAAUAUGUAGAUGGUUGCCUUUUAGGUAUUGCAGUCUCACUUUCUUAUCUCAUUCCCCUUUUUUGGGAUAACUUAAAAAUUGAAUAAUAUCUAAUAACAUUUAUGUGUUUUUAUAUAUCUUCAGAUGUUAUCGGAAAUAUUGUAGCGACGGGUACAAUUUCUUAUACAUAUGUAGGACAAGAACGAACUGCAAUAAGAAAAUUGCAGAUUGGAAACUUAGAGUAAGUGUUGUAGUGUGCUUUUUCCAAAUUUUUGACUAUUUUUUUGUAUUACAGUUAUUAAUUGUAGUAUCAAAUAUUAAUAUAUUUUGUAGGGAUGAAACAUUAUCCGUGACAUUAUGGGACAAAUUUGCUAUUGAUUUUAAUGAUAACCAGCAUCAGGAAAAAGUCGAUGGUCCAGCUAUUGUUGUUUUUGCAAGUAUGAGUGUGCGAACCUACAGAGGUAACAUUGAAUACCUUCUUAUACUAAAAUUUUUAGUUUACAUGUUAUUAACAUUGUCAACAACUAAAUAUGUUAUUGUUUGCAAUUACAGAUCAGCUCUAUAUAUCAACAUGUUCAGCAUAAAAAAUCUACAGCAAUUUGGAAAUACAAGAAGUUAUGGAUUUUCGCAAUAAUUUGUGCAGGUAUUUAACAAUACUUCUUUAUUAUUAAAAAAACUUCUCUUUGGAUAUUUUCUAAUAUGUUUUUUUUUACAGAAGACAAACACCAAUUGCACCGAUACAACAUAUCAAAUCUUUAAAUGAGCCAAUCCUCAGUCCUUAUGAACAAAUAUCCAGAAAUCGCAAGACUAUUGAUAAACUACUGAAGUUAAAUCCAGAUGAAUUAGAAGUAAGAAUAUAAUAAUGCAAUUUUUUUUGGAGGUCAAUUAUUAGUCCUAAACUUUUAUUUCUUUAUUUUUCAACAUGUGAAGCCUAUUAUUUUAAAUAAAAAAAGAUUGUAUCAGCUUUUAUUUUCUUAUACAGAAUUCGAAAUACACUUGCAAAGGAAAGUUGGCGACAGUAGAUACAACCUAUGGUUGGUGGUAUAAAGCUGUUAUGAUUGCAAAGGAGCAGUGAAGGACUAUAAUGAUAGUUUUUGGUGCAGUCAAUGUGGAAAAAAUGAUCAGGCUCCUAUUCUGUGGUAUACAUUUACCAAAUAUAGAUAUUUUUAGUUAAUAAAUAAAUACGUAAUAUGAAACUAAUAUCUGAAUAAUUUUGCAAUCAGGUACAAACUAAAUGCUAUUGUCGAGGAUGAGACAGGAUCGGCAAACUUCACAAUUUUUGGCAAAUUAGCACAAGACCUAAUACAUGCGCCUGCUCAUCAUCUUGCAACUGCAAUCAAUUCAGAUCGAAAUGUUCUGCCUACUGCUAUAAAAAAUAUUCUCGGUCAAACUUAUAUUUUUCAAGUCUUAGCCGAUUCUCGAAAACAUAAUAUUGGUGUGCCAUCAUUUAGAGUUGCAAAAAUUUUUGCACCUGAUUUAGAUACAAAAGGAAAAGGUAAACAGGUCAGCACAAAUACUGAAAUAACUGGAGAAGUAACUGAUACAACUGCAAUUGCUACUGAAUCUCAUUAUGGAUUAAAUGAAGUAUCACCUUAUCUAACUGUGGAAUCAUUGUGAGUAUUCCAUUUUUUGGUUUAUUGUCACCAAUUUAACUUAUUAAAUUGUAUCUCAAACUAUUUUUUAUAUUAACUUUAUUAAUUUUUUUCCAGGAUUACACAACCAAGCUCAGAAAUGCUUCAACUGAACAAAAAAAAAAGGCUUUUUAGGUAAAAUAAAAACAAUAAUGAUUUUUUUUUUCUGUUUUCUUUAUACUGUUAACUUUUUGUGUGACAAUAUCGCUAAACUUUUUACUAUUAUUUUCAGUUACAUUGAAGAUUCUACAUCCGACAGAGAAUGAAGCCUAUUACUAAGUAGUAUAAAUAUUAUAUAUCUUUUUAAGGAAUAUGUUUUGAUAAAUAGCGUGUACUUAUAUUUCUUUUUAAGAAGUAUGUUUUGAUGAAUAAUACACACUGUGCUCAGCAGUUACUGCUUUAUUAAGUAUUUGCUUAAAUACCAGACACUUGUAUUAGUAUAUCAAUACUUAAAUUGGAUUCAUCCUGUAAACUCUCUCUUUCCACUCAAACAAUCCUCUGUGGAAUUUUAUUAGAAUGAUAUCUGUUCAACCUUAAAUGCAAACUCACCAUCUCUUUGUGGUUUUACCUGUAUAAUAUGGCUGCUGAUUAACUUUCUCAUCCAAAUCCCAGCAAUAAUCGCCCGUAUGAGACCAUGAGUUAUGUUAAAAUCUCAACCUUCAAAAUUAAUUGCAAAACAACAUCCAAUACAAACCUAAAUCUGGCACAAGUUACGCAACAGUCCUUAUUGUUGUUACUUGAUUCUAAUGUUGUGACACACCCAACAUAAACAUACUCAAAUAAGAAUAAACUACAUCACGAAUCUAUCUCUAACAUUCUUUAACAAACUUAAGAAUGCUUAUGCUGUUAGUAAAUACAACUUUGCAUGGAAGGUCACUAAGGAGAGUAUAUAAAUUGUAUAUGUAUAUGAAACAAAUUGAACAAUAAAUCCCAUUUGUUUUAAUGUAAUUAGAAAAUCAACAUAUGGAUUAGAAACCUUAGGACACUAUCCGCAUUCCACACUGCCGUUGCAUCCACCCACCUCUUGUGGGACGCACUAUUAUAUUGAUUUUUCUUUUUUACUUCACCCUAUGAUAUCUCUAUUUCCCCUAAACACUUUUUUUGGAGAAUUCUUUUGCGUACCACCUUUUAAACCAUAAAUGCAAACCCGCCGUUUGUUUACGCUUUUACUGUUUCAACUUGAACUAUUAACAUCAUUUUUUUCCCAUACCUAAUUAAUGACAUAAUAUGUACGUAUAUAUUUAGUAUUAAUUUGUUAUAAAAUAAUUAAUAUAGUUAUAUUUGUUGUGUUAUUUUUCUAAUACCUUAAUGAUCAUUUUUUUUGAGAAUAUAGGCCAAAUUUGGCGACUAUGGUAGCAUACAUAAUAUCGUUUAUGCUAGGAGUGUGCUUCCUCCUUCCCUUAAUGGACUGCCUCUGUCACAAAUACCAUUACUGCUCUAGCUACGGCAAAAAUGUUUUCUCUUUCUGUUAUACCUUCCUUUUCUAAAUAUACUCACUACGGAAAUAAAUAUUAUUCCAAAAUAUUAAUGGAUAAUAUUAAAAAUAAUAUUAAUAGUUCUAAUAAUUAACUAUUAUAUCGACUUCCCGUCACAACACGCAGGAUUCCGUUUACCUUUUUUUUCUAAAUAUACUCACUACGAAAAUAAAUAUUAUUCAAAAAUAUUAAUGAAUAAUAUUAAAAAUUAUAUUAAUAGUUCUAAUAAUUGACUAUUGUAUCGACUUUCCGCAGCAACGCGCGGGAUUCCGUAACUAGUUUAUCAUAACAACGUUUAACUUAUUUUACUGUUGUUUUUUAACAAUAAAUAAUUUAUUCCUAAAAUUUUUAUUUUUAAAAAUCUUGUGAUGAAAUUGAAAGUUAUAACAACUACGAUUCAAUUCAAGUGAAUUCAAAUUAUUUUUAAUUUAUCCAAAUUUAAGAAUAAUCAAAUUUUUAUAUGAUGGUCCUAUUCAUCCAAACUCUGAAGUAUAAUAUGUUGUCAAAUUUAAUCUAAACACUUAAUCCAUACAAACUGAAAAUAAAAAGUAUAAUCUUACCAAAUAAAUAUUCUUGAUUGGGACUUUUUGAUUUAGUUAAAUUGAUUUUCGCCCGGUUCCCUUGUGAUUAUUGUAAAAUUUUGAUUUUCGGUUUUGAUUUGAUUUGAACUUCAAAACCAACCAAACCGAAAACAAAAUAGCUAUAUAAUAUAGCUCUCUCUAUAUAUAAUAUAGAAAUGGAAUUAAUUUUCUGAGAUGUUUAUUAUAUCUUUUGAAAAAGAGGAAAGUAUGGAUGACUUGGAGCCACGGCUAUAACUUUUUUUUAAAUGACAAUCUUUUUUGAAAAAUAAUAAGUAAAAUUGUGAAGUUGUUCAUAACUCUCUGAAAUUUUCGUGUCAAUCUCACAUCCCGAGUAUAUGAACAUAAAAAUUUUGGAACAUAAAAAUUUUGGAACAUGAAAAUAUACAUCUGAACAAUAAAAUAAAAAUGAUGAAAUCAAUAAACCUAACCUUCUCGAGCUAACUACAUGAAAAAGAAAUACCACCAACCUUCUCGAGCUAACUAGAUGAAAAAGAAAUACCACCGAAAGAAAUUUGCUAAAAAUAUUAAUCAAGAGUUCACAUACCCAAAUUGGAUACAAAAAUAGAGUUCACAUACCCAAAUUGGAUACAAAAAUUCCAUAUAAAUAACUACAGAAGUACAAAACUAACUAGAUUAACAAGCAAGAGACUAACAACUCUAUCAUCUUUUUAGCAAGAAAAUUUCAUCAAACUAACCAUAUAGAAUGUUGCUAUUUAUCAUCUGUCCCGAAUACCUGCUGUUUGAGCUCAUCAAUUUUGGCGAACAAUUCAUCCCUGUUGCUCUGCAUAAUAUAUACAAGCUAGUUAUAAAGGUGAUCAGAGAAUAAACAGCUAGUAAUCUUCACUAAUAUACCAAUUAAUUACCUUGAAGAUCAGAUAGCGAGAGCUGAACCAAAUGGUGAAGCCAAGGCCUACUAUUUCCAUCACUUUAGGAAACUGUUUUCCAAGUGUCAAUUUACGGAUUAUUAUAAAAUAAUUAACCAAAUCUAUUUGCUCUUUAUCUAAAGUUUGCUAUUUUUUACAAACACAAAAAGAAUAUGAAAAGUACAUACCACAGGGAGAGAAUCAAUAGCAGAAAUAAUGGCUGACGAUAUCCACAGAGCAACCAAAGCAGUGGUUCCAUAGAUGAGGAUGCUGGAUGUGUCUCCCAUGUCCAACUACAUUAAGCAGUUCCAACAAAGCAAUUCCAUUAACUUAGGAGUAACAAACACUAGUGAUUGAGAAUGUUGCCUAAAAGUAAGCAGUGGUCCCUUUUCUAGCCACUUGCAAGAAUAGCAUUAUCAACCAGUAAAGUUGCGUAAAAGAAACUUGUUUAGGCUCCGUUUUAGAGAUCCAAAUCAGCCAUGUGUAGCUAUAUAUAAGCUGGUCAGACUUAACUCAAUUCGAGAUACGGUUCUAUUAAAUGAUCAAACUGAAAUCUCAAACAAUGCAAACAAACAAGUCAAGCCAAACCAUUCAAAUAACAAAGGCAACUUCAUUCUUGGGUUGCUUGAAAUCAAGCCUCUAUGAAAAUUUUUGUUCUUGGAUUGUUUUAGAAACAUUGAACGCAGCAAAGUCCAAGGUAAGCCAAGUCCAAGUGAAUUAUUUUUAUUUAUUACUUUAGGUCCAUUCUUUUGUGAAGAACCCCCAUCUCACUUGUAAUAUUUUGGGUAUCUCAUUGAUCCUACCCAAUGGUUGGCGGUUUCAGAUUCUAAAACCCAAAAUUCAACCGUUCCCACUUGCUUAGAACUAAGAAACAAAAUUUAAUUCCUAAUUCCAAUAUUGUUGUCGCUUGCAAUAUUAGGACAUCAUUCUGCUAAACGGUUAAGGGUUUUCCCACGUGAAUUUGCAGUACUGGUUCAACUAAUUGAAACAGCCAUCACGGUAUCAUGUAUUAGGGCAUCUACAUCUUGCUCUCCCCAGACUACAACCUCAUUUAUGUAUCUAUGCAUUCGAGCACUAUGCCUGUUAAAUGCCUUAAGAUUCGACCUCCAGCAUUUCUGCAAACAGUACAUGUCAUCAGACGCUAGGCUAAACCCUUACUAACAACUGCGCCUUCUAGAGAGCUGCGUGUUAAUCCCUUGAUGUCGCAAGUCUCCGCCAUCCAAAAAUUUCAUAAAUUUCAACAGAAUAACUUUGCCUAAUAGAAAAAUGCAUGUUAUCUAAAUAGUAUCAUCAGGGCGAAGAGUUGGAUGCAAACUAUAGCAAAAACACCAAAGAAUCAUUUUCCAAUAAGAGCAUUACAGAGAAAAAAGUUAGGGUUGGUGCAACUGUGUAGUGAAGAAGUAGUGAAUAUGAACAUCACGAGCAUGCUGCAAGGAUUAAAGCUUGGUCUGGAAGGGUCAACAAAAGAGUCUUAGCCUACGAUAAAUGGAAGCAGUAGUUGUAUUUUACAGAUUCCUUUAAUAAAGCUGCAUACAAGAAGAAAGGGUGAGUGUGAAUUUAUAGACCCCAUCUUCCUCAUUUAGGUAGGGACUAAGUUCUUUUAGAGAUCCAAGUUCAAAUUAUCACUAAUUCGGCAAUGCUUCAGUACCAACUCCAAUGAUUUCUAUCAUGCAUCUUAUGCUCAGUUAAUCAAACAUGCACAAAUCCAGCAUCAGGAACUGAUUUUGACUGUAUAAUAAAAAAAUAUCUCCAAUUCGCAAGUUCGUACUAGUAGAAAUGAGGAAUUCGUUCUCUGAGACAACAACACAAACACAUUGAGCAAUACCUUUAGAUUAAGCUGAUCCAAAAAGUUACCACUCGGAUUCUCCUCCCCAUCACCCAUAUUAGGGGACGAUUCUUCCCCAAAUCCCCCUCCAUACGAGCUCUUCUCGAUCUUCUCCGGCGCCUCGUCGUUCCCAAACUUGUUCGACACGGCCACAGUGGCCGUCGUCUCCUCCGAAGACGUCGACUUCGGCCACUCCGCCCCGGAGAAACACAGCCCUAGGAUCAACCAUGAAGUGAAGUGAGAAAGGAAGAAACUAGGGUUUUGACGAAGAUGUUUGAUUCGUUUCAAUGCUAUAUACCUUGCUUCGAUCGGGAGAGUAGGGUUUUUGCGUGAGGGAGCGAAGGGGUUGAUCGCGGAGGGAGGAGGAGAGGGGGAUUGGGGACGAAGAGGCGACGGUGAGGGAGAGAGGGGAGGGCGCGUAGAGGGGAUGAGGACGCCAUUUUUGAGCCUGGGACGAGGUAAAAGGAAGCGUCUAAUGAGGAGUCGCUACGGUCCUUGUGAAUUGGGAUUAUCGUUUAAGGUGGUCGCGUAAGGCAUGUUAAGGUGCGAGAGUUGGAAAUUACCACCUAAACCCGGUGUAUCCGUACACCUCCAUUUUAUACAAAAAUUCUAAGUCUAUAGUCUAUACUCCGUAGUAUAUUUUACAACAUCUUUAGAGAUUACAUAUCAUAUAAAAUUUAUCUAAGUAUCCAAAAUUCAUUAUUGUGACAUUAAAGUUCGAGAAGCAUAUAUAUCGGAGUCAUUAUUUGAUUAUUAUGAUAUGCAAGUCCUUUAAAUAUAGAAUAUUUUUAAGGAGUUAUAUUCUAAUUUUGAGAAAAAAAAAAUCUAGAAUAUAUUUUGCUGAUGUAACAUUUCUAUCUAAUCAGAUUAUUUUUCUUUAGAUUCACCAUUCAAUCAGAGUUAUUAAAAAAAUAUUUUAUUAUACUUCUUUUAACUUGCUUUGGCCGCAUGUUUGGCUGCAGGAUUGGCUGGUUCCAUUUGCUUUUUUACAUCAAUGUUAAAGUGAUGGUGAAAAAAGAUAUAUAUACUCAAAUUAAAUUGUGAAAACUUUAAUUUGGUUUUAGUUUGAAAACAAGGAUUUUAAAAGCUAACUUUGAAUUGCAGGAUAAUCCAAUCAAUCAAGAUGAGCAUUUUUAGCAUUUUUUUUUUUUUUUGAGAGAAGGGUAGCAUGCUACCCGUUUCGUUUAUUUUUUUUAUUUAGAAAUAAACUUAGCUGAAAAUGUGAAUCAACUAGGAUUCGAACUUGGGUCUCGAAUAUCAACCAUCAAGUCCUUUUGCCACUUGCGUUAGGAACGGUCGAUCAUUUCUAACAAUUUUGAUGUGCUAUCUCCGAUGUUAAUGUUAAUGCAUAUUUUGCAAUCUAUUUUACGCUAGAUCGUAUUUUUGAAUAAUAUGAAAUCAGAGUCAAUUUUAGAUUUUUUUGGUUUAGUAAGGUCAUUGGUUCGCUUGCCCUCCUCGUGAGAAGUACCUGUCGAGCCCGAGCAGAGCCGCGUUGCUGUGAAUGCUAUGGUCACUUACAAGGAGGCAGAGGUUUAGGCAUCUCAAGCAUUUAUUAGAGUACUAAACUGUGUUCAUUAUUUUGCGUCACAUCAGAAAAGAACAUGCCAAACCAUUAGUCUCGGAACUUGUGUGAGUCUUACUUUGAUUCUCGAACGGGCUCCGUUGCCACCCAUUUAUUUUCGAUGAUAAAGCCUUCAAAUCGACGAUGCACCGUUGAAUAUGAUCUAUAUCACUUGAAGUGUUUAGAAUCAAAUUUCAUACAUUUUCGAUAUUGUUCUCUUAUCCAGCGAGUGAACAUAAAAAUGAACGGCUGAAAAUGAAUAUUCUUUAAAAAAUGAUGGUAGGAGUCUUGUAAUCAAGAUCAAGAGUAUAGAUCUUGUUUUAAAUAGGUUAAAGAAUUUUCUAACAAAAAUUCAAUUGAUUUGGAUAUCUUUACGCCGUUAAACGAGAAAACACUUCUUAUCGACCAUUAAAAUUACAAAUUUUGAAACCCUUUGAUCAUUAGGCAAAUGAUGUCAAAAAGAUUUAAAAUUUGAUUCCUAAACACUUCAAGUGGUAUAGAUCAUGUUCAACGGUGCCGAUCGUCGAUUUGGAGACUCUAUCAUCGAAAACAAAUGAAUGACAACGGAGCCCGUUUGCUAUCGAUAGUAUUCUAGCUCAACUCUAUAUAUAUAUAUAUUAUUAUUAUUAUUAUUAUUAUUAUUAUUAUUUUCCUAGAAAAAUCACUAAAUUCUAGAGAACCACUACCAUCCCACUUCCUUUAUGCUUCUGAAACUAUAAUAACUCUACAUUAUAUAUAUAUAUAUAUAUAUAUAUAUAUAUAUAUAUAUAUAUAUAUAUAUAUAUUAGUAGAGUCAGAAUACUUGUAAAAGUAUCCACAAGUGAUAUUUGUGUGUUUUUAGCCUUUGAUGGGAGAUGUGAGGUUGCAGAUGGAUGUGGUAGGUGAUGGUAGGUGGUGGUAGGUGGAAUAGUGUUUGAUCCAAGGCUAUUAGUAUAAAAAAGUAGAUCCAAUGCUAAAAACACACAAGUAUCACUUGGUGAUAUUUGUAAAAGUAUUCUAGCCCUACUCAUAUAUAUAUGUAUAUAUAUAUAUAUAUAUAGUUGGACUAAUAGCAAAACUCUAUUGUUGCUACAGUUUUUUAGCCUUUAGAUCAGCUCUUUUCAUUAUUUCUAACCAUUGGAUUAAAUACAAUAACAGUGGGACCACUCAACCCUAGGGACUCAACUCUAACUGACAAUAAUCUCCGACCUUACAAUUUUUCAUCCAAGGGUCAAAAACUGUGAUAGCAAAAAGGAGCAUUUUACUAUUAAUAGAUUCCAGCCUAAUUCCAUUAAUAUUAUAUAUAUAUAUAUAUAUAUAUAUAUGGCUAAAUUAUAGAAAACCCCCUAUAAUAACCCGCUUUUCCACUUGCCCCCCCCCUGACAUUUAAAAACCUACACUUUGCCCCUUUGUAAAAUAAAAAAUGUGCACUUCACCCCCUACCGUUAGGGUUCUGUUAUAAAAUAUUUUUUUAUGCGAAAAAUAUCCCUCCGCCCUCUUCCUUGUUGCUUCGCCUCCCUCCGGCUCGCCGUCCUCCACUGCCUCACCCUCGCCCACAUCCCCUUCGCCCUCCUCCACCGUCUCGCCUUCGCCCUCGUUGUCCUUACUUACCUCUCCAUCAACACCCACCUCGAUUUCCUCCCUAUCGAAAUCGAGGGGUGGCGAGGGUGCAGGAGGAGAAGAAGAGUAGGUGGAGAAGGAAAUGGAGAGAAAUCGCGGCCGAUUGAGGUGGAAAUCUCGGCUGAUCGAAGGGGCGGCUGAGGAAGAUGUGGAAGAAGACGAAAAUGGCGAGAGGCAAAAUUGUCAUUUUACACACCGUAACCCCCAUGUGAACAUUUUUCAUUUUACAAGGGGCACAAUGUAGGUUUUUAAAUGUCAGGGGGGGAAAGUAAAAAAGGGGUUAUUACAGGAAGAUUUUUUGUAAUUUAGCAUAUAUAUCUAUAUCUAUACUAUAUAUAAAAGCGUAUAGAAAUUCCGAUAAUGACAGACAGAAUCCAAAAAGGAAUAAAAUAAUAUUCCCUACGAAUGUUAAAAAUAUCUCAAAUAAAAAGAUCAAUCUAUUAAAUUUCUACUACAUAUAAAAAUCUAUUCCCUAUAAAUGGUUAUGAUCAAUUUGUUAAAAAAAAUCUCAAAUAUGAACAGUUAUAAUCAAUCUAUUAAAAAAUAGUAUUUGCAUGCAUCUAUAAAUUCAAUACUAUGAACGAUUAUAAUCAAUUUGUUAAAAAAUAUAUCAAAUUAAAAUAAACGGUUAUGAUCAAUUUGUUAAAAAAUAGCAUUUCUAUUAAUCUAUUUUAUAUUAAAAUUAAAAUUUGAGUUUAAAUUAUAAAUUAAAUUUAAUAUUUAGAUAUCAAAUUUGAAUUAAUAAUUAAUUUUUUUAUUACAGUGGAUCAAAAUUAACUUUUAAAUUUUAUAUUAAAUGUGAAUUAAAUUUUGAUGCUUUUAGUUUAAAACAUAUAUUUAAAUUUGAUUCAUCAAAAAUCAAAAAGUAUAUAAAAAUAUUCUAUGUAUAUAAAUAAAAGAACACGGUAGGAUAUUAUAAAUAUUUUCUAAUAAAAUAUAACACAUUGAUUUAUAAAUAUAAUUUUUCUUGUAAAAUUUUGGAUAUAUAUAAUGUACAAAUUUAUAUUGAUUUGAAAUAAAUUAUAAUAAUUAUUACGUGCAUUUGUACGUACAUUCAACUAGUAUAUAUAUAUAUAUAUAUAUAUNCGGCACACUACGGCCAUAUAUAUAUAUAUAUAUAUAUAUAUAUAUAUAUAUAUAUAUAUAUAUAUAUAUAUAUAUAUAUAUAUGAUCUAAUUGCAUAAUAAAACAAAGUUCACAUAAUAAAAAAUUUUAUUCAUUAUGAAAAGCAUUUUGUUGCGACAAGUAUGAUCCGAGCUUUUCACAAUUGACGCUACCUGUGAGGGAAAUUACUAGCCUAUCUAAAUAAUAAGAGCGUGACAAGAAGUGACGUCAUGGUGCCAUUUUCUUUCGUAAAAUGACAGCAUUUCUACUGAUAAAAUUUCUGCCGAUUAAACUUCAGCUGACGCUCCCAACAAAAUUUUAUAUGGAGUUUAGGACCCUCCGCUCGGCUGCCAUGUGGCAAAAUAUCCAUCUAAAAAUUUAUUGGAUAUUUUUUAAUAUUAAAAUUUUUAAAAGAUUUCUAAAGGUGAAUUAUAAUCUUUGUAUGAAAGCAAAACUAAUACACGAUAAAGGAUCAAUGACACUUCAAUAAGGAUUCAUUGAGGAGCUCUCCGCAAAAGUUUUAUUCUAUUUCUACUACUUGCGCAAACAAAAUAAUUUCGACAAUCAAUCUCAACUGUAAGACUGGACCGAGGCCCUUUGACCCUUCAUCGCUCUGGCCCAUUUUUUUGUAUUGAAAUUUACUCUGUUGCUUCCAGUUUUUUGAUUUCGAAACGGUAAGUGUAGGGUAGUCUUUUUUAUCUCUUUUGUAUCUUUGGGACCUAUUAGGAGGUCUUAGCUGCCUCCAUCAUGUACGCUUAGGGCGUGUUUGGUUCAUCCAUUUUGGAUAUGGAAUGAGAAUCGGUUUGAUCAAAUCCGAUUAAUUUUGUUUGGUUUGCAUGAAUCGAUUUGGAGUUCUUAUUCCGGAUUGGAAUGAGAAUGACCCAUUAGCCUUCAACUUGAUUCCGGUCUUCUGGCCCGGAUUGAGAUUUCAUUCCGAAAGCCCACUAAGUUCUCGAAGCCCAUGUGACCAUCUCACCCUCCUUCUCUUCACCCCUUUCUCAUCAAAAAAAAAAAAAAAAAAAAAAGUUAUCCUCUCUCAAAAUCCUAUCCCUAACUCACAUCAAUGAAAGUUUUUUUAAAAAAUUUGAUUUUUUUUUUGAAAAACUUAUUAGAGAAAAGUAUUAUAUUUUUUAUAAAUUUUAAAUAAUAUAAAUUUAUAUUUGAGAGUACAAUUAGUAUUAUAGUAUCCUAUAAUUCUUUUAGUUUAUACGAACCAAACAAUAAAAUAUGAAUAACUCAUUCCAAUUUCCAAUUCAUAAAUAAACCAAACAUCUUUGGGAAGUGGGCCAUUCUAAUUACCAUUCUAAUUCAUUUCCAUUCCAUUAUCCAUUCCAAUUCCACCCCUGAACCAAACAAGCCCUUAGUUCAUUUCACUUAAUGAAUGAAGCAGCUAGCUUGCUACCUAUUUCUCGAAAAAAAAAAAAAAAAAAAAGACAAUCAAUCUCAACUAAUAAAAAAAAAAAAUCUUAUAAUAAAAAUUAGUAAUAAAUACCCGAUUCCCAUUAAGAUCAAAUUCUUUUCCAAGUGAUUCCAUCACCAAUUGUUGCAAAUACCGCCUAAGGAGUAGAAAAUUGUCCUCAUAAGGAAGCACAAUCAUGUCCUGUAAGCAAGAAAGAGACACAGAAGAUGAGCCGAACAAGCUGAACUGAACGUGAUGAAUGUAAAACUACAGUUAAAAUAUAUAUAGAUCUACGCUUUUGAUCAUUUUCACCCGUUAGAUUAUACUAUUCAACCAACCACUCACUCAACCCUAGGGGGCCCACAUCAUCUUAACCGCACAUUCUUUAAUCCAAGGGCUAAAAAUUUACAAGCACCAAUAACUUGGUACUUUUAAAAGCAUAGGAGCUCAAUUAUAUAGGCCGACCCUAUGAUAGCUAUCGUACUUCGUAAACCACGAUAGUUCAAAAGACGGCAAUCUAAAUGGAGAAAAUAGUAAAAGUAGACAAGCUAAUAUGAUAAUUUGGUUGGUGGGUGAGUUGGGAUCCCCUGGGUAUAGUAGGAUUGGCGUGUAGAAAAUUAGGUUCCCAUCUUUUGAAUUAUCGUGGUUCAGUAACCACGAUAAUUAUCAUAAUAUCGGAUCAAGAUAUAUAUAUAUAUAUAUAUAUAUAUAUNAUAUAUAUAUAUAUAUAUAUAUAUAUAGAAUUAUGCUACUAUACUAUCAAUAGAACCAAGCCCUUGGUACUAUUGAGUUUAUAUAUAUAUAUAUAUAUAUAUAUAUAUAUAUGAGUAAACAUUGCAAACCUUAGAUCCCACAGCUUUGGAAGCCCAGUACCAACACAUAGCAAGCAACGCUGCUGGAUUUUUUCUGAGCUGGGUAAGAUGAAUGAAUCAGAAGUAACUAACUUAAUUACUCUUAAUUGGCAUGAAGUUUAAGCAACAUAAAUUAAGGGUUCAAUUUAGAAGAUGUAAAGUAUCUUUACCUCGGUCGUCCGAGUUUCCUCAUCCAUCAAUGCUGCACCUUUAAGAAUUUCAUCGAUCUUGAUACCCUGGGAAAGUAGUACUGAUGUUAGUCCAAAUGACGAUCACAUUAGCCCAUAACAACUUUAUAGGCGUCAAGACCGCACCUGGAGUGCAGCUGGAAGCAGACCAGCUGCUGACAUUACUGAGUGUCUACCUCCCACCCAGUCAAACAUAGGAAAUCUUUUUAACCAACCCUUCGCUUUUGCAAAAUUGCCCAAUCAAGAACUCUCCUGAGUAAUUGCAACAGCCUGCAGAAGAAUCGGUGCUCUGAGCAAUGGAUCCAAUGAGAUUGAAGUUAAAUGUCCGUGCGUACUUCAUUUGUAUGAAUUUAGCAUCAAACUUAAGAUUACAGUUUGAAAAUUUUACAUCUCUUGUUCAAAUAAUAAAGCAAUGUGAAGGUGCUUUCUUUAAAACUAAUGAUAUACGAUAUACCGAACAUGGGCUGUUGUGCCACCAAUAUGAACAGAAGCAAAUGAAGUGCUUUCAGCUGUCUACAGGGAUGGUGCGUGUUUAAGUUUCAAGAUCGAUGCUACAUAGAAUUGCAAAAGACAGAUUAUGCAGCUAUAAUGAAGAGAUAGAAUUUCUAUGGAAUUUACUAUGGUCAUCUACUACGUUGUCGCUCAAAGAUCUAAGCAUGUGUGCAGUUACAUUCAGGGGCAUUUCUUUGUUCAGUUAACAUCAGCUUGACCAAUUUCUUACUAUCAAUGUUUAUGGAAUAAUGAACUUUUAACUUGCUUUCUAAAAUAAAACAUAACUCUCAUUCACUGACUAACAGAAAAGGCGAAUACAAUGCUGUGAAACAGGACUCGAGGCUCAAUAUCUCCAAAAUAUGCACUGAGAAGCACAUGAAAAAGAAUUAGCCAAUGCGAGGUUUUAUUGGACAUUGAUAUUUCUGACUAUACAUUUGAAUCCACGACCUCGCAAAAUUGAAAUGGUCUAGAAAGACACGUGGAUGACUUUGAAAGGCACGUGGUAUUGAUAUGUGAGGUAAGAAAUGACCAUUUACUCCGUUAGAAUAUAAUCUGAGAAUUCAAUCUUUUAAAUGCUGGAGGUAGGAAUUGAAUCCACAACCUCACAAAAUGGUACGUUUAUUAGUCCUUUCAUAAAAAAUGACGAACGAGCACUUCUAUUGUCCAGAUGGGCCCACAGACAUCCACGCCACCGUCUAAAAUAGAGAUGAUAUGUAAGGAAAAAAAAGAACCCAGAUUAAAACCUGUUUUGGAAAAUCCAGUCCAGCUUUCUGGAAAGCUCCCUGCACUUCUAAUAGACCUUUUCGGGUUUCAGGGUAAGCUCCAGUCUGAAAUUACAAAAAUAAAAAUGAAACUAUACUACAUUAUGAACAAUUUCGAGCAAACAUUGGCAAUUCCUUGGAAAAAAAAAAGAAAGAAAAGGAAAAGAGCAAAAGGAAGACAAUGGGAGCAUCUUGCAAACCUUUGAUAUUGCAAUUACAAGAGUUGAGGCAAGUUCUCCUCCAAUUUGUGCAAUUUGAUGAUCAAUACCAGCUGGAUCUGUACUAUCAAUAAAUCUUAUCUGGCACAUCGAGAGAGAUGGAAAAACAAACAUAACACGUAAGAACAGCAUUUACGUAGCAACUGUCGCAGAAAUUGUUGAAUGCUAAUAAUAUCUUGUGAAAUAGAUACUAAAACACACAAGACAAUUAGCCAGAUAACAAGCACUCGAAGCAAAACUGAAAGAAGAAAUAUAGAAAGACUUCAGAUAGACCGCAUAGGGAUACCAAUUGUUGCCUUGGUUAAUGGCGGUACAUCAUACUAGGACAAUCCAAGAGUAGAAUUGUCUUAAAUAAGGAUUUUGAAAAGGAUGAGCUUGAGCAAUCUGGACGCUUGAAAUUUCUAAAUAACAAGAUCACAAGCUCUUCUGAAGCUCAAUUCAAGCCGGGAAUGUGUUGAACUUGGUUGGCAACAAAAUCAAGAAAACUGAGCGAACCGAAUCAAUCGCAAAGCUGAGGUAGGCUCGUUUCUUCACACCCUUAACCGAAAGGGGAUAGGAGAAGACUUUCGGGUGAAGUUAGCGAGAUCUUUCACGAGGCAGCGGCCACGAGAUGAAAACAAUCCCAACAGACGCGGGCAUCCUUUCAUCUCAGUUACAUCGACAUUAGGAAAAAGUUAUAGGAACAGAGUCGCUACCACGGCUUGGAAAAUGAAGGGUCUACCUUUAGAGAAGGUGUCUCAGGAGCCAAUGCCUCAGCAACAAACUGAGGCCCUAUAGCUGAACCUCCAAUUCCUAUGCAAAGUAUCUGGGUAAAGCGAGCAGCUGUAGAGGACGGCGGCUUGAUCUGUUUACACACACAAUGCCAACAGCACAAGAGAGAAGCAACAUUUAGUAGGAGCAAAAGUUGAUAGAUGCUUUGUGGAACAUAUGAUAUAUAUCUAGUGAAGUGCUCGCAUGUCGAGCUAACGACAAGGCUAAACCGGGUUAGGCAAAGCAAUCUGAGUCGAUAUGCAUGGUUAUUUUGAUGUAUCAGAUACAUGAUCAAAGAUCAAUUUUUAUACAAUUGCUAAUCCGAGGUUGCUUCUUUCGACGGUUGCGACAAAAAUAGUAAAGAGAAUUGCAGCCUGCCUUACCUCGCCUUUGACGAUGUGGUCUGCAAAUUCACGGAUGUCCUUAAGUGUGUUCUCGAUCUGCGACUUCAGGUACUUGGUCGGCGCGAGCCUAGGGCUUCUGAGCCAGUAGUGGCGCACCAUCCGCCUCUCGUCCGGGUUGGCGAUCGCCCCCUUCUCGAGCUUCUGCAUCACCUGGAUCACCUUCUCUAACCUUGGCUCCAUCCGCUUGACGAAUUCGUCGGUGAACCCUAUCCGGCUCACGUCGAGAGACAGGUUUAGGUCCUUGUGGUGGUACAACCAGUCGACGUAGCGGUUCCAGAGGCGGAUCGGGUCCUGUUCAAUGCCCCCGGGAUUCUUCUCGAUGGGGCCGGAGGAGGAGCGGGAGAGGUCGGCGAUGCAGUGCGGCGGCAGCAGGCGGCGGCGGAAGGGGGCGACGCGGAGGGAGGCGGCGUCGGGGCGGAGGAAGAGGGACCGAGGGGGGCGGCGGAGGGUGGAGGGAGGGCCGAGUAUUACCACGGAGGUCGACGCCAUGGAAAUGGGAAGAGGGAGAGAGCUCGAGAGAGAUCGAGGGAGGUCGUCGAGAGCUGGGGAGGGAAUGGGAAGUGGGGGGUUUUAUUAGUUGGGGGGCUGGUGGCACGUGCGGGAGAAGGGCGCGCGCGAGGGGUUCGCACGCGCGGAGGGGCGUCGUCGGUUGCGCGCGGAAAAAUUUGAAAGCCUUGAUGGUCGUUGGUUACAAAUUGCGACGGUCGUUGAUUGGACGGAGGCUCUGGGGCCGUGGACGGCUGUGAUUUACUGACUCAUGGUAUCUAAUGUAGGUGUGGCUCUGCAGGCUAGGAAUCUCGUAAUAAUUACAUUUAAUUAUGAAAAAAAAUACUAAAACAUUUAAUUUUGUGAUUACAUGUAUAUAUAACCCCCAUCCCAUCAUUUAAUUCCAAAUAAUUAGAAAUUAAAAGAAUUUGGACGGGGCAAUUUCAAAAUUGCCUAUAGUAGAGGAGGUCUCCAUACAUUUGUUUUAGAAAAUAAAUAAAGGCAUUAGCAAUCAACCAUAGAUUAUGUAUAUUAUUAUGUAUAAAAGCAGAUAGAAAAUUCUUGAAAAAUAAAAUGGUUUAAAAAUAGAUCUAUCAAAUCAACAAUUGUAUAAAUUCAAAUAAUGAAUUGAAAAUUAAAUUUAAAUUGAGUUUAAUUCGUAAAUUUAAAACUAAAUUCAAAAUUUUAUUAAAUUUUAAAAUCAAUUCAAAAUUUUAAAAUUUGGAUAUAUAUUAAAAAGUUGUAUGUUACAUAUAAAAAAAAAUUAUUGUAUAACUAAAUUAGAAACAUACUUAAAAUAAAUCAAAUUUACAGAUAAAUUAAUUAAAAAUAGAUUCGGUUACCAAUAACCAUUUAAAUAUAAAAUAUAAUUCAGAAUUUAUUGCGAUAGAAUUUAAAAUAUAAUGUAAAAUUUCUGCUUCGAAUUUUUGGUUGUAAAGCUUUUGCGACAGAAUCUAAUGUUUUUUUUUCUUUAGAGAGAUAUAGGUAACAUGCUACCCGUUUCGUUUAUUUCUAUUAGAGAGAGAGAGAGAGAGUGUGUGGGUAAAGAGGAAUUAGUUGUAGCCUUUCUUAUUAUAGAGGAGGAGUUCAUUUCUAUAUAUAGGAUACAACCAGUUACAACUAAUUGUAGAUAAUACAACUAAUUACAGCUGGAUAGCAUUUCAAUACCAUAAUAGAACGAGAGAGAGAGAGAGAAUUUCAUUUAGAAAUAAGCUUAAUUAAAAAUAUGAAUUAACUAGAAUUCGAAUUUGAAACCUCGGAUAUCAACCAUCAAGCCUUUUGCAACUUGCGCUAGGAACAGUCGGUGACAGAAUCUAAUGUUGCGGUUCAAGUUUUCCUAUCGAAUCACUUAUUUCUUUUUUCAUUUCAUUUCUUUUCUUUUCUUUCCUUUAUUGAAGAACAAACAACGAACAAAGGCUUUACGUGAUGCUCAUGCUCUAUGAUGGUGUGCCUAUAUAUGGAUCUAACAGGCUUAAAGGAUGGGCUGUAUCAACAAGCACUGUAUACAUACAAAAACAAAAAACCAAAAAAAAAAAAAGGCAAAAUGUGACAGUUUAGAAAUAGAGGCUGUACACUAAUUCACUGAAAGUAAAUUUCGCUUAACAAAAAAACUCUCCCACUGCCUAACAAGGCUUUUAGCUCUUUCAUCAACCAGAAUGGGGUAUAUAUGUUGUCCAAAUAUCACAUUAUUUCUCUCUUACUAGAUCGUCCAUCAUAUUACUGCUAGAGUACUCAACCUCUUAUCUACGAAUUGGAGAGUUCUACGAAAGCUUUUUCCAGGUGGUUCUAACAUCGGUCCCAUUUCUCGGAUCGUACUCGUCUUCAAGGGACGACACUAGCUAAAACCAAGUAUACACAUUUUAAGAGAAGAUGAUCAACCGUCUUGGUCAAGCCAUCACAAAAACAAUAUCAGUCCCACUUUUAGGCAAUGGACAUUGCCACCACAUUUUUCCUUUUUUUUCAUUCCUUAUGGUUUAGGCCUAGUUGCCUCACCGAUGGUAUCUACGUUCAUUUUCCUAUUGAAUGAAAUAAAUGGUGUGCUAUUUUCUUCUCAAAAACAAUCACCAUAUAUAGUAGUGUUUAGUUAGCAAGGUUAAGUUGUCUCACUUUUGUAGCCUAAUUUAUUUACCAUAGCAUAUGAAGCAGGCAACGUACAACCCUUCUCUCAAAAAAAAAAAAAAAAUACUGUUAGGUGAUGCGAGACGUUGUGUUUUGAUACAUUAUUCUCGUGCUCAGAGAUUUGCAUUUCAGAAUUCAUGUUAAAAAAAAAGAAUAAAAAUAAAAAUCUAUGGAGAGCUCCUGAACUAUGACAAAGUCUUUGCUGUCUUAGUUAUAGCAUGUACAGGGUAAACAAUAUUCAAUUAAAUAUUUUUACAUUCCAUAUAUAAAAGUAAAAAUAUUUUUUAAAGCAUCAUUUUAAUGUGUAAUUACAAGAUUGUUUUACACUUUUUUUAUUCAGUUUGCAUAAUAGAAUUGGUUUAGAAUAUAUACUAUACUUUAUAGCUUAUUACAAAAAAAGACUUUUUACUUAACUAGAGGCCAAUCUAAAACUGAUCUCUCAACCUUUUUUUUUUUUUUUUUUUUUUUUUGGGUUUCUACAAUCUUGUAACUUCUAACUUCUAUGUUUUAUUUAAAUUAUUCUAGUUAUCUAAAUUAUCAAGUUAGUGGCUUAAUUAGCUACUACCAGUUAAUUAAUCUUAAUUUCAUUAGCCACAAAACUAUUAAACUAUUAGAAUUAAUAAAAUUAUCAAAAAAUGUUGAUAAGAUCUCAAAAUUUUUUGGGUUAGAAUCGGUGAACUCCUAAUUUUUUGUUGUUAUUUUAGAAUGACCUAUAUUAAUUUGAGGGGAAGGAAUAAAAAAAAAAAGGUAAAAAAAAAAACUGAAUAGCAUAAUAGUACGCGAUUAGUGGAGAAACAAUCUACAACUUCAACAACAACAAAAAGAAAAAGGAGAAAAAGCUGCAUUCAUUAAUUCCGAUUUUAUUCGUACUAUUAAUGCGAGGCCACGCAAAGAAGAAGAUGCUUAACUUCGAUUAUAAGAUCUGAACAUGGAAAGCAGGUUAUAUAAUUAGGUGCUUUUGGGCUUACAUUAAUUCGAUUGACAUGAGAUUUGGCUUGGUUGGUAAGGUGUUUGAUUGCUUGUUUAAUAAUAGAGUGGAUAUAAUUAAGCUUAAUUAUACUCUAUUAAAUUGUAAUUUAGUGUUAUGUGUAUAUUAUACAAUUUUUUAGUUUUAAAGACGCCACUAAACUAUUGUUAUCUUUUCAAUUUUUAUUUACUUGUUUUAGUUUUCUAUUUUCUACUGUAAAACCUUUUUCACAUCGUUUCUAAGGAAUAUAUAUAUCCUCUGUGGUCUUAUUUAUUAAGACGACAACCUGAUAUGAUUUCUUUUAAUUGUUUGGAGAAAUCACUGUGCAACGUAAUUUUGAAUUUAUAUGAAAUCAAAUUGAUAGGACCUUUAUGUUCUAGCAAUGAUUUGUUUUCAUAUUUGAAUCAUACUUUUCACUGGCGCGACCUUCGCAUGAGAGCAAAUUAAAAUGUUUUGAGCACACAUAGUGCUUUAUGGAGCGAAAAUUGUACUAUAUAUAUACGUACGAUCAAAUUCGAAAAUGGAGAAAUGCAGGAAUAGAUCGAAGCGCCUAACCAACUGAUAGAACAAGGAUAAUUUUGCAACGAUCAGUUAAUAUCGGCAGUCGAAUGAUUAGCUAUCAAGUUUCUGGUUGAUCGAUCUCUCGUGCGAGAAUGAGUUUCGUUCAGUUCUCGAAGGCUAGAAAUCUUGAUCUUGACCAAAGGAUAGAUGGACUACAAUGCAUAACUUAUGGAGAAAAAGGUAGAAAGGAAAUCCAGUUUAAUUCACACGUACAGCAGCGGCAGCAGAAGAAGAAAUGCAGCGACUCAGAUGAGACAAGGGAUUGCUUUGUUGCUUCAUUCGUCGCAUGCUAACAAUUGUUAUGUGUCUCUAUACAAUUUUUUCAUUUGGAUAGAUUGACUGUGUAGAGAAUGUAAAUCAAGCAUUGCUCGGAGGGACGGCUACUUGAAAUCUAGUCUCUCAAAUUUUUGUUCAGCUUACUUUAGGUAUAGUAUGCGGAUCUCUUACGAUUUUAGUUGAUUAAUCUCAAUUGACAAUAGCUAGAGGAGGAUCUUUGUAUUCUUCAAUAAUGUGAAAUCAUUUCUUCUGCCACUUUUUUUAAUUUUGCCUACAGCCAUCUUUAAAGUGGAAGAAUUUGGAAUUUGGGCAUUUCAUGGCCGACCUCACUGCCGGAACAUGUCUGAUUGAUUGUGGUAUGUCAGGUAUGGCAUUUUUCAGAGACUCUUGCUGUGAAGUUGUACUAUGGGCAUGUUUAGUCCUUUCUAGAGCUCGAACCUCAACAAAAUGUUAUUUGAAUAGGUCUUUUUGAAGAAGCACUAACAAAAGGCGUACGUCGAGUCGAAAAGUUCAUUUUAACUUCAUACUAUAGCUAGAACUCAGAUCAAAUAUUUUGCUGAUGCCUCUUUAUAGCAAAGAAGUUAUUCUAUAUAUACACCAUACCAAAUUUCGAAGCAGCAAUCAACUGCACCGAAACAAGUUCUUGAAUUGAUAGUCAUUCGGAUGCAAUUGGUUGCGCCGAUCCAAUUGGUUGCGCCGAUCGACAUGUACUUAUGUACUGGAAUUUCAACAUUUUGGAUAAAUCACUAGAAGCGUUACUAUAGUCAUACGUAAUGCCAUAGCAUGAAAGAAAAAAAGCCAUAUCCAUCUCAUGUACGACUAUCUGUAAGCAAAAAUCAGGAGACCAACUCGAACGCAAGUGUCGGUUCAGCUAGCCCGUUUUUAAACAGUUGAUCUCCACAAUUGAGUUCUUUGCAAAUGAAAGGUAUACAGGUUUUAGCUGUCUCAAAAAGGUUAAAAUAAAUAUAUAGCCUCAAAAUUAGAAUUGUUUUAAUUUGAUGUCAAUACAACAGGAUUAGGUUAUAGGGACACAUAUUUGGGACACUUCUGAGUAAAUGUCUCAUUUAUGCUAAAACUUAAAAAAAUAUUUACUAAUACCUAAAUAUAAAGCCCAAUCCAACCAAAAAUAAAAGAUUAUUCUAUUCAACCCAACACACCUAGUCUAUUUGGCCCGAUUACAAAUAGAAAAGAAAAAAAAAAGAAAAAUCAAUUACCAUCUUUUCUUCUCUCUUUACUCGAUCCACUGAAAUUAUAGACGAAGAGCCUUUCCUGUCGUCCUCCUCCGCCACCGCAGCCAACGAGAUAGAGUUUCGACUGUUGCUAAAUACUUAAAUAAGUGUUGGUAAAUUAGCAGCACUCUUUUAGGUUAUAGCGACAUUCUUUAACUGUCACUAUAUACCUAGCGACCCCACAUAUAGCAACACUUUUUAAAAGUGUCGGUAAUUUUAGUUAGCAGUACUAUUUUGACAUGUACCUAUAUUUAAAAGUGUCGCUAUAGACCGUUUUUGCUGUAGUGUCGAUUACUAUCUCCCCUUCUCCUCUCACUUAAUCCACUAAAAUUCUAGACGAAGGGCCCUUCCCUCUCGUCCUCCUCAGUCACCGCAACCAACGAGGUAGAGUUCCGACGGUUGCUAGAUACUUAAAUAAGUGUUGCUAAAUUAGUAGCACUUUUUUAGGUUAUAGCGACACUCUUUAACUGUCGUUAUAUAUCUAGUGACCCCACAUAUAGCAACACUUUUUAAAAGUGUCGGUAAUUUAGCCAGCAGCACUUUUUUUGACCUAUACCGACAUUUAAAAGUGUCGCUAUAGACCGUUUUUGUUGUAGUGAACUUUGACUGACUGACCUGCCUCACUUUCCAGGAGGUCAUUCAUUCUAACACGCUUAACCUUCUUAAUUUCUUAGACUUAACCACUGUCCUACAUGUUAUAGUCGGAUUUAGAAACUCAUAACCACCUGCCAUAUGAGAUUUAUCUCACUAGCCUUAGCCGAUCCGCCCCACUUCCCACAGAGGUCACUCAUCCAAAAAUUACUCCAGUUCUAACACACUUAACCUUUUUAAUCUCUUAAAUCUAACUACCACCCAACAAGCGAUUGCCGAAUUAAAAAUUUUGGUCCUAUUAUAGCUUAUAUAUAGGACUACCUCUCACAAUAUUUCUAAUUAGACUCAAUGAGAAGCCGUUCUUUGGAUAUGUUGAAUACGAGGCUCUUAGAGCUCUAACAGCAACACUUAUACAAGAUUCAGACAAAACCAACCCCUAAAUCUAGAAGAGUCCGAUAUGGUUUGGCUGUGCAUUAGUAAGCUCGGUCUCGGAUGCCGAUCGAUCUCUACAGCCCUGCAUAUUGCGUGCUAAUGCAGAAGCUCCGAAUCAAAGUUUCUAUAUAUAUGUGCUAACACGUGCAAUAUGGUCCCGAACCAAGUCCCAGCCAAAUAGGCCCUUACAUCCUAUGCUAAUUUCGAUAUUAGUACACAUUCAGCAUGCAAAUCCAUUACUCUAUCUAAUGCAUAAUAAAAUAUGAAUAUAGAUCGAACACUGCAUAGAUUCGUAUCUUGCUCGCUCCACCGCUACAAAUUCAUUUUCUACCACCCAUGUGGCUAGGAAUAAAUUCCCAGCGGCUUCUUUGAAAGUUGAGCUGCUGCAGAAGCUUUAAAUUCGGCUCAACGUCGCGGCGCAUGCACUCAUCUUUCACUUGAAAGGGAGAUAAUACAUUGAACAUAUAUAUAUAUAUAUAUAUAUAUAGAGAGAGAGAGAGAGAGAGAGAGAGAGGGGAAAGAAAAAGAGGAGGGGAAAGAGAAAUGUUAAGUCCUUGAAUAUGUACUGCAUCCUAACUAUUGCCUUGUUGUGUAUUGUGGGCACGUAGGAGAGUGGAUGCCCAUGCAUGCACGGGGUCUGAUUCUUUAUUCGGCUCGUCAGUAGAGUCCGUUUUGACCGCCCUCGUGACCCGCAGCAUCCAGCUUUGAACGCCUUUUAAUAGUGCUGUACUCAAUCAUCAGGAAAAUGAUCCCCUCCUUUUUUACAUAAUAAUGCCUCUCACAUAUUAAGAAUUUUAUAUUAGCUCUGCUGGACUACGUACUGUCGGUAGCAAACGGCUCAGAUUACUAUCGAUUUAUUUUCAAUGGUGAAACUUUCAAAUCGACGAUUGACACCGUUGAUUCUUUUGUUCACCAAGUGGAUAUAAAAUGAUUGGCUGAAAAUGAAUAUUGUUUAAAAAGUAAUUAUGCGAUUUUUGUAUUUAAAAUUUUGUUCUAAAUAGUUAAAAAAUUUAAUAAAUUACAAUUCAGCAGAUUUGAACUCUUCUACAUCGUUAAGUGAUCAAACGUACAUAUCUGCUGUUAAAAUUAUAAUUUUUGUGACUCUUUUAUUGUUUAAUUAGCGAUGUCGAAAAAAUAUGAAAUUUAAUUUUUAAAUGGUUUAAAUGAUUUAAAUCAUAUGCGACGGUGUUGGUCAUCAAUUUAGAAGCUUCAACAUUAAAAAUAAAUCGAUAGUAAUUAAACUGAGCCAUUUACUAUCGAUAGUACUCUAACACAAUCCUUUCUCUCUCUAUAUAUAUAUAUAAUUGUUAAGGAAAAUUUUGACUUAAUUUUUAUUAGGCAAUGUAUGUUGGAGUCACUUUGCAUGUAAAGCCACUAUAAUGUAGAUAGAUUUUAUUCUGGGCACCUUUCUUCUGGGCACAGUAACAUGAUUUUGAUUCUCGUUAAUUUCAAGCGAGAUGUAUGUGUAUAUAUAACCUCCGAGCAUUUAUCAACAAAAAAAAAAAACCUUAGUCAUGGUCUUUUCAUUACAUCAUCAGUGAUCAGUUAAUUAUAAGCUUUAAUUUGUUAUUCACAUAAAGAGAAAUUUGUGUGUGGGCGUGCGCAUGCAUGUGUUUGUGUGAGGUAGAGAGCUUCACUUAUUAUAUAUUUCUUGUUACGAGCCCACCUGGUUCUUAGUUUGUUUUCUAAUGUUACCUAUGACUACAAAAUAGUAAUAAGGUUAAAAUUAAGUUGGCUUAAAGAAAAGAAUAUUUCAGAAAUGUACUCUCAUUGAUAGAAGUAAACAAAAAUGUGGUCAAACAAAGUGUUUGAUCAGAGCAAUUUACUAUACAUUCAUUUUUUUACAAUCAAAAUCUUUCCUCCUAGGUACAGUAGGUAGCGCCCACAUGUACAACUACUUUAUACAUAUAUGUAUUAUUAGUUUAUGAUUAGUCCCUAAACGUUGCCGAACUUUUAAUUUAAAAUACUUUAAUCUUUUAACUUUCUAUUAUAUUGCAAUUUCAUCUAUUGUAACCAUAAAAAAGAAUUCAAUGCUACCUGUCUCUUAAAAAAAAAAAAAAGAAAUCAAUUUUUCUUUGUUUUGCAAAAUGCCCAUUUUAGUAGUUUUAGAAUUAAUUUAUAAUAUAUGAGAAAGUUCAGAAACUAAAGUAACUGAUCGUCUAUACACAUGUAGACCAAGUACAUAUGUGAACAUGUGCAAAUCUGUCCCCUCUAAGUAGGGAUGCAAAUGAGGCGGAUCUGGGGCGGGAGCUCCAUCCCGCCUCCCAUCCCGACUAGCAAAACUCCGUCCCGCCUUCCGCCCUGAAUCAGUGACGGGUUAAAAAAUACAUCCCAUAAUCCGUCCCGUCUCGUAACCCGUCUCUUGCCGGCGCCCCGAAUCUGCCCCGCCAACUAAUAUUUUUUAUAAAAUUAUAAUAUUGUUAAUAUUUUGUAAAAUAUAAAAUAAUAAUUUUUAAUAAUAUUAUAUAUAUAAUUCAACAAUAUCAAUUAUAAAAAUCAAAAAUAUAAAUCAUAAUUUAAAAGUUUCAAAUACAUUAAAAAUAAGAGUACUUAUUUACUUGUGUUUCGAACUUUUUUGUAAAUAUAUUAUUCUUUAGGAAUAUUUUUUUAAAAUAUAAAUAAUUUUCGGGACGGAUUCAGGACGGAUCAUGACGGGACGGAUUCAGAGCGGGUCAAAAUUUCUCCCGUUUCCUACCCUGAAUCCGUAUCGUAAAAUUUAUUCCGUUUCUCGCCCCGAAUCCGUUUAUUUUAUCCCAUUUACUGCCCCGUCGAAGCGGAUCGGGGCGGGAGCUCCACCAACCCGGAUCCAUUUGCAUCCCUACCUCUAAGCCACGGAUGACCGUGAACAUGCAACCAGAAACAUUUGCCGCAGCUUCGGUGUCGCCGCGAUUCUCGCCGACCGAUCGUGCCCCCACGGGCCACGGUGCAUCGAUUCUACGCUUUUCUUCUAAUCCCCAUACUUAAUUACACUAAUUUAUAGUUAAAAAAGAUGUUUGAUGCGCAUCGGAAUGCACCCGAUUCAAAUUUUGCAGUACAACGCGAUUGAACAUUGGGUGUACUACGCAUAUAUACUCUAUUAGAUUUACGUGCAGCUGUGUUUAUUUAUGAUUUAAUUGAAAUGUGAAACAUAUAUAAGCGCUGAUUUUAAACUGAGCAACUCUCUCGAUUACCCUCCUAAUUAACUCUGUCUCGAUCUGAUUAAUUUGUCACAAGAGAAAAAGUAAGAAGUAAGUUAUUUUGUAGCUAGGUUACAUUUGAAUAGUAUAUAUAUUUAGCUAUUUCACAUUUUGACCAUGAGUGCACACAAAGACGCACUUUUGGAGAGCUUUAUAUAUAUAAAGACAUAAAACUAUAUGCUAAUACAUACGCUCGAAAUAUGUUAGUGGAAUUGUUUGUCCCCCGUCUAUGUCCAACCUUUUCAUUUUAAUUUUUAAAUCUUUUAAUAGAAAAUGUUACAGAUCAGUUCCGACAAUUUAGAUUUUGAUUUGACCGUCUCUCCAAGGUUUCAAUUUCAUGCUUAAAUAAAAAAAGGUUAAUUUCAUACAAUUCUCUAUAAACAUGUCGAAUAGUAAAUAUAUCUUGACAAUAAUUCAGUGAUAUUAAUAUUUGCCUCUCUGAUAUAUUACUAUUAGAGCACCGUUUAUUUUUUUAAUAAAAGAUAAAUAAAAUAAUAUUUUUUGCCAUCAUAAAUAUAUUUUUUCAAAAAUUUCAAACUAUUAGAAGUUUACAGAAAUGUCCUUUAAAAAAUUUUCAACAAUUACCUUCUUUCUUUUUAUUUUACUAUUAUAAAUAAUAUAAGAGGGGCAAAAAGGUCAAUUUACAUCAUUUAAUAACUAGGAUUAAGUAUUUUACUUAUGAUGGACUAUAUUUUUCUAACGGAUCCUAACAACAGGAAUAUAAUUGAAAAUAUUAGAAUUUUUGCAAGGAUAAAUAUAAAGAGUCGAACUUUAUAAGGAUAUAUUUACUAUUUAUAUGUUACCAGGGAGUUGUAUGCUAUUAAUCCUAAAAAAUAAAAUAAAGUGUAUUUUAAAAGUUUUAGUUAUCUUAAUAACUUUGUCGGCACAAUUGAUUGUUUUCUUAAAUUUUUUUAAAAGAUCGGAGAAUCUUACGGCUGGUAUGCAUUGACAAAAACGAAGAGUUUACAUUUGGGGCCUCUUGAGUUAAUGUAUACAAUAGUAAUAUUUUUAGGAAUAGUUUAAGGGGUAAGAGUGAAAAAAAAGAAAAAGGUGUUAAUUAUGUAUCUACAAAUUAACCCCCCACUGUAAAGAGAUUAGAUGUUUGACGAAAACAACGUGUUGAUUAAUUGAGUCUAAUUUAUUCUCAAGCACGAAGAACAAUACAAUCUGUUUAAGUCAACCGUUAAUUCGCAUGCAAACCAAGUACUUUAUAUUUGAAAUUAAUUGUGAUGGAUCUAAAAUUUCUCAGAUCUUUGCUUCGAAAAAUUAGAUACAUCCAAGAUCCAACACUUUGCUUGUUAAGGUAAAUUCAUGUCACGAUGGGGCCUAGGAUUUGGUGUCCAAAGUACUAGAACAAGUGAUGGUGGGUCAAGUGGUCUAUAUGCUUCCACAUAGAUUUAGGAUCUGUUUGUUUUCAUAAUAGAUUUCGAAGAGCGAGCUCGUAUGUUCGAGAAAAUCAAACAGGUCGGGGUUUAUUUCGAUAUUGAAAUUGCGAGAUCAUCUGAACUCUCACUUGUAGUGUUAUGGACUUCUGCCUUUUGACGUCGGUGGACUUGAGGGCGAAGUUGACUUUGCAAAACUCAUGAAUUCCUUGCAUUCUUACUUUCUGAUUCCAAACAACUACUAGACAAUUUACUGAACGGGUGUUGAAAAAUUUGCAAUGUGUGUAUUAAUUUUCUCUCCAACUAGUAUUGAAAACUUUAAACAUUACUUAUGUAAAAUUAAUGUGAAAUAAUCUUUUUUUUUUCUAAAAGCUUAAAUUACUUUCAUGUUUGAGGUUAAGACUUUUUAGUAGGUUCAGGAUAGACCGGUGAAACAACUAUUUUUAAUUUUAAAUGCUCAAACAUCAGGAAAUGAUGUUUUUAAUAUUUAAAUUCAACAUUUCAUUUGAGGGAAAAAAAAAUCAUAAUAGUUCGUAAAUUGUAUAAAUAACGAGUGCUAGCUAAGCCUUUGUGAAGCAAUCUUGUUCUGUUGCAUGCCUGUUUAAAAUUGUAUAUUUAAUGAGUCAAAUCUGGAUAAAAAAGAAAGGUUGUGUUAGAUCGCUUAGAAACUAGUGUUAAAUUUGUUGUCUCAAGAAACAUCAAUAAUAUAGUUUUUGUUACGACAAACGCACAAACGGAAACAAAAUAACGAACACAAAAAAUAAUCAAACCACAAGCAGAAAAUAAAGAACACAGAUUUACGUGAAAAACCCUUUUCCAGGGAAAAACCACGGGCGAGGAAGGAGAAGACUUCACUAUGGAACGAAAUGGGAAUACAAUGUUCUUCAGGUUACAACCAACCAUGAUCACACGCCUCUAGGAUAUAAACGAUAAAUGAAAAGAAAAACUCAUAACGGGUCUACGGGCUCGGGCCUGGCCCGAACCCUCCGCUACCCACCAUAGGCAUUCAUUUUUUCUCCAUAAUUUUCUUUUCCAAAUUGGUCGCACCGCGAAGCUGUCGGCGAGUCGUAAAUCCGAACCUGAAUCGAUAGUAGAUUUCGAGUCACAUCUAACAGUUUUGUUAUUAAUAAUAUAAUUUUGUUCUAUGCAUAUUAUUAACAUUCUUCUUGACUUGAAUGAAGAUACGAAAGUAUAUGGAAAUAAAAUAUAAGGUAAGAGAAAUAAGCAUUUAGCUGGGUUGGAGGAGUUUGGACUUUGGUUUGAGAUUAUGUUACGCAAUAUCGAUCUAUACUUAUACUUCACCUCAAUUUCGCUUUAUUAUCACAUCACAUAAUUCAGUGAUAGUACUUGGCCCUCUUGUGAUUUUGGUUUUGAUUUUUGGGCAUUUGCCACUUAAAUAACAUCAAAGAAAAGCAACCAGUAUUAAAACUUCGAAAUCAGUAGAACAGCUGCAUUACAUCAAGUUCUGGACUUUGAAAUAAUAUGGUAUAUAGUUGGAUUUCUCCAAAAUUUCUUCUCCAAAAUUUCUUCAAAAUUACGCUAAAUUGGUUGCAAAUAAAAUGAAUUCCAAGUUAUUCAAAGUCUGCGGGUAGCUAAAAAGUGUGGUAGAAGAUUAUUUUGUUAUGGUUAACUUGUCUUGCAUAUUACAUUAAUUCGGUUAAAAUGUGAUUUUCAUUUGACUAAAAAGAAAAAAAAAAAGUCAUGUUUUAUGUACUUUUGAACUAACUCGUUGUACAUACAAUUCGAUGACAUUAGAUUACCUUAGUAAUCUGAUUAAGAACUUGUUCAGUAUUAAGAAUAUUUCUGUAUUGCAAAAUGAAGUUAGGAUAAAAAUACACAUGAAUAUAUUUCUUCUACAAAAAAGAUAUAUUAACCCGCACAUGCAUUGAGCAUUUUAUUGUGAAACAUCAUGCAAUCUUCUCACAGUUUCAAAUUAGAGUCCGACUCAGAUGCUUCUAAAAGCUGCUACUUUGAACUUUUGGAUGUUUGCAUUCAUAAUAUAAUCACCAUCAAAUUAAUAGUAAACUAUAGUAGUGAUCCACGGAUCAAUGAGUUUAGCAUGUAACCUAAUCUUUAGAAGCACGUAUUCUAGCUGAUCAAUACAGGUUAAAUAUAUUAACCUAAAACAACAUUCAAGAACCAGUACUUAACACAUCAGUAAUAAAAGAGGCAACAGAAUGGUCCAGCGAUUCUUUCGAGAUCAGCUCGAAUCUCAAACAGAUGCAGAGCACUUCCCCACAGUCCCAGACCCUUCACCACAACAAAAAAGAAAAAAAAAAAGAAAAAGAAAAAAGUGUAAAUAUACACGUAAGGUGCCAUUGCCAUUGUGAGGUCUCACUCGUGCUCAACAUCUCUGGUCACAAAAGCCACGAGAGGCGGAGGAAAGAGAUAAGGCUCAGAGAGAGAGAGAGAUAGAGAUAGAGAGAGAGAGAGAGAGAGAGAGAGAGAGAGAGAGAGAGAGAGAGAGAGAGAGAGAUUAUAACAAUUAAUUCAUGGGAAUCUGUGGGCACGUGCCGAAGCUUUUUUGCGUUACUUGGUUUGAGCCUUUCCCCCACCCAAUGGGAAUUUUUGGGUCACAAAAAGAGACGAGUGGUAAAAGAGGAGAACUGUAACGAAAAAGGGAGUUCAUACAUGCAUACACAAAGCAGUAUGUGUGAACUUAAAAUGAUAACGAGAGCAUGCAGAUGAGAGGACCCAUGCAGUUUCCAUGAUGUUUCGCGUGGAACUUAUGGGAAAGAUAUUCAAUAUUACUGCUUCUAUGUGUGAAUCAUAAAAUCAAACUAAGUUUAAAUGGCAUAAUGAAAUUUUUUCGAUAGCUUCAAGUUGAUUCUACUCAAAUUUGCAAAAAUAUUUAUCAGGUUUGAUCCAUGUAUCGACUUCAUUCUCAUAUUUAAAUUGCAGUAGUUUGGAAAGUAACGUUUCUAUUCAAUUUAGACUUCAUACUCAUUAGCUUCCGAUUUAAUAAUAGUAGCGAAGGAUGGUGGAGGACAAAGGGCAUGAUACGUAAAAGGAGCUUGAUUUUGAUUCGAAGAGCUACAAACAAAAUAUGUAAUUGCAAGAUAUCAAAACAAUAUUGGUUUUCCAAUGGUAAGGCACUUGAGGUUAUGAGUUUGAAUUUCAGGUGGGAGAUUCCGGAUAGAACUGCACGAAUCAAGCUACUGAAUCUCAAAAAAAAAGAAGAAGAAAAGUUACCAAACAUUGGAUCGAUACAGGUGGUUUUCUUUGCGAAAAUGCCAUAAAGUUGAUGUUUUCAUGCUUGCAUAUAUUUUGACCUUCAUUUGUUAUAAAUAGUACAUGUUUAUUUAUCUCCUUUGAGUAACGUUAGUUGACUAUUCGAAAUUAAUUAUAUAUCCUUCCAAUAUCCCUCCAACAAAUCUCCAAUGUAAGUAAUGGUAUCAAAUACAUAAAGUGUGGGGUAAAUAGUAGAUUCAAUUGUGGAGGAAAAUAUAACUUAUAAAUUAGUAUAUUGUGAUCCAUAAGUAUACAUAUGUCCAAGUAACGUACAUGAGAUUCGUUUUGGCAAAGCCAACUUGCACUGUACAGCAGGGUUUGGGUCGCAGUUAGUGAGUCCAAACUGAUGCAAUAAUCUGUGCUGGACCUGGCAAGUAAGCUAAGUAAGGCAUUGAAUGCAACCACAGAAACUGUGCGGGUGGUCCAUGCUCAAUUAUACUAUAAUACUACGUUCUAAGCAUGCAUUUUAUGCGAAGAGAUAGAUUUAGUGUAUCCCCCAGUUGUACAUAUGUUUGGUAACUUGCCUUUUUUAAUCCGUGAACCAAUGAGUAGUCGAUCGAUCAGAUGUUUGAGAAAUAAAAAAUCUAGGUCGAGUCUUGGAUGACUACUGAAGCAAAAGAUUGAAUUGAGUCUAGUUUCACGCCAAAGGAAAUUUUUCAUCACCAAUCUAAUGUUUGGGAGAGCGACACUAGAAAAAAUGUUAUAGGGGAGUUGCAUAUUUAAAGCCACCGGAGAUCUCACUAGAAAAUGUCGACGGAUGGUAAUUGAUUGAAAUAAUUGAAAACUUUCGUAAACAUUUGUGCGACAAUUUACGCGCAGCACGGCGAACUAGCUAGUUGAAUACGUACAAUGCUUUCAAUACUUUCCCUACCAAGUUGGGAGCAGCAACUUCAAAUAAAACCUUCUUCUAUUAAUAUUAGUACUCCAUAUGCUACCAUUUUAUUUAUUUUUUUAAAAAUAAAGUUAACUAAUAAAAUAAAAUAACUAAAUUUCAAACUUAAAAUUACAGAUACCAAUAAUAACACUUAGUUUGCCAUUUGGCCAAAAAGUACAUGACAAGUAAUUGCAAAGGAGCACCAGAAUCCUGUUGUUUGUACACUGAGCAUCUCAGAGGGGAAAAAAUUGUGGUUGAGCAAUUACACCGAAUACUGUGUUCUCACCUGCGCAGCCCAGUACACAGUCAAAGUUAAAGCUCAUUAAAAAGAUUGCAAGGUAGUACAUAAGCAAUUUAAUUAUGACUUAUCGACUACAAUGAUGAUAAAUUAGUAUGCAUUAUUAAUCCCGAGUUAAUUAUCUAAAUUGUUCUCAUGAUACUAAUUAAUUAGUGUACUAAUACGAACGGAAAUCAAUUGUUUAUGAUGUACCUGUAGACAAGAACCUCACCAUGGUUGGCUGAGCAAAUAAGAAACAUAUUACGCAGACGAUAUUAAUGAAACGGAGAUAAUUAAGAAGCAAAGUUCGCGUUCACGUGAAAGAGCAAUUAAGAAAAAUAAUUGGCAUUCAAACAGGAGGUUUUAGACUAAUGAAUCUCGCUAUUCAUAAUUUGCAUUCGUAUUAUUAAAAACUCAUAAUGGUUUUAAUAUAACUCUCGCAGAUUUGUUACAUCUGAUUUAUUAAAAACUCUCUAGCUAGUCAAACUUUUAACAUGGGUAGCAGAUGCUACUCAGGAGUUAGGAUAAGUACCCUUAUUAGUUCAAUAUUACUUGUAUUAUAGUUUGAUAAAAAAGGUCAAAUCAUUAGAAUUCCAAUUCUCGAAAGUAAAAUAAUUAUAUAGAAUUUGUGGGGACUAUUGUUAUAGAUUCUGAGUCUAAGGACUCCGAACAAAAUUGUACGACUAUUUCUUUUAAUUUUUUCUUUUUUAAGUAAUAUUAUAUGUAUAUUUAUUAUAUAGGGUAAAUUUGACACCCUAGGCACCCGUUUGAUUCGGAGUUAACAGGUGGAAUAACUUCUUAACGCCAAAAUUUUUUUUAAACACCCAAUUUGAGAGGUGGGGUUAGCUAACCUCACCCCAAAUAGGCUAUUCUGGAAUAGCUUAUUUGGGGUGGGGUUAGCUAAUCCUAACUAACCCCGCCCUACCUCACUACUCCAAUCAAACAAAAUAUUAUUUUAACCACUAUCUUUCUUAUCUCACCUACUCUAAUCAAAUACUAUUUUAUCUAUAUCUGGACUAAACCCAAUUCUUAACCAAACACAAAAUUACUUUAACCCCACCUUAAUCCUGAACUUAACUCUAUUCCUAGAAUAACAAAUUUUUACUUAAUCCCGAAUCAAACGGUAGCUAAAAUUUCAAAAAAGUUUUAGAUAAACUCAUUUAUUUUAUUAUUUUUUAUUACUAAAAAUAUUAAAGAAAUUAAAUCCUUACAU